GGGUCGCACCCUUCAUCCUGACGGGAUCUUCCUCCAACCACGCGGCGCCAUGUCACCACCCGCACACGCCACCUCCUCACCUACUCCUAUCUCCUCCCGCAGCCACACAGAAAAGUAGAAACCCCGUAACGAAUUGCCACCCACCCGCCCCCACACGCCUGGGCCCACCUGUCAUCGACAACGGCGAGCCCUCCCUAAUCUCCCCUCCGCGACGCCAGCGACCAAAAAGAUCCACGAAUUGGAAAAGAGAAAACAAGGGGACAGGAAAAAAGCUCUCGCCUUUGCUCGGCGGCGAUGUCUCUCCCUCCGGCUCCGGCGGAAGGCGGCGGCGGCGGCGGUUCCGCAGGCGACGACUGGUUCCUCGACUGCGGCAUCCUGGACGACCUACCGGCGGCGGCCUGCGGGGCCUUCCCGUGGGACGCGUCCCCGUCGUCCUCCAACCCCAGGUCAGCCCGGUGACCGAUCGAUUCCUCCCUACCCCCACACCCCCCUGCUAGUUCCGGAUGUAUAUAGGGUUCUUCUCCCGUUUCCUCUUGGUUUCUGGCGAUCGAUUCCGUGAACGCGGCGUUCUGCGCCUGGGCGGUGAUGAUUGCGGAUAAUUGCUUAGUUCUUCUGGCUAGGCAUCUGAUUGCCUGACUAAAGAAGAGUAGGGUGGAUAAAUUAUUUAUUGGGAUUCUAGGGCUGAUUUUUUGGGUAGUUCAUGCAUGUGCCAGGAGGCAUCAGAUCCGUAAAGGCGGUUGCUUUAGACUACAGAUCUUGUAGUGUGUUAUUUCUGAUAUAAACUUGCCGAGGCUGCUUUUGUUGUAGGUCGGGAGUUCCUAAAAAGAAUUAGUAGGUUCCUAAAAGUACAGAUUGGUGACUUUCCACGCUGCAAGAUGAUUCCUUUUGGUAGAUUUGUUCUCGUGUUGCAGUGGCUGUGUUUAUGAUUGUGAAAUGGAUAAAUUCAUGUCUAGUAAUGAUUUAUUUGUUUAAGUAAUUGAUUGGGAUCGGAUUACCCGUCUUAACGAUUUGGGACGGAGGGAAUGUGUGAUAGGAUGUGCUGCUGCUAGGUCAUGGCUGGAAUCGUGAUUCUGGACCGGAUUAGAGUCACACGUAUAAUUUCCCAUCAGUCAUGGAUGUGCUGCUGUGAGAUUAUUGUAGCGUGGAAAUUGGUAGUCUUUACUUUGGGGUGAUUUGCAGUGAUACUGGAUUUUGACCCUUUUGCUAAAGGACAGUUUACUGCAUACGGGCAGGAGCAGAGGCCUUCCAUGUAGCUAAUCCUCUGAUUAAAUUUGUUUGGGGGAAUGAUUUCCGGUUUUGGGUUCAAACAAGGUAGCAACCGGGAAAUUUUUCAUAUGCAGAGCAAGAAUCGCUAAUCAUUUUACCCCUUGUUUUGACAGUGUGGAAGUGGGCAGCUAUGUGAACACCAACGAUGUCUUCAAGGAGCCUGGCAGUAAUAAACGGUUAGGCUGUUAUUUCAUCCCACAACUUAGAUGCAUAUUACCUCAUUGAAUCCAGUCAUCAGUUCUGUAAUUGUCAAUCUGUUGCAAGUUGCAGUUUAAGGUCGGGAUCGUCUGGUAGGCCAACAUCUAAAGCUUCUAGGGAAAAACAGAGAAGGGACAAGCUCAAUGACAGGUAAAUGAUGAACACCGACUCUAGAGUAUGGAAGAUGGAUUGCCAUGUUGUUGACUUUCUGAAUGUUGCUUAUGAGUUUAUGAUUGCUAGGUUUCUUGAAUUGGGCUCUACUUUGGAACCAGGGAAACCCAUAAAAGCUGACAAAGCUGCCAUUCUAAGUGAUGCUACUCGCAUGGUUAUUCAACUUCGCUCUGAAGCACAACAGCUGAAGGACACUAAUGGUAGUCUUGAAGAAAAGAUUAAAGAACUAAAGGUUAUUAACCUACUCCCUGUUAACACUAGGAUAUAAUUCAAUUAUUCUUCCUACACUAUUUAGGAGUCCAUGAGUGGACUACAAUUUGGUUGAUAUUCCCAAUCAAUAUCCAGUAGUAUUUUUAUGUUCAUCACCACAAUGAGACCUUUAUCUAAGGCUGUCAAUGCUGCAUGAUAGAAUAUGAUACUCUACACAUGAACACACUGCUGACAGCUCUUGCGUAGCUCAUCCAAGACAUUUCUGGUUACCAGCUUGAAUUAUCGCCGCAAACUUGUUCUUUUGAAUGUGAAUUGUCCACAGGUGUCAAAUCAGACAUUGGCUGACCACCAACUAUGUAACUGGUUUACAUAUAUGGUGAUGCUGUGUACCACAAUGCUCUAGCAUGUAUUGAUCCCAUAAAGCCUUUCAUAUUCUUAGAUGAUGCAAUUAACUACCAAGCUUUCCAACCAUUUAUAAUUCUAGGGAAUUCACAGCCCACCGUACCACUUUAUUGUAGGACCCAUCAGGGAUUUGAUUAGACUAUUGAUUAAAAUGUACGAUAUAAUAUGGUUUCUCAUAUUGUGCUACACUGGUGGUGGAAAAGUUUGCUUGGGGGCUGCAGAACUUGCUCCAUUUCUAAUGUUUUUUAAUCCUUUUUUUCUGCAAUGAUCAUGAACCAGUCACUCUUUCUCUAAAUUUCAGGCAGAGAAGGAUGAGCUUCGUGAUGAGAAGCAGAAGCUGAAAUUAGAGAAGGAGAGUUUAGAGCACCAGAUGAAACUUAUGACCUCAGCUCCAGCCUACAUGCCUCAUCCGACCCUGAUGCCAGCGCCCUUCCCGCAGGCGCCGUUAGCACCAUUCCAUCCCCAGGGGCAAGCUGCAGGACAGAAGCUGAUGAUGCCCUUUGUUAGCUACCCGGGAUACCCGAUGUGGCAGUUCAUGCCACCUUCUGAAGUCGACACCUCCAAGGACAGCGAAGCGUGCCCUCCUGUCGCAUAAUCGCUUCGAGCGACUGGUCGUGCUAUGUGAAUUAAUCUCAACUGAAGCCCCCUAGCUGUCGAUCCAUUGAUUGGGUAUAACUAUUGUUCUUGUAUGUGGUAGUUCGUCGGUGACUGAGUAAGCUGACAUUUGUGCCGGCGUGCCGCCCUAUAGAGGCUACUACUACCCCCUUCAAUGGCUGUACAAUUUUUUGCGGAGAAGAGAAGAAUGUUCGUUCUCGUUCUCCAUAGCAACAAUGUCAAAUUAAUUAUGUGUCACAUAUAUAUAUUUGACAGUCGUAAAUUCAGUCAUUUUGUGAUACAAGUUAAUUAUGUGGCAUGAAUCUUUGGAAUAGACAUUAUAUGUUCAACGGUGCUGUGGUUAUUGCUGAUCUGUUGCAGCAUGAAUGAUCGAAACAAUCAGCUAGAUCUAGGGAUGAAAAUGGAUUGGAUUCGGAUAGAUACGCACGGAUAUGAAUACAUAUAGUUAUUCUUUUCUUGACUGGGAUACAAAUAGUGCUAAAUAUGUUGGAUAUUGAUAUAUAUCUAAUAUCUUAUUCGUAUAUAAGAUGUGCAACUUUGAAUACGUGGAUACAGAUACGGUAUGGGAAAAUACUUGGAUUCAGCUACGUAUUAUCCAUUUAGGUUGUGUUUGGUUGCUUGUAUCAUUUGAUUUAUGUAUAAAAUUGUUCAAAAUAUUGUAUCAUUUAGUUUAGUUCAUGUAUAAAGUUGUUCAAAAUAUUGUAUCAUUUGGUUCAUGUAUGAAAUGGUUCAAAAUAAUAAUGAUCCUUUAAUUUGGUUGGGUGAAUUAUAUCAACCCAUCCAGGAUGAAGCCAUCCCAUCUAAUACAUUAUUCUACUAAUUAGAGUGAAUCAUAUAGUAUAAGCAAAUUGAUUGAACCCUACCAUCCAAAACCAUCCAUACAUGCAUCAAGUGAUUCAUGCAACCAAAAUAUACCCUUAGUCUCUGUUUUCACCCCUGCUAGUCUGCUAGGCAAUGGUGAGGCCAGCAAGCAGCAGCGACGCCAUGGUGGUAAGCAUAGAGCUGAGGCUGGCUGAAGACACCGGCGCCGCGCCGGAGCCGUAGGAGACAACACCAGGUGUCAUGAUGACCGUCGGCGAGCCCGAGCCGCCUGAGCAGAUCGUGAUGCCGCCCGGCGCGCCUGGCGGGGCCGGCGGCGGCAGCGUCGUGGUGCACCCGGGGUCGACCUCCAGCUUCAUCCCGGCGGCGCAGUGCCCCGGCACGCCGCAGAUGAAGUAGCGGCUGACGCCGCCGAGCUGGACGACGUCGCUGCCGGUCCGUAGGACGUCCGACCGCGGGCUCGCCGCCGAGCAGGAGCGGUAGUCGUCGCUGCUCACCUCCACGACGUUGUGCGCCGACGCGUCGUACUUGAACACGAGCUCGUCACCGGAGCGGAAGUCGAUGGAGGACGCCCAGGCGGUGAGGUUGGUCUGGAGGUCCCAGGAGCCCCCGGGCCCGCCGACGGUGUAGGUGGCGCCGGACGCCGCCGUCGCCAACACCGCCACCGCCACCGCCACGGCGAGCAGAGAUGCUUGUAGGAUCGCCACCAUUUUCUAGGCUCUGCUAACGGAUCUUGGAAUCAAUGCUCAAUGAUGAGAUAAUGGUGAUGAAUUGAUGAUCAGCUAGUUGGGAGCUGAGAUGGUGUAUUUGGUGGUCGAGUGAUUGUGCAUGGAGGUGAAUAUAAAGGGAGGAAGAAGAAGCUGGUCUACUAACUUAGCUUAGUUUUUGCAUGGCUUAGCUUAAAGAAAUGAAACACUGAACUUGGUCUCCCGUGAUGACAUACUGAUUCACUGGACUCACCUACUAUAUAUGGUAAUUCAGGGCUGGUCAUGAGAUUUGAGAAUUUAGAGGUCCGAUCCGGGAUGAGACUGAAAAUGGGACCCUAUUGCAGUAGCAGUAAUGUUACCAAGAAUAGCAUAAAAAUUAUUUAUUUCAUGUAAUUUACACAUAACAUUAUUAUCUAAAAUUUCUACAAACAUUUAUAGAUGCCAAGUGAUUAAUGAUGUUACCAAUAUCAAUCUCAUUCAAAUUUCUUAAAGCUUGAGAAUAAGAAACAAGUUGCAAUUUGGAACUUGAAAGUUAGUGCAAAACUAUAAAGGUAUUUGGAUCAUUUCAAGGAAAAAUUAUCCAUAAAACUCUCAAAUGUCAAUAUCAUCCAUCUCUAACCAAUGUCCAAUCAAUCAGUUAUCCAUGGCCUAGCGGGAUGAACCGUUAAUAAAUGCGUCUAUCAACCAUUCAUGUUGAUCCGGUCAGCGUUAGGGACUUUGCCACUUUGGUCACUGGAGCAAACUGACGCCCAGGCUAUGGAUUAAAUGUUAAGUCAAGAGCUUGAGACGACUCAAAUGGCACGUGGUUUCCGACUAUGGAUUAAAUUUUAAAUUCUGACGCCAUCAACUUCCCUCCGUUUUGCAUCAAAACAAAGAAACUUACCUGCAGCUGCUGACAGAAAGCAUCACUGAAUCAAAUAGAAACGCGACGUUUUCAUACACUCAAGUAUGUACUUAAUCAAAUUUACUUGAAGCACGUCGGCGUGUAUGAAAGAAGCAGAGGACUGGACUUGGUCUUGUGACGAAGGUCAUUGAUUUUUGGGAGAAGGCCGGGCUCGACUGUUGGAGCAAGCAAGUAAAUCUCUGAAUAUAAAAAAAUACUCCGUGGAAAAAAUACCAUUAAAUUAUUUCAAAAGACCAUUGAUGGAGGACUGGACUUGGUCUUGUGAUGAAUGGUAUGGAACUCGCGUAUGAUCCACACUGGCCUCAAUUAGCAAGGGUCAGGUCGACCAGAGACCAUUUGAAUUUUCAUUAGCAACUACAGUAUACAAUUAACUUCCUUCCAAACUUCAUGUCAAGGGCUUGGAGCUCAAACCUUUCCUACUUGCAUCAGUAAUGCCGCCAAGUGUUGAACUGAAUUUGUUCUUCCACAGGCUCUCUCCAUAUGCUCUUUAGUCAGUGAUGCCGCCAUUUGAGCUGUUCUCUCCCUGUCCCUGUACAAGCAGGGAUUGCUCACGUAUCCAAGUACUGAAGAAAUCGAGGAACACCCAUCUGAUGGACUGAUCCAAGUACUGAAGAAAUCGAGGAAGGCCAGAACAAAGAAUUCUUGCACUGAUCUCGGUUCAGAAACGAACUGCUCCUGAGCUGCUGUCAAGUAGAAGAUAAUUUUAAAAUUGUUUGUACUUCUCUGUCCCUUGAAACAAAAGUGUGCCUGAUAAGGGAGAAAGAAUUGAGGGAAACAACUUGAUUCACUAUAAAACUUUGAAUUGUUCGUGUUUCUAAAAACAUAAAUAGUUUGAACUGUUCGUAACUAGAAUUUGUUCAAGGUUUUCGUAGACCCUUUUAAGAAGUCUAUCACCAGCUUCCUUGUUACAUCAAAUAGUUCACUUCAGGUUCUUAAAAUUAAUAUAUAAAUAUAACAUUUAUGAAAGACCAGGUACAUCUGCAAUGUAGCUCGACUAAACUAUAGGUACAGUAACAACCAUGACCAUUAACUUAUUUCUCGUAGAACUUGAAUAAUCCUUGCAAAAGAACAUUUAAUAGAAGACAAAGCUUAUACGAUACAAUUAAACUCUAUUUCUAGAACUAAACACUACUAACAAUGCUAACAUAUGGCAACUCUACGGAUCCAAGAUAAAUUUUGCCGUCCCCUCGUUCCACUGCCUCUGUUGGUCGAACAUCCUUGGGACCCCUCAUCUCUUGUAACUUCUCACCUUCAGCGCCGAUCCUAAUAGCGACCAAGUGGCUGUCCUUUCCAAACGGGAGCUCAUACUUCUCACGGUGCAACGCCACCCAAUACCCUCCCUUUCCAUCAGGCCUCACAUUGUCCGGGUAUCCCGGCAGGUCAGCGAACAACUCGGAUGUCCCUGCCUCAGGCCCCCGGAUCCAAUACCUCAUCAGCUUGCAUGGUCCAGUAAGGGCGACGAUGAGGUGGCUCCUGUCGGCACUAAUGGCGAUACCAUUGGGGUAUGUCACGCCGGACUGGAGCACGGUGACCUUGUUAGUCCGUCGAUUGUAUCUCAUGAUCCGUCCCGUCGAGUCUCCCGACGCGGUGACCAUCUGAUGCUGCGCCCGAGAGUAUGUCGUGCUACUAUCGGUAAAGUAGACAUCCCCGGUGACCUGGUCGACGUCUACCCCGUUGGUGAAGCGUAACGGCACGCCGCCGGCCUCGGUGGCAAGCACGGUCGCCUCCCCACCGUUCGGCCCGACGCGCAUCAGCCCCAUGUAUGCGUCCGCGAUGUACAGAUCGCCAGAGUUUUUGUGGAACCGAAGGCCAAGCGGCCGGCCGCACGAGCUCUCGGUGGCGACCGAUGGGAGCUCAGACGGUGCGUCGCAGUUGUUCUUGAUGUAGCUAGGGCUGUACGCGAAAGUGGUAAACCCGACGCUCUUGCCGGCGUACUUGAGGAUGCGGCCGUCAGAGAUGCUGACAUAGGGCCCGGCGCCACGGCGGUCGAAGGCGACGCUCUCGGGGCCGAUCAGCCCGUCGGGCAGGUCGAGGCGCUGGGUCUUGGUGGCGUCGAUGGCCUUGCCCAUGGCGGCCGACGGCAGGAGCAGCAGGACGGCGAGCAGGAUCGUCGCGAUCUGAGGCAGCUUCGACGUCCUCCGUGCCAUGGUUGCUGUUGCUUCGAGUAGGCGGUGGUUCUGGUUUGCUGUUGUCGAUCAGCUGAGCUCUGAUCGUGGUGUUUGGGUUGAUGGAGAGGGCGUACCCUGGCCUCUCGUUUUAUUUGGGGGUUCUCUUCAGGUGUCAGCUCCGAAUCGGUUUCAGAACUCCAGCACAAAAUCGGACUCGACAGGAUUUUCCCUCGGCAAAGGAACAGAAACGGACACGGAGUUUCACCCAAGGAGAACUAGUACUGUGUGUUACCGUACAAUUUUCAGAAGCAAGAGAAUUCAUGAAUUUCAUAUAUGCAGAGGUGCAGUCGUCAAUUCUAGGCUUCUAGUUGAAGAACCGAGAAUGUUGACACAGGAGAGUGUGCUAAAAUCACAGAGAACGUUGACACAGACAUUUAGGAACAGAGGCGUAAACAUAUGCAAAUACAAGUAAAUGCAUGCGUUUUUACAAGGAAUCCUGAAGAAAAUUUUUCUCUAUUUUUUUACCUUGCUCUUUGUCACAUCCUGAAAUUUUUAGGUUUCAUGAUGUGAUUAAAAGGAAUAAUUAAACAAAGAUUUUCUCAUAAUUUUAAAAAGAUUUCCAACUAUUUUUCUUGAUAGGAAAUCUAGUAUGGGAAAAACAAUUGAUCGUUUUUGAAUUAAAUAAAAUGUUUCUGUGUGUAUUGCAUUCAUGCCGAUGCAUCUUGAAAAAGGUUUUAAAAUGCGCUUAGGUUGCGAAUAGAUUCUUCUUAGAAUUUUUCCAGAUUUUUCUAGAAUUUAUUCUCAUUUUCCUAGAACUCAAUCAAAAUUUUGGAGGGUUCUACAAGUCUUUCCAGGAGCUCCAAGUAUUUUAUUUAGGUUCCUCAUUUCUCAAAUAACCUCCAGGUAUUUUUCUAAUUUUUUUUUGAAGUUUUUGAGUAUUUUUCGUGAGUUAAUUACUAUUUUAGGAUUUUAUGAAAUUAUUUUCGAAUCUGAAAUUAAUUCCUGAAAUUAGAAAAAGGAUGAAAAUAAAUCUAGACUCCAACCCGACCUAUAUAUGCUUUUCGGUGAUCUCCUUGAUAUCCUCGUUCCAACGCCGCAAACCCCACCUCGUUUCGACAACUCCCACAGUUCGACGCCGAACAUACGGAUGUGUUAAACUCUAGCGAACUUUCUGACGAGAACUCCGGCGAACUUUCCGCGAGCAAAUCCGGUGAAACCAUCAAUCCUCGGCAAAAGGCGAACGCACCAACACAUUCGUCUCAUCGUCCUUGUUCCGUUUUUGCCUUUCAUGUGCGAGUUUGGGGGUUCAUCUCCGGCGAUCUCCGUUUUCCCUAUGUUCCUGUGCGGCCAUGGCCAUGGUUGAGCUCCUGCUCGCCCUCGCCCUACGCGCCACCGCCCGACCGCGCUGCUGCCAACCGCUGCUACGCGCCGCCGCCGAGCGCCCCCUUUUGUCAGCCCAGGCGCCGCCGGCGAGUGGAUAGUGUCGGCCGAAGGAAGAAGAAAGAUGCUUUUGCGUUUUAACCCCUGAAGAAAACCGGAAUCCUGAGAUCCAGUCCAAUCUAUUUAAGCCCUCGGUUUUCAUAGAUAGGAUCCUGGAAGUUUAGUUUUCUCGCAGUUAAACCCUUUAUCUUGUGUAGGCUAUAUCUUUCAAGUUUUAGCUCCGUUUCUAUCCAUUCAAGUUGCGAUAGAUUUAUAACAACAUAAAUGACAUGUUAGUGGUGAUAUUUUCCAUCAUGCAGGUCUUUAAAAAUAAAUUUAAUAUUAAUUUGAUUAUACCUAUUUGAGUGCCUUUUCUUAAUGAGAAUUUAAGUAGGGUUUACAUUGGUUUUUCAUAAUCACUAAUGCUAGCUAUUUAAUUGAGUUUUCUGAAUCAAAUUAAUGUAGACUUGUAGCUCGGCUUUUCUUAAUCAAACUUAAUUUGAUUAAUGUUCAGCAUUGAAUCAACUUUUCUAAAUAAAAGUUGAUUAGAUUUUUACACCGACUUUUAUAAAUAAAUAUUAACUUGAAUAAUGCCAACGGAAAUAUGUUUUCCAUAACAAUUUGACCGACUUGAAUCAUAAAAUAUACGUUUAGAUGUUUCACAUAGUUUAGCUUUCCUAAAGUUAAGUGAGUAAUUGGUGUAAUUUAUACAGGAACAUUUAUAAAUAAAACUUGACUAGGUUUUUACCUCGGUCUUUGCUAAUAAAGUAUAAUUUACAUUAAUUCCAACUGAGGGUUUUAACUUUCUGAAAUAUCUUUUACAUAUGUUUUUCUAAUUAAAAGACCUAGCAUAUAGUCUUUCGUGCUAUCAUAAAUGAAAAUUGUUCGAUAGCCGUUCUUUAUCAGCUUUAGCUCUGUAUCUCUUCGGAAGAUCUAGUCUUCUGUAAAGCGGUAGAUCUUUCUAGUUCCAGUUCCAGCUUAGAUCCAGUUUCUUUUAUAAAUCUAACCAAGCCUUUCCUUUUCAAAGCACGAUUUUUGCGCUUAGUGAGCUCAAUAGUUUAUCUUAGAGUUUCUGUUCUGCCUAUUAGUCUGAUCAUGCUUGUCUCUGUUUCUCUUACAAUCCUAUGUCCAGUUCAUAGCUGUCCUAUACCCUAGUUAUCUCUUUGUGAGUCAGCUAUGUUCUUUAUGGCCAAACCUUUCGCAGCCAUCUUGUUAGUUGUUUAUUUGCUGACUAGUUCAGUUUAGCUUUGACUAGUUUGUUAUCCUUGCAACCUAGUUGCUCUCAUUGUAGACUAGUCUUUCCUAAACCAUAAUUUAAGCUUUUCUUCUACUCUCUAGAAUAGUUUAUUUUUGUUGUUCUAGUUCGUUUCACCUUAACUUAUGCGUGAGCUUGACUAAUUCUUAUUCAAUUACCUUUCUAAAUAAAAAUUGAUUAGGUUCUAUCCCGGUUUUCAUAAACUAAAUUUAAAUGGUUAAUUCUUAUUUAUAACCAGCUUUUCUAAAUAAAAGAUAUCUAAUGUUAUAGAUGGGUUUUCAUAAAUAAAGUUGAUAUGCUUAAUAAUAUUAUAAAUGUCUUUUCCACAUUAACAUGUUUAGUUGAACCCGAAAUACAAAGUUAUUCGAUUAGAUGUCUUAUACAUGCUCUGAGUUUCUAAGUUAAUUGUUAAAUUGGCAUAACUUGUACUUGAAUAUUUACAAAUAAAAUAUGAUUAAGUUUAUCAUAUUUUUAAUGAUUAGAUAUAUAAGUUGCUUAAUUCCAAAUAGGGUAUUUCUCUGAAAUAACCUAUAUGCAUGUUUUAUUUAAUUAAAAAGGAUCAAGUGUAUAGUCUUUUUAUUCCCUCUUAUAAUUCAAACCUAUCAAUAGAUUUGUCUUUUCAAUCAUAGUUGUCUUUAGUGUUUCUUGCUCUUUCGUCCUUUAGUAAGCUCUUUUCCUUAUAUUUUGGUGUAUUGUUCUUAGUUGUACUUGUUUGUACGUUUGUGCCGAUGAUUGCUUCGAGUAAAAGGAUCGUUGUUCGCAAGAUUUGAAGAUUAAGAGUUUCAAGAGACCAAGAGCUGAACAGCAGUAAGAGUAACUUUUCGUUGGAGAAAGGCAAGUGUCCCUAACCACCUUUCUAUCUAUACUUAUUUAUAAUACCUUGAUAAUGUUAAUUGGAACGUGGAGAACCACCCAGGAAAAUAGUGCAACCACAAGAACUAUAUGGCUCUGUUCUUGGCUAAUUAAUUAGAGACUCUAGUUUAGGGUAAUCUUACCGAAAGGGCCAGAGGGGGGACUGAGUCAUUGUAUAACUCGGUCCUCUUGGGAAGUGGGCUUUGCUAAGACACUAUGCCCAUUAGGGAGGUUUAUAUACACCAGACACCGAAACCUUUGUAAAGACCUUGUAGUGUCCCUAUGCAGUCACACCUCGGUAGUGUGAUGAGUGCCUGAUUAGCACAGUAUAGUUGGGUCCAAAGUUCUUUUGAACUUUUACAUGACUUGUGGGUAAAGAUGUACAACUUCUGCAGAGUGUAAAACUGAUAUAUCAGCCGUGCUCAAGGUCAGGAGUGGCCUGGACCUCAUAUGAUUAAUAAACUUGAAGAUGGACUUAAAUCGUUAUUCUAGUUAUUUUUUGUGACCUUGCUGAGUACCAGCCGUAAGUGUACUCACCCUUGCUUACUUCUGCUCAGAAGAGGAAGGUGUGUGAAGCUUUUCUGAAGAUGAUGCUGAGUUCUACGCGUACGCAACCCCUAGUCGAUUGCCUGUGAAGUUUGGAGCCUUCGUUGGAUUAAGCUGUAUAUCUUUGAUAGACUUGUAAGUUUUUAUUUAUAUUCCUUUACAUGAUACUGUUACUGUUAUUCACUAAUGAUGUUACUAUAUGUAUGACACUAGAUCCUGGCAUACAUAUAGGUAGCACUUGGUUUUGUUUUAAAACCGAGUGUGACACUCUUGAGAAACCUAGUCUAACUAGUUUCAUUCCUCAGUUUCCCCGUUGUGUGCUGAUCUCAUAGAAAUAGACUUUUUUGAGGGCUCAUAGAAAUAGACUUAUGAUACACCUAGGUGCAUAUAGAUAAAAUUUAUAAGUUUUUGAGCUCGUUAUCUCUGGUUUUGCUAUUUAUCCUCGAAGUCUCCACAGCAUAUUUGAAAGAAAAUGGAAAGGCCAAUUUUAAACCCACCAGGUCCAUUAUUAAAUUAGCCAGACCGGUUUUUGUGGUGUUCUUGGUGUUGCUUCAAACUUGUUUCAAUUGUUUGGGUCCGCUCUGAUAUUUUGAGUUCAAUGAUUGUUAGAAGAGAGAUGUGUUAGAUUAAAAAUGGGAUAUUGGCCAAGUCACUCUUUCGUCAAAGAAAUUUUUUGUCGCCUCACAUUCACCUCCACUCUGGUCACCAUUUUAGUCCUUCACACUUCCAUGCGUAAAAAUCAAUUCCAACCAUUUUGAACUUUUAUUAGGUGUAAAAAAAACCCAACCGAUACUUCAUUUAUUUCAACGACAAUGAGAAUUGCUUAGGGGUUGUUGCAUGAAGAAUGAAACAAUCAGCUAGACCAUGAUGAGGCCAACAAGCAAGACCGACACGAUGGUGACAUGCACAAAGCUGAGGUUAGCUGAAGACCCUGGCGCAGCCCUGACGGUGAAGGGGUUAACGUGCAGAUCAUGACGCCUGACGGCGUGCCGGGCGGGGCCGGCGCCGGUGACAUCUUGGUGCAAUUGUAUAAUUAGCUUCAUUUCAUCCAAAAACUUCAUGUCAAGAGUUGCUGUCAUGCUCAAUUUUAAAUGCAUAAACAGAUGAUAAAUUACAUGUGCAUUAGGAUCAAGUUCCACACAUGUAACACCUUCAGUAAAUACCAUAAAUAGAGCCAAAGCGUAAAGAGAGUAUUAAAUUGAUUACAUGACAGAAAGUCUUUAAAUUGAAUAGCAAAAUGAGUCUCAAUUCUAGCAGCGAAACUCCAACGAUGAUGAUGACUCCACAUGCAGUUUACUGGUGGCACAUGUAUGCAUACAAAUCCACGAAGUCUUCAGGAACCUCCUCAAAGUAGUCUUGGUUUGAGCAGCGGUUUUAGCAAGGGUGAGUACACUUAUGGUUGGUACUCAGCAAGCGUGAGGAAUGUGUAUGUAGCGAACAUGGCCUUGAUGAGCUCAAGCAAGAAGUGCAAUGGCUGGCUCAUGGGCAAAUUGGCAAAGUUGAAGAGCAAGGACAAGGCGGACAAUGUACAAGCUUCUCAAGACAAGAAGAGCAACGUCCAACCUUCUCAAGAUAACCGUGAUCACAUGGUGAAGAACCUUGAGAAGGGAGCAACCGUGACUUGCUUCAAGUGUCAUGAAGAAGGCCACAAGUCCUACCAAUGCUCUCAAGUGAAGAAGAUGAGAAAAGAUGAGAACAAAAAUAUGAACUUCACCAUCAAGAGCUCCCUCAUCUACACCAAGCCCAACCACGAGAACAAGGCCAAGAGCAACACCUACGUCAUUAAGAGGAAGACCAAUGGCAAGGUGAUUGCACAUAAGGUUGGGAAGAUGAAGAGGGAGUGGGGUUGGAACCGACCCAUUUGGGUGCCCAAGGAAGUGAUCACCAACAUGAAAGGGCCUCAAAAGGUUUGGGUUCCAAAAGACACGUGAAGUCCAUGAUCGGCUAAGGGGGAUUUGGAGGCUUAGCUCACAAGAAGAUGAUGGUUCAAGUCUAAGAAGCCAUGCUCACGACAUUGGACAUAUAUGCCCAAGUCCCCUGGAGAUAUGCAUUGCUUAAUCUUCCAAGUGGUCUUCUUCUCAAACCCCUCUUCUUAUGAGCUACCUCCAUGCAUGAUAUGUUCUAAGCUUCCUAGUAUUUCAUGUCGUUUAGUUGUGCACUUUUUUUCACACCAUCAUGUUGUGCACACACAUAGGGGGAGCUUCGCUAAUGUCAUGCUAGUUUCAUGAAUUAUGUUUCCAUCCUAGUCAUUUUUUAAGUGGUAUCUUCAUUGGUACCAUCACAUGUGGAUCAUGGUUCAUGAAGCUAUCUCCCUAGGCUACUAAUGAUUUCCUUUGAUCUAUGUUUGCAAGGUCUUGUAGGCUUAUAAAUGGAAGAGGUUGCCUUUUUGGCGAUUUGAUUCCAAAGGGGGAGAAAUGUGGAAUCAAAGCAAGAGCCAAUGGAAGAACCUAUGCGUAAACAUACAUACGGGGAGAAAUACAAGAAAAAGGGAGAAUUACAUCAAGGGGGAGUCAUAUGAAGAUGUUCAAAGGCGGAGGUUGGGUGAUGGUAAGCAUCCAAGCAAGUGUAAGUGGUUCAAUUGGUCAAUUUUUGCAAAAUUAUGCUUGCUUUUAGUGUGUUGUCAUAAAUCACCAAAAAAUAGGGAGAUUGUAGCAAACAUAGUCUUGAUAAGACAUUUGUUCAUGAUUUUGGUGAUUCAAUGACAAUAUGGUCAUUAGGACUAACAAAGUGUUGAGAACAUGUUGUGAAGGUAUUCUAGGUCCCAAGGAAGCAACCACAAUCAAAGUGAAGAAAACGAAGGAAAUAGGCACCAUCGGAUGUUCUGAUGGUCCCCAAGAAGGUGUUAGAGUAAUUGCUACGCUGCAAAGAAGACCAGGCAGAGUCAACCAUCGGAUGUUCCGAUGGUCACUUUUAGUGUCGGACGAAUUCUGAGGGACAGGCUUGGAAGGAGGAAAUCCAAUAGCAUCGGAUGAUCAGAUGGCAGGCCAAGGGAAGCGUCGGAUGAAGUAAAUUUACUUCACAAACUUCCAGAUAGGUUUUGGGAAAAAAACCGUUCAGCAGUGGAUGAAACAACGGUAUCAUCAGAUGAAGCGUCGGAUGAAUUUUGGAUGUGUUAGUAAAGAACUUGGGCACUGGGAGGUCAACGGCUAGUUGAACCGGAUGUUCCGAUGCAGGCCAAAAAUAGACCAUUGGAACAUCGGAUGGUAUCCUUUUUUCACUAGCCAUUGGAGCAGCAACUCUUUAAGCCCUUGGAUCUAUUUAUACCCCCACCACUCGCACAUUUGGAGUUGCUGAAGUGUCCAGGGAUGCAUUGAAGACCAAGACUCAUCAAGAACACUUCCAUGCCACCAAAAGUGCUUAAGUGAUCCAUCAAAGGCUCAGCACAAGCUUAGAAGAGUGAUUAGUGCUAGGAUAGGUCUAGACAGGAGUGAGUGCAAGGUGUGCUGACCUUGUGAUCAGGUUCUAGAGUGAACCACCGCUGUACAAGAGGUGUUCUGGCACCUUGGAGCCUUGGUGGCUCGCCGGCAAGUAUUCGACCCUCCGGCUUGGUGUGGAGCGGCGUUGACGACCUUGUGCGAGACACGUGGAGACCCCUAUCUUUCAUGGAGAAGCUCCUUAGUGAAGGCGACAUCAAUGUGACUGAGGGACUUGGCGUGAUCCUUUGUGGCCAAGCCUUUGUGGCAAGUCAAGUAGCACCUUGGGAGAGACUUGGUGACCGGGAGGAAAUAUUCUUGUGUGAGUGCUUUUACAACAUGGACUAGUUGUGUCUUAGUGCCUACCAAUACCACGGGAUAAAUCCUUGUGUCAAGAGUUUGCUUCCCCUCAUCCCCUUCUUACGUUUCCGCAUUUCAUAAUUGCAACUUGUGUGCCUUUAGUUUCCUAGAGUAGUAUCUGGAUAGGAUUGGCUAUAGGUUGCAAAAUUUGUUUUAGGAUGAGGGUUUCACACUAGAUCAAUUAUAGAUUGCACAUUUAGAUAGCAUGAUCUAGUUCAUGUUUUGUUAAAUCUAGUGGAAGCUAUAGGUUUAGUUUUUAAGUUGCCUAAUUCACACCCUCCCUCUCUUAGGCUAUGAGCACCGAUUCCUUUCAGUAUAGUGUAAGGCUAUGCAUGGGAUAGGCUAAGGUUUAACAACAUGUCAGCAUUUUAAUUGGUUGGUCAAGUUUUAUUAGCAAUUACUAAGUAUACCCACAUUAAGCAUGAACAUAAAUAAAUAAAACAGCAACAAAUAACAUCAAUUUAAUUCAACUUCUGUUAAAAUUAAUCAUUUGAUGGUCCAGACCGCUCUAACCAUAAGCACGGCUGAUCGAUCAGUUUUAGACACUCUGCAGAGGUUGUACAUCUUUACCCACAAGUCGUGUUUCCCCAUAUCGCCCGAGGUAACUAGCCUCUUAAACACUUCCAAGGUGAGUGGCUAUGGAUUCACUACGAGAACUUUACAAAGAUUCCCUAGUAGAUAACAGCUCGCUAAGGAUUCAGGUCGAAGCAAAGCAUAAACCUCUCUCAAACUGCGAAGCUACCAUAGAGCAGAUCUGUUCAAGGGCCGGUUAUACUACAUCAACGCCUCCCUUAUUGCCCUUUUGGUAAGAUUAUCACCCACUAGAGUUUCGAAUUAAUUAGCCAAGCCAAAGCCAUAUAGCCUUGUGGUUGCACUGUUUUCCUGGGUGGUCGCUCCAUGUUCCAAUUACAUGAUGCUCUUGUAUUAAGUGAAAGGUAUAGCAUAAGUAAAACAAGUUUAAUCAUUGGUCCAUUAAAACCACCAUAUCCAAGUUGAGCAACUAAGCAAGUACUACCCAACAUAAAGUAAAACCCAGGUGAACAAGGCAUAGGGAUUAAAACUAGCCACUCCUUAGAUAGGACCCAUCAUGUUUAAUCAUUAAAUUGCAUAGCGUGUGUACAUAAAAGUAAAUGUUGCAUAGGUUCAAAUUGUGAUCAAGGACAACACUUGUCUUCCUGAACGUGCUCUUGCUGCUCAAAGCAUUCGGAAGCUUGAUCUUCGAAUCCCUCGAACUGUGAUCUUUCUACUCGCAUCAAACAAGUACGCACAAGCACAUAAAAGAAUAAAAUAAGAAAAUAAUACACCAAAAAGUAGCAAUAGAGCAAAACAAUAUCAUAAAACUAUUCUAUGCAUUAAGACGAACACAUGAGUGAAAGAAUUACUCAACACGGAUUUAAAAUGCUAAAGAUAAAAUUCUAAUAAAUUUAUUAAAUUGCAAAAGUUGAAAAUUAGGGUGUUACAGUUGCCCUAGGCCCAUUGCCUUUGCUACAUGUAUGAUUGUAUCAGUAAUACAGGCAUCUUCAGCAACUAGCCAAUUCCCAGCUGGUUGCUGCAAAACCAAUCUAGUGACAAAGCUGUCCCUCGUGAAAGCACUAAUUGUGCAAAAAUAAAUUGUUCCUGAGCUGCUGUGAAGUAGAAAAAGGAUUCUAGAACUGUUUGUACGGCUCUAUCUCUCGAGAAAAAAGUGUGCCUGAAGGAGAAAAUAUUUGAGGGAAGCAACUUGACUCACUAUAUAUGAAAACUUUGAACUGUUCGUGUUUCCAAAAUAAAAGCUUUGAACUGUUCGUUUUCACGACCUUUUAUGAACACUAUCGGCAGGUUCGUUUAUACGGCAAAUAGUUCACCGCAGGCUCUUCAACUUACUAUAUGAUUAUAAAAUAUAUGAAAGAUCAAACACAUCUCAAAUAUAUCCUCACUAAACUCUAGGCACAGGGAAAAGGGGUUGAGGCUCCUCCAAGUGCCAACUGCAAGCAGGUUGCUCAAACGUAGAAGCAGUAAAUCUCUGAAAUCAAGACAAAUUAUUACAUGGAUAUUUAGUAACAACUAUGACCAAUAAUUUAUUUUUGAAGAACUUUAACCCUUACAAUAAUAGAAGACAAAGCUUAUCUAAUAUAACUAAAAUUUAUUCUAAACCUAGUUACUCUUAACAAUGCUUACGCAUGACCACUUCACGGAUCCUAGACAUUAAUAAGAUAAAGCUUAUGUGAUAUACCUAAAAUCUAUCCUAGACCUAGCUACUCUUGACGAUGCUCACAUAGGACAACUCUACGGACCCAAGAUAUAUUUUGCCGUCCUCUCGUUCGACCACCUCUGUUGGCCUGACAUCCUUCGGACCCGUCAUCUCUUGCAGCUUCUCGCCUUGAGAGCCGAUCCUAAUAGCGACCAAGUGACUGUCCUUUCCAAACGGGAGCUCAUACUUCUCACGGUGCAGCGCCACCCAAUACCCUCCCUUUCCAUCGGGUCUCACAUUAUCCGGGUAUCCCUGCAGGUCGGUAAAUAGCUCAGAUGUACCGGCCUUAGGCCCUCGGAUCCAGUACCUCAUUAGCUUGCAUGGUCCCGUGAGAGCGACGAUGAGGUGACUCCUGUCGGCACUGAUGGCGAUGCCAUUAGGAUAGGUCACGCCGGACUGAAGCACGGUGACCUUGUUAGUCCGUCGGUUGUAUCUCAUGAUCCGUCCCGUGGAGUCUCCUGACGAGGUCACCAUCUGAUGCUGUGCCCGCGUGUACGUCGUGCUACUAUCGGUGAAGUAGACGUCGCCGGUGACCUGAUCAACAUCCACCCCGUUGGUGAAGCGCAGCGGCGCACCGCCGGCCUCAGUGGCAAGCACGGUCGCCUCCCCACCGUUCGGCCCGACGCGCAUCAGCCCCAUGUAUGCGUCCGCGAUGUAUAGGUUGCCGGAGUUGUUGUGGAACCGAAGGCCCAGCGGCCGGCCGCAGGAGCUCUCCCUGGCGACGGCCGGGAGCUCAGACGUCACGCCGCAGUCGUUCUUGGUGUAGCUCGGGCUGUAGGCGAACGUCGUCCACCCGGCGCCCUCGCCGGCAUACUUGAGCACGCGGCCGUCGGAGAUGCUGACGUAGGGCCCGGCGCCGUGGCGGUCGAACGCGACGCUCUCGGGGCCGAUGAGCCCGUCGGGCAGUUCCAGGCGCUGGGUGUUGGUGGCGUCGAUGGCCUUGGCUACGGCGGCCGAGGGCAGGACCAGUAGGACGGCGAACAGGAUCGUCGCGAGCUGAGGCAGCUUCGACGCCCUCCGCCCCAUGGUCGUCGCGGUGGUUCUGUCUUGCUGUUGUUGGCUGUUGACGCUGCUUCUGUUGUUUGGCUUUGAUGGAAAGGGCGUACCCUCUGUCUGGCGUUUUAUUUGGCGGCUCCUUCAGGCUUCAGGUGAUAAAUCCGACUCGGCUUCAGCGCUCAGCACAGAGAAGGACUGUAUCGGAGUCUCCCUCGGCAAGGGAAUAGAAACGGACUCCGAAUCCGAACCAGUUCCCGUAUAAAAGACGUACUAUGUUACGUGCAAUUUUCAUAAGCAGUAGAAUUCAUGAAUUUCGAAUAUGCUACAUACCGAAGCUUAAAAGAGAAAAUUGCUGGGCGUGCACACACGAAGAAAAAGCGGCCGACUUACAAUAUUUUUUUCCGGCAGCCAUGCAGCAGCCCCAACCCCGUAUAGUGGACCUCAAUUGGGAUCUUCUUCGCCUCAACCAGUAUGAUCUGUCAUUUCUAGACUCACCGUUCUCCGAAGAGGAAAUCAAUCAAUCAAUCCUUAGCAUGCCAGGGGAUAAAGCACCUGGUUCGGACGGGUUUACGGGGUUAUUCCUAAAAUCAUGCUGGAGCACCAUAAAACAGGAUGUAAUGGCAGCAGUAAACGCAUUCUACGGUCUCCGAUGCAACAGCCUCCAACUAAUUAACACAGCUACCAUCAUACUCAUCCUGAAGAAAGAGGGGGCGAACACCGUGCAUGACUUCAGGUCUAUAAGCCUCAUUCACUCAUUCAUCAAGAUCAUCACGAAGGCUAUGGCACUGAGAUUGCAACCCCACAUGAAUGCAAUUGUCUCCAAAUGCCAAAGCGCAUUUAUUAAGACGCGGAGUAUCCAUGACAACUUUAUGACAGUGCGAAGUACGGCAAGAAGAUAUCGUAGAAACAAAGUGCCGGCUAUUUUCCUCAAAUUGGACAUCGCUAAAGCCUUCGACUCCAUACGAUGGGACUACCUUCUCCUACUUCAGCGUCACUUGGGAUUCCCCGCGCGCUGGUGCGAUUGGACUGCGGCCAUUCUGUCUACUUCUUCCUCACGCGUCCUCCUAAAUGGAGUCCCGAACCCACCAAUAAAACAUGGCCGUGGGUUGAGGCAAGGUGACCCAUUAUCACCGCUGCUAUUCGUUAUAGCGAUCGAUCCCCUACAAAGAAUCCUACAAUUAGCGACAGAUAUGAACAUCCUUACUAGACUACGUGGAAGGGCGCCCACAUGCCGUAUUUCGAUGUACGUGGAUGAUGCAGCAUUAUUCAUAGCACCAAGAAAAGAGGAAAUUGAUGCACUAACUAACAUCUUGGAAAAUUUCGGGGAAGCAGCAGGUCUCAAAACAGACUUCCGCAAAUCGACUAUCGUCCCUAUCUGUUGCGAAGGCAUGCAAUUGGACGUGGUACUGGAAAAUCUACCGGCGAGGAGGGGAGCCUUUCCAAUCAGAUACCUUGGGCUACCACUAUCCACACUAAGACUGAAAGCUGUAGAUUUCCAACCCUUGUUAGACAAGGUCGUGGCCAAGUUAAAUAGUUGGAGUGGUAGAAACAUGACGACAGCUGGCAGACUCACUUUGGUCAAAUCGAUACUAACUGCUCAGCCGGUUUACUUACUGUCGGCCCUCAAAGUGCCCAAAGAGAUAUUGAAGAUUAUCGAUGCUAAGCGAAGGAAAUUCCUAUGGGCGGGGAUGGAGCCGCUCACAGGUGGGAAAUGCAAAGUGAAUUGGACACGAUCUGCAAGGCCUAGGAGGGGAGGAGGACUAGGUGUGUUACACCUCGAAAAAUUCUCCUGGGCCUUGCGGUUACGGUGGCUCUGGCAGGACUAGAUGAAAGAUGGACCUUCCUGGGAGAGCCAGGACAUCCCUUGCUCCCAAACAGACCGCAAACUCUUUGCGGCAGCAACCAAGAUCACAGUGGGAGAUGGCAACAAGACUUCCUUCUGGGACAGUGGCUGGGUAAGUAGACAAAGGCCAAGGGACAUUGCGCCAAAUCUAUAUCAUAUCUCCAGAAGGAAAAACAGGACACUAUAUGAUGCAGUCACAAAUCGCACGUGGAUAAGAGAUUUAAACCUUCUUCAUCAAGGAUUUACCGCCACAUAUUUCAUUGAGUACUACCGACUAUGGGUUGAGACCAACCGCCUGCACCUUACGCCAGGCAUCCCGGACACCAUCACAUGGAAAUUCACGCCGAAUGGGAAAUAUAGCACACAAUCGGCAUACAGAGUACAAUUCAUAGGAUCCAUGACAACUAAUCUCAAGAACCUAAUCUGGAAAAUAUGGGUGCCACCAAAGUGCAAAUUCUUCAGCUGAUUGGCCGUGCAAGAUAGAAUUUGGACAGCGGACAGACUCCAGCGUCGGGGAUGGACCAGUAACCCAACCUGCCCCUUUUGCAGCACAGUGUAGGAGACAGGGUAUCACCUUUUCACCGACUGCAGUUUCACACGGCUAAUUUGGAUGGAAAUUAACACAUGGACGCAAUGCCCUAAUGUUGAUCCAAGCCGCUGGGAUAGGCACGACUCCAUACAUAAUUGGUGGACAGCUACGCUGGCUAGCCCGAUGGCUGAGGGAAACGGGGGAAAGGGUUGUGGACCCUCAUUAUCCUCGUUCUUUGGGAGAUCUGGCUAGAGAGAAAUCGGAGGGUCUUCCAACACAAAGACAAGACGGUUACCCAGAUAACCGACGGCAUCAAGAACCAAGCUGCGAUGUGGGUCGUUGCGGGAGCUAAACACUUGGGGGACUUUCUCUCAGGUUGAGUGUUCCGUUUUGUACUAGUUGUCAUAGUGGAGUUCUACCUCCCUGUUUCGGGGAUGCGAGUGUACAGCUUGUAUAGUAUGUUUGUAUACGGCCCAUCAGGCUUUUCCUCUCUUUUAAUAUAGCAGCAGCUCUCCUGCUGGCUCGUUUCAAAAAAAAAAUAUGCUGACAUGGAGUCUCCUAGGUUUCUAGCCGAGCGAAGAGACGAAUUUGAUCACGUAUAAUGUUAGUCCAAAAAUACUUUCAAUAACCAGCUGGUGCCGCGGGCACAGAGACAACCAGUAUCAUUGCCACCUUUUUUGUGCGCCAAUUGCAUAGUGGACCUCCAACUAGUAUGAAAUUUCUAUUUUUCAACCUUCAUUUCAGAACGGGCAGCUAAAAUGUCAAAACCAUUUCGCGCAAAUGCCACAUGGAAUAAAAAUUGGAAGGGAUCUGCUGAGUUGUUGGAGGUGUUUUUAUAAUACCCAUCACAUGAUUGGGCAUAAGCACCAGGUAACACUAUAGAAAAAGGAAUUACAGCAUAUAACAAAAUGCAUUGACCAAAGUCAAACUCUAGAAGUGUUGCAUCCUAGGCCCGAGGCAACCUUUUACUAAUGACACUCGAGGAAAAGUUAUGCACCCCUCUCUCAACAGAACUGACCUUUCAUCCACCCCUUUUAUCCUGGCUAACAUUAGGCCCGUGACUAAAGUGGGAGCUUUAGUCCCAGAUGUAAAUACCAACCGGGACUAAAGCCCCCCUUUAGUCCUGGUUGUAACGGUCGAAAAAAUCGCACCGACGCCGUCCCCGUUUUAUCCCGGUUGGAAGCUCCAACCGGGACAAAAUAUCCCCCCUUUUGUCAUUGUUGGAGUUACAAACCGGGACAAAAGAGUUAGUCCCAGUUGGUAAUUCCAACAGGGACAAAAGGGUGUGUCUUUUUAGGCGACUUUUGGUUGGUUUUGGCUUGCCACCAUGGACCAUGCUCAGGAGAUAGAUCUUUUGCCUUGACGGGCUAUUGUGUGUGUGCACCUGAUAAAGGAGUUUCUUUGAUGAAAUCCGAGUAGAAAUCGAGAUUGUGGUCUUCAAUUAUCUCUGAUCCAGAUUUUGACUUGAAUAAGGUUGCUUGAUAAACCAAAGCCAUGUCUCGGAGUCCAAAUGGAAAUUGACUCGAAGUUUGAUUCGGUUUGAGCGAUGGCCUAUUUGCAUGCUUGUGGGAGCCAGUUCGAGUUAUUGUAGAGUUUGAGUUGUACUCGAGCUCACUGUUUGUCAGAUUAAAAAUUUUGUUGAAUUUCUCGACGAAAUCCUCCGUAGCUUGUCGACGAAGGGUGACGUCGAGUUGCUUCUUCUCCGGGGCCUCUGUGAUGUAGCGAUGGAAACUUCCAGCACCAUUGGAAUUGCAGACCCAGGAGCUGAAGAUGAAAGUUGCGCCAGCUUCGAACGCAAUCAUAGGCUUGAUGAUGACUUGAUCCAUCGAACUCGUGUGGAGGAUUUUGGCGACUUCCCCUACCUGGCACGCCAGCUAUCAGUGUUUUAACCCGACAACCUGCCUAGGGAGUACCCAAGGUAGAGUUUUUGGUUAGUGGGUGUAACCAAAAUCAAGAGCUCGAUGGUGUACGUAGGCAUGCGAUUUUGACAGGUUCGGGCCACUAGAUUGCGUAAUACCCUACGUCCUGUAUGUUGUUUGCUUGUAUUCGAUUGAACCUAUCUUGAGGGGUCCCCUACCCUCCCUUAUAUACCGGGGGAGUAGGGUUACAGAUUAGUUGUCAUACAGGAGUACUAGUCGGAUUCGACAAGAGGGUUCUACUCUAACUCGGAGGAGUAGUUUCCAUGUCUUCGACUAGUCCCCUGGAGUCCAUGUAGACUACGCCACCCUGUACCAUAGUCUCCAUGUCUUGAUACGAUUCGGUGCACGUCUUCUGGUGUGAGUCCGUACAAGUCUUCUGGUGGGCCCAUAGGUGUAUGGCCGACACAUGGCAGUACUCAAGUACAUUCGAAGACCCAAUCCGAUGAAGUACUCAAAAGGAGCACCACAAACUAGUCAGAGACAUCUACAAAAGUACUCAGGACUGCUACAUUUGACUAAAAAGUACUCAGGGGCUUGUCGGCCAUACAUCUAUAGGCUCACCGAGAGACUUGGACAGUCCUAGAUAUGGGCUGUGUACCGAGACGUGUCAGACAUGGAGACUACAGUGCAGGACGGCGUGGUAUAUGUGGAGGACAAGAACUAGUUGAGGAUUAGGAAACUACUCAUAGCAAUUAGAGUAGGACUCUCUAGUCAAAUCCAAUUAGCAGGGCUGAGCCCAAGCAGAUGCGACCUGUGCAAUCGCACAGGGCCUCCAAAUUCUAGGGGCCCACCAGAGCAGGGCACAGGAGACCGCAGACCUAUAGUCCGUUAGGCCACGGCACGGGCGCACGGCAAGUCUGUCCAUCCGCUGAUCCGCCGAUCCACAUUCCAGUUCCACGGGUGAUGGGUCACGGGACUCCAGGCAUCAUGGGACUCCAGGACAGGGCAGGCGGUGUGAAAUCAAUUGGCUGGGACAAUGGGACUCCAGGCAAGCAUCAGGCAACCAGGCAUCAGGGUCAGGCCAGGGCGUCGGCUCCAAGCGUCACCGCCAAGUUGGUCACCGCUGGGCGUUGACUCACCACGAUCCACGUCAGGCUCUCAGGCGCAGAUUGUUUUUCACCGGCUAAUUGCUUUUCGCUCGCCAGCCGAUUGCUUUGUGAAUUGUGAUUGAUCGAGUCUCCAGGUGUACUAAUAAUUUGGUCCAGUUAAUUUUCAAUAUUUUAAUCAAUGUUGAUGGGUGAUGACUAAUGACUAAUAUAAUAUUGAUCCAUCUAGGUGUUCAAUUAUCUUUAUUCUGGUUCUGGAUUAUCUAGUGUUCCAAGGUUCUAGUCAUGUCUUCUACAAACCGGUCUAGAAAGUAUGAAUCUGGUUACCAAAAGCGUAAGAAAAAACAAAGAAUAGAGGAUUUAACUCAAUCUGAAAAGGGGGCUAUGGAUAAAUUUGUUAGAAAAGAGUCACAAGUGUCCACCGAUAAUCGAUAAUCAGUCACUUGGUCAGGGACAGGGAACUGCACUUGAUAAUAAUGAUGACAAUGAUUCUAGAGAUGGUCAAAUAGAGUCAGAAAAUAUUGUUGGGGUCGAGAAAGUUCUUAUCGAUAACACAACAUUGAAAUGGAUAACAAUGCUAAUAACAUUGAAAUGGAUAUUUGAUCCUAGAUAUUGGGAUUCCAUUGAUGAUAAACAAAUUGAUAUUUUAGCACAAAAGGACCCUAGAAGAGAUUUAUCAAUUCAGAAAGAUCCUAAGGAUAGAUAUUCUAGAAGGUUUUCUACACUAUUCUAUACAAGAAUUUUAUCAAAUGGAGAGCACUGUGAUAGGGAUUGGCUUGUCUACUCUAAGGAAUUUGAUAGGAUCUUUUGCUUUGGUUGUAAAUUAUUUACAAAAGGCCAUCGAAAAGGUCAGUUGGCAAAUGAGGGGUUUAAUGAUUGGAGACAUCUUGCUAAUAGACUUAAAGAGCAUGAGACAAGUGCAGAUCAUGUAUCGAGUAUGACAACUUGGUAUGAGUUGCGUAGUAGAUUGCAAAAGGAUCAAACUAUUGAUAAAGCCGCUCAACGACAACUCAAGAAAGAAAAGGACCAUUGGAGAAAAGUUUUGUUUGUAAUUGUUAGCAUUGUUAAAUUUCUUGCCAAGCAUAAUCUAGCUUUUCGUGGGACUAAUAGCAGACUAUAUGAAGAUAGCAAUGGGAAUUUCUUGGGAUUGGUAGAGAUGUUGGUUGAAUUUGACCCAAUUAUUCAAGAAAAUGUUCGUUGUAUUACAAGUGAGGAAACUCAAUCUCAUUAUCUUGAUUUUAAGAUUCAAAAUGAGUUGAUACACUUGCUUGCUUCUGCUAUUAAGUCUGAAAUUAUUAAGAAAAUAAAGAGUGUAAAGUACUUCUAUGUCAUACUUGAUUGUACUCCUAAUGCAAGCCAACAAGAACAAAUGUCCUUAAUUAUAAAAUAUGUUGACUCAUCUUCAAGUGAUGUUCGCAUAGAAGAAUCCUUUCUAGGAUUUUUGGAUGUCAAUGAUACAAUUGGGCAAGGAAUUUUUGAUGUGCUAGAGAAUGAACUAAAGCUCCUUGGUCUUGAUAUAGAUGAUGUGAGAGGACAAGGUUAUGACAAUGGGUCAAAUAUGAAAGGAAAACAUAAAGGGGUAAAAAAAGAAACUUUUGGAUGUAAAUUCUCGUGCUUUCUAUUCUACUUGUGGUUGCCAUAGCCUUAAUUUAACACUUUGUGAUAUGGCUAAGACUUGUGGUAAAGCUAAGGACUUCCUUGGAAUCAUCCAGCGCAUCUAUACAUCUUUUGCUAAUUCUACUAAGAAAUGGCAGAUUCUGAAAGAUAACAUAUCAGGAUUGACUCUCAAGUUAGUAUCAGCUACACGUUGGGAGAGUCGUGUUGAAAAUGUUAAAGCUAUUAGAUUUCAGUGCACAGACAUUCGAGAGGCUCUACUUCAGGUACCCAAUAUUGUUGUAUUGAUAUUUGAUAAUGAUGUACUUAUUUUGGCUAUCUCCAACUAUAACACAUAUUUUCUUGCUUUCAAUUUCAGGUAUCUGAUGUUGAUAAUGAUCCAAAAACAAACAGUGAGGCUAAGGGCUUGGAAACAAUGAACUUGGAGAGUAUGAAUUUAUAGUGGCAAUAUUAAUUUGGUAUGAGGUAUUAUAUGCCGUUAAUUUAGUAAGCAAACACUUGCAAGCAAAGGAUAUGCUUAUUGAUGUUGCUAUUGAGAAGGUGGAAGGGCUGAUUUCUUUCUUCAAGGGUUAUAGGGAAACUCGUUUCUUAGAAGCAUUAGAGAUUGCCAAAGGAAUUGCACUUGAGAUGGAUAUUGGUACAACGUUUCAUAAAAGAAGAGAAAUUAAAAGAAAGAGACAUUUUGAUGAUAACCUAGAUGACACAAAUGCUGCUACACAGUCUGCAGAGGACCUAUUUAGAAUUAACUAUUUUGUACCUAUUGUUGAUCAAGCAAUUUCCUCACUUACAACAAGAUUUGAACAAUACCAGAGUUACCAAAAAAAAUUUGGUUUCUUAUUUACCUCUGAAACGUUAUAGUCAUUGGAUGACAUGAGUUUGAAAUCUUCUUGUGUUAAUCUUGGGGCUGUCCUUACAAAAGAUGGAAAAUCUGAUGUUGAUGCCAAUGAUUUGUAUGUGGAGUUGAAGUUUCUUCAAGGUUUCAUCCCUAAAGAAAGUAUGGGUCCUAUUGAAAUUCGAAAGUUCCUAAAGCAGUAUGAUUGUUUUUCCAAUGCAAGUAUUGCAUAUAGAGUUCUAUUGACCAUUCCUGUGACCGCUGCAUCGGCAGAGCGAAGCUUUUCUAAAUUGAAACUAUUGAAGUCAUAUUUGUGUUCGACAAUGACACAACAAAGACUUAAUGAUUUGGCCACAAUAGCACUUGAGAGUGAAGUGCUAGAGAAGAUUGCUUAUGAGCGUAUCAUUGAAGAUUUCAUUUCAAGGAACACUAAAAGAAUGAAGCACUUCGAGUAAAGAUUAUGAAAGCAAGAGUCGAAUAGGUACGGUUUUUGAUAAAUCUUAUUGUGAUAUAUAUCAUAUAUCUUAUUUGUAGUCCUAUUUUUUAGGGAGGUAGGCCUCAUUUUAGAGUUUGGCACAGGGUCUCGAUUUUUAACGGCUCGGACCUGCCGAUUAGUAUUCUUGUAAAAAACCGACUUGUGACCCUGCCCCCGGCAAUAUAAGGCGAGGCAGGGAUCCCCUCCAAACAAGUCUAACCAAUACAAUCCAACCAACACACAGGACGUAGGGUAUUAUGCGACAUAAGCAGCCCGAACCUAUCUAAAUCGUGUGUUCAAGUUCACCUUCAAGUUCCUGAUCUUGGCGAGCUCCACACAUAAAACACUACCUCGGGUACCUCCUCGAUAGGUUGUCGGGUCUAAACACCGACAAUAUGUACAAGGUACCUAUUUUAGUGUUGUCAGGCUUGACAUGGUUGUUCUUCCUCUAUGGUGUAAACAUCAACAUAAUUGACAGUCACGACAUCAGGUUCCAAGAAUGCCUUUAGUCGCUGUCCAUUCACAAAAUUUUGAUCUCCUUUGACAUCCAUAAUCAUUACCGCUCCGAUAGGUGAUACAGAAUGAACCACGCAUGGUCUGUCCCACUAGCUCAUCAAUUUUCCUUUACCAAAGAGUUUGAUUCUAGAGUUUGAACAGUAGCACUUUGUCUCCUUCUUUGAAUUCUUUCUUGUAAAGCCAUUUAUCAAACUACCUCUUUAUUCUUUCCUUAUAAAUGCUUGCACUGUGGUAAGUUUUAAGUCUCGUCUCUUCUAAUUCACUUAUUUGAAUUCUUCUUUUUUACUCUUGCAGCACCAACAUCAAGGUCUAUUUCCUUUAUAGCCCAAUAAUCUUUAUGUUCGAGUUCAACGGGAAGGUGGCAUGUUUUUCCAUAGACAAAUUGAUAUGGGGUCAUACCUAUAGGUGUUUUGUGAGCUGUCCUGUAUGCCCAUAAUGCUCCAUCUAACCUCUUUGACCAAUCCUUUCCUCUGAUCACCGUCUUCUUCAGGAUAUCCUUCAGUUGUUUAUUAGAAGUUUCUGGUUAUCCAUUUGUUUGAGGAUGAUAGGUUUAUUAGAAGUUUCUAGUUAUCCAUUUGUUUGAGGAUGAUAGGCUGUAGAUACUCUAUGUUCAAUCACCAAUUUUGAUAGACAUUUGCAAAAAUCUUUUCGUGUGAAAUGUGAUCAUCCAUCCCUGAUCAAAAUUCUUGGCACUCCAUACCUAGGAAAUAUUAUAGUCUUAAUCAUGUGAAUUGAUUCUUUUGUUGAUGCCUUCCGAAAUGGAAUAGCUUCUACCCAUUUAGACACAUAAUCAAGCAUGACCAAGAUGUGCUCAUACCUAUGCGAGUUUAAGAAUGGUCCCAUGAAAUCUAUACCCCAACGUCAAAUAAAUCCACCUACAAGUUGUAGUUCAAUAGCAUAGAAUUUCUAGCUGAAAUAUUUCUUGUUCUUUGGCAUUCCAGGCAAGUAGCAAUGAAUCUCUUUGCAUCUUCAUGCAUCUUUGGCCAAUAAAAUCUGCUUGCCCAGACUUUUUCAUGAGUUUUAAAGUAUCCAUAACGUCCUCCAUAUUCUGAUGAAUGAUAUUUUCAAAGUACCACCUCCCUCUUCUCUUGGAAUGCAUCUUCUUAAUACUCCAUCUACUCCAUAUCUAUAUAGGUAAGGUGCAGACCAAUAGUAUUUCUUGCUUUCAGCAACCACUUUUCUCCUUUCAUUCCUUUGUAAGUGAUUCAAGGGAGCUCUUUUUGUUGCUCUAAUAAUAUCAUUCAAUCCAUGUAUCCUUGUCGAGGAUUCUAUAUAGAUGAUCAUCCCUCAUUCGAUCUUCAAUAGGCUCGUUUCCAUCAUCUUGUUGAUACUAUUCUCGACAAAUGGUCAGCCACCACAUUUUUUGAUCCCUUUUUAUCUCUGACCUCCACAUCAAAUUCUUGUAGCAGCAAUAUCCAGCGAAUCAGACGUGGUUUAGCAUCUUUCUUGCACAAAAGAUAUUUAAUCAUAGCGUGCUCGGUGUACACAAUCACCUUGGAGUUCACAAUAUAAGAUCUGAAUUUUUCAAAAGCGAACACUACCGCAAGAAAUUCUUUCUCCGUAGUUGUUUAAUUUAUUUGAGCCUCAUUUAAAGUCUUACUAGCAUAGUAAAUUACAUGUACCUUCCCUUCUUUUCUUUGUCCAAGGACUGCCCCAACAACAUAAUCACUUGCAUCGCAUAUUAUUUCGAAAGUAGAUUCCAAUCUGGAGGCUGAAUGAUGGGCGCACUGAUGAGUGAUUGUUUUAAAGUUUUGAAAGCUUGGAGGCGGUUUUUAUCAAACUCGAAAUUGACAUCCUUUUGCAGGAGUAGUGUCAAUGGUUUGGUGAUCUUCAAAAAAUCCUUAAUGAAUCUCCUGUAAAAUCCAGCAUGUCCAAGAAAGCUUCUCAAUGACUUGAUAUCUGUGGGCGGACGCAACUUUUCCAUAGUUUUAAUUUUUACUUUAUCAACCUCUAUCCCUCUUUCUAAGAUUACAUGCCAAAGUACUAUUCCUUGUUUUACCAUAAAGUGGCACUUCUCCUAGUUUAGGACUAGAUGAACUUAUCCACAUUGCUUAAGAACUUUAUCAAGAUUUUCCAGACAGUUGUCGAAACUUGUACCAUGAAUUGAAAAAUCAUCCAUAAAUACCUCCAUGAUAUCUUCAAUGAAAUCCGAAAAUAUAGCCAUCAUGUCGUGUUGAAAAGAUGCAGGUGCAUUGCACAAUCCACAAAGCAUCCUUCUAUAAGUGAAAUUUCCAUAUGGACAAGUGAACGUGGUCUUAUGCUAAUCAUCUGGGUGUAUAGGAAUCUGAAAGAACCCAGAAUAUAUAUAAUCAUAGCAAAAGUGAGAAUGCUUUGCUAAUCUUUCGAGCAUUUCAUAAAUGAAAGGCAAAGGGAAGUGAUCCUUCCUGGUUGCCUUUAUUCAGCUUCUGGUAGUCGAUACACAUCCUCCACCUUGUCACCAUUCUUUGAGGGAUCAGUUCAUUCUUCUCGUUUGUCAUGACAACAAGUCCUCCUUUCUUAGUUACACAAUGCACUGGGCUCAACCAUUCACUGUGUGGUACUGGAUAAAUAAUCCCAACAUUAAGCAAUUUGAUUACCUCCUUCUUUACCACAUCGCGCAUAGCAUGGCUUAGUCUUCCUUGUCCCUCCACAACUAGCUUAUCUUGACCUUCUAACUGUAUCUGGUAAGUGCACAAGGCUAGACUGAUUCCUUUUAAGUCUUUAAUUGUGUACCCAAUCACUUUUUGAUGUCUUUUCAAUAAAUUCAACAACUUAGUUUCUUCUUUGCUUAACUCAUCGCUAACAAUGACUGGAUACAUUUUUUUAUUCCCUAAAUAUUCAUAUUUUAAUCCCUUGGGUAACAGCUUCUGCUCAACAUCUGGUGCUUCUGGUUCUUAUUGCACCAAUUCUCCAAUUAAUAUCUUUGAAUUUUCCUUCCUCCAGAGUUUCAUAUUGAGGUGACAAUGCUUCAGUUGCUUCUCCCAAUUCGUUAUCCUCAUUAUUUUCCAUUGCUCUUAGUAAAGGAUCCCUGGAACUUUCAGCAAAGUAUACACUUUCUACCUUCUUGUUAUUAGGAGAUGGAUGCAAAUUUUUUCGAGAUGCAGGCAAAAAAUCAUAAGUAUAUUUGGCACCAUCAAGAUUAAUUGUUACUUUUCCUUCUCCCGCAUCAAGCACAGCAUUUACCAACUUAAGAAAAGGUCUACCAAGGAUUAUACCAUCAUGUUUAUCAUGGCAAGCAUCAAUAACAAAGAAAUCAAUUGGUAUAGAUUUAUUUGAGAUAUUAACUUUUAGAUUUCUAAGCACACCCAAAGGUUCGGUUGUUCUACCAUCUCCCAUGAUCAAUUUAAUUGGUGUUGGAGCAAGUUGCAAAGUCUUACUAAAAACUUUAUCAUAAAGUUUCGAAGACAUGACACUUACAUGUGCUCAAAUAUCACAAAGUGCUUUGUUGAUAAUCUUCCCAUUGAUCAUGCAGUUGAUAUGCGCUGUAGGCAAAUGUGCUCCCUCAUGUUGAUUGAUCACAAUUGCGUAUAUUUGCGCUAGACUGGUGAAAGGUGAUGCUUCAGGUUUUACUCCCAUGACUCCUUUUACUUCAGCAACAAAUUUUGGGUCUACUUCUUCGCUGAAAACUAGUUGUUUCCUUGUCAAGCACAUACCCAGUGUGUUUCUCUGGUGGAAAAUCCGUGUCUAUGGCACUGGUUGACCCCUUUUGAUUUGGAUAUGGCCUAUAUUUAUCAAAUAUCUCGUUGAAAUCGAUAGGAACCCAAUCCAUUUGUUCAAACUUCCGCAGGGGUUUUGCAUUUGCCAAGCUUUGAGCUUCUGAUGUUUCUAGUUUAUCGUCUUUGAUGCACUGGGUAGGUUCCUCCUUUAUGUGUGUUGGUUCUUCUUCUUUUUGCACCAUAGGUUCUUCCUUCUCUUCCUUCUGGACUUCUUUUCUGAAAAUUCCAGCAAGUAUAUGUCCGUGAUUUCCUUACUUUUGUGCCCCAGAUUGAUAGUUAUCCCAUUCUCUGUUUACGGCUGCUCCUCUAAUGAUUUUCUGUAGAAGUUGUAUAGCCUCCCUGAGUAUCUUUUCCAUAAGGUCUCCUCCUGCACACAUUUGAACAAAUUCCCGGUAUUUUUGGGUUAGUAAAAAAUAAAAUGUAUGCAACAACACAUCACCUGAGAAUCCAAGCUUAGGUCCUUAUUCGAGUAGUCUGUUAAAUCUGUCCCAAGCUUGAUCUAUUCCUUCAUCUUCUCCUUGCACGAACAUGAUCAUUUCCUUCCGAAGGUUCUAAAGUUUGCUAAUAGAGAAAAAUCUCCCACAAAAUUUUGUCAUUAGUGUCUCCCAAUUCCGCUUCGCGUCGAAAGAAGCUUCUACAUACCAUCAUCUUGCUUCAUUUGCAAGUGAAAACGGGAAUAGAUUCCACCUGAACCAAGCUGGCAGAAUUCCUUCUUGUUGUAGCGUAUUGCAUAGCAUCGUGAAUCGCUCAAUGUGUCUAUAUGGAUUAUCAGUCUCCACUCCUUGGAAAGGAUUGCUUCCAGCCAUGUCAAUUAUUCCUUUAUCCAAGAUGUACUCCUUGACUGCAAGCACUGAGUUAAAUUUCUGCAUGUCGAAUUGAUCAGUUAAUGGAAUUCAAUAGUCCCUCAGUGACUUUUCUCCUUCCUCCUUGUAGUGAUCAAUCAGAGCCAUCUAGACACCAAAAAUAAAAGGUUUUCUUUUCUAGAGAAAAAGUUAGAUGUUAGAGGAUACAAAAAUUAAUACAAAGUUAAACGUAGCAAAACUGACUUGUUCCCCGGCAACGGCGCUAGGAAAGCUUGUUGACGGCAGUUAGCAUGUCAAUUUAUGAACCGCAAACAUACGGAUCAGUUGUACUCUUUCCGAAGACUAUCCCCCAAGGUCUACCAAUCCGUGGAACAAGUGGAUUUGCACGCUUAACUAAGCACUAAUCUAUGUAACCAAAGGUUCUUUGUAUAUGAUAAAAUUGAUCUAACAAAAGAACUAGUGACUUAGAUUAAACCAGAUAGAGAGCAUGGAUGUAGACAAGAUAGAUAAAAUGCUUGUCCUAGGGAUCUAGGAUCACUUGUAGAUGUAAUCACCAUGCAUCAAAGAAUUAGAUCUAAGUGUUAUCGUGAGUGGAUGUGAACCAUGCCCAACACCUUCCCUCUCGCACGUUGUCACUACACGAGGGUACUCAAAUAUUGAACGAUAAGAACACGGCUUGAUGAUCAUUCUAGGUAAGAAAAUAAGCAACCCAAAGUAGCGCUGUCUAGCCAUUACAUGAAGGAGCAUCAUCACGAUGUGAUAAAUAACAAACAGAUCUUAAACAAGAGGUUCAACGAUUACAAAUCAAGGUCUCCAUACAACCUCAAGGACAAACAGAGACUUUACCCCAUGAUCUUACACAUGUUGACAGAAUUCUGAGUAAAGAUCGCCCUGUAGAUCAACUGGACCGAAGGGGACGAUGAACGGGGACCGAUCGGCUUGGGAGGUUCCUUCCUCCUCUAGUACUCCGCUUCGCGUGGUUUCUCGUAGAUCCAAUCUUUUCUUUAUUUUUCCUCCUUAUGGCGACGGUGGAUGGUGCUUGAGUGGUGUUUUCUUCUCUCUACCAACCCCUCCUCCUUAAAGUCCAUGAGGGGGUAUUUAUAGUCUCCCAUAAGCGGCAGUUCUGGGCCAAUGUCAAUGAAAAAAACCCUAGAGGUCAUCGUAAACUUCACGCUGAAGAAAUGGGAGGUCGACCGGGUCCUCAAAUGGGCCAGGCCGAUCAGCCCCGAGCUCCCAGGCCAAUCGGCCUGGACCCUUCCUAGCCCUUCUGGUCCUCUCCUUCCUCGUGCUGACUUUCUUUGAUGAUCCAUGUCCAAAUAUCCAUUAAACUCUUUAUGCAAACCCCCUCGAUUACGUCGUAUUUCAUGUCAUAAUGCAAUAUACUUUAAAAUACAACACAUAUACAAUAAUGGAUUAUUUCAGGUGCCAAAUGGCUGGUUAGUAUAAAAUUAAGCAUGAAAAUACUAGUUAAAUGACACUAAAAGUGUGUCGAUAAUAAACGUCAACACCUAGCUUGCUGGAAAUGGGGACUUGACUAAUAAGAGGUUAGUUGCAUUCGUGAAACAUUGCUAAGGGCCUAACCAAACAACUAAAAAUUGACUGCUCUCCGGAGGCCCAUAUGGAUCGGACUAUAUCCUAGUGGAAUAACGACCAGCUACUUUACAUUCGCUACCAUGCAUGGGCCCUUUUAAGGCCGCAGAACGUGCUUUGGUCCUGACGCCGUUUUUCAACGUGGAGACGUUAGACGGAGGAAUAAUCGGCGCUUUACAGGAACACGCCUCAGAAACGACUCACGAUCAUCUAAAGGUACAGAAUAUCCUUGCUGAUAUCAGAUUGCAUGAGACACAUGGAUUAAUUAUGUCCUCUCGACAGAGACUGAGGGCCUCACCAAUCAUCAUCUAAAUGAUAGUUUAAAUCAGAGGGUUUGUUUAGGCCUGUUAAAGCUGCCAGGGUUGCUCGGAUAUCUAUGCGGUGCUAAUGACCAGUUGCCCACCACAAGCAACUAUUUAUACAGCCACCUAACAAAGGGUUCUGCCGCACUAAUAUCAACAUCGAAACAAAGGUUUAUAAGUUUAUUAGUUUAGCGGUCACACAAUUUUUUAAUCUUUUUUUUUAUUCUGCCACCACACACGUGCCUCGUUAUCUACGAGUACAUUGCGAGCGACUACAAGAUCUUGUACCCGAAAAAAUUCUUCUUUCUCCUGAAAAAAUUUCCUCUAAAAACAUAUCAAUCCACGGUAGAUCGCUAAUAAAUUGCCCCUAAUAUUUCAAAACAGGCCACGUCAUCGUAUUGGGCCCAUCAGGAGGGACGCGCGGGCAUGCGGGAAAUUAGGAUUGGAGGACGAACACCAACGCUAAAAUAUACGUGGUGGCAAGCUGUUUUUUAGCAUCGUUAAAAAGUUGGGGAAGGUUUGGAUGGACUGUUGGAGUUCUUUUUUUCUCUUUUUCUCCCUAAAAAGGAUAUUGGGGGUAAAAUUAGUAGUCUUUUGGAGUUGCUCUUACCAUAAAAAAUAGUACCACUUAAAAUCUUAUAAUAAGUUUAGAAAAAUACUAGUACCAUACAAAAUUGUGGACUUAAUUAGUGCUAAUUGCAGGGUGCAGGCAUGCCGUCUUCCGUUUGCAUGACUCCUUGAACCGAUUUUUUGGAUUGUUUGGAUCACUUUGUGGAAACACGUUUCCAUGAACCUGUUUUCACAUAAAGAACUCUAAAUCUUUGUUUGGAUAACCUAACAGAAUCCGGUACUUGGAAAAUGAGUUUCCCAAAAAUCAGAAAAAGAUGUUUUAAUGAAAACACACUGCUACAGAAGUCCCUAUCACCGCUGGCCCAAAAAUGACAUCCGUCAAUUUUGGACAUUGCUGGCAAACGAUCGGUGGUGAUGGGCAUAGCUCCGUUGCUCCGAGGUAAUCUCGGGGGUGUUUGGUUUGCAUAAGCAGCUAAAAUAACCAACUUUUAGUAAAAAAACCAAACACCCUUGUUUAUUGGAGCUAAAGUUGGAUUUCUUAUCAUAAGUCCAUAAGCAACACUUGGGUUGUAUUAGAGCUAAAAGGUGAUCUUUAUACCCCUGCUCUCAUUUAUGUCUGGUUGUCUCCCCCUCUCUCUCCCCCUCAUUCAAUGCUUUUUAGGAGCAAACAUGUCAAUAUCAACCCCAUUCAAUGCUGUUUAGCCCAUCAAACCAAACACCUAAGGGCCUGUUUCUUUCCACCCUCAUAAAGUUUUAGCUCCUAAAAGAUUUUAGGCACCUCCUAAAGUAUGUUUGGUUCCACCUCCUAAAAGUGACUAAAGGCAAUGAAUGAAGUGGUAAAAUGACCAAGAUGCACCUCUCCCCCACCAACCCGCUACCCCUGUUCCCCUCCACGGCGUUCCCCGAGCUGAGCAGAGCCCGUCCGCUGAUCAAAUCCCCAGCCUCUGCUCCACCAUCUUCAAAUCGUCGCCUCCCACGGCUUCCUGACCCCCUCCUCUUCCCCCUCGACCACUCCUUGUCCGCCGCCGUAGCUCCUGGCGCCGGGAAUGUCAGAUCCCGCGGCCGCCAUUCCCGCCCGCCCAAGCUCGGGUGCCGCCGCCGAACACCACCUCCCCGGCCUCCUCGUCCCCAACAAGCAGCCAAAACGGGGUCGUGGUGAAGCCCCGGUGCUCCUGCGCCCAUCACCGGCCGCUCUACCUCGCCGUGCCGGACUCCCGGCACCGCUCCCCAUCCGCCGGCCAAGCGUUGCCAACUCAUGCCUGUGUGCGUGGGUGUGUUGAGGGUGCUGGGCGGCGGCGGGAGUUGGGCGGCGGGAGAUGGGCGGCCGCGGCAGCCCUACACGCGGCUGCUGGCCGCCGGGGCGCGGGACGCGGUGGCCACGGCGGCGACGUGGCACCCGUGGCGCCCUGCAUGCCGCUCGCCGCGGGCGUCGCGGCGGGGAUGGACGGCGGGAGAUGGGCGGCGGCAGGAGAUAGGCGGCGGCGGCGGGAGUCGGGCGGCGGCGGGAGUCGAGCAGGAGAGAGAGAGGGUAAGGUGGGGUCUGGUGUGCGGUGGGGGUGGGUGUGGGGGUAGGAGCGGUCCAGAACCGAUUUUAGUCGGUUUUAGGAGGGGGUGAGGGCCUAAAAGAUUUGGACCUCCUAAAAGAUUUUAGUCACUUUUUAGGAGAAGUGUUUGGCACUUUAGGCAGUUUUUAGUCACUUUUUAGGAGGUAAGGUUUUAGGAGGGUGGAAACAAAUAGGCCCUACGACUAAAAAUAAGCAACUCCAAACAGACCCCUCCUCUUCUUAUGGAUCAAUUUAAUGCCCAGAGAUAGGCCCGUGUCCUGUGUUUUAUUAAGUAAUAUAUUUAGAGCAAUUAUUGUUUGUAGUAAUUGGGCAGUUAAACUCUAUGGUUGAUUGCUUGUGCGAUAACCAUUUUUGUUCUCACCUUAAAGUGUUCGUGUGUUUUAUGCGGGCUUGGUUAUAUAUAUAUUUGUAGUUGUAGCUGUUUGCUGUAAACAAGUCCAGUGGUGGGAAGCGGCUGUUUUAUUUUUUGAUAAAGCAAUAAGCGGGUAGUUUAUUAGCUGCAAGUGAAAGCAAUAGAGAUUGCGUGGGAUAAUAGAUUAAUUAGGGUAUACAACAUGUACAAAUAUAUAGGCAGCUUUUGGUGAGGUUUAUAGAAACACAACCGACCAAGGGAUAAGACUGCCCAUCCUAAUCCAUCUAGGGCACGGCAGGGCAGCCAGGGCUCAUCUACACGCACAACACAUACAAUACAUACACAUCUUCUAACACGCCCCCACAGUCUGAUCAUCGGCAGCUUGAACGUUCAUAUUGGACCUGAACUCCGUGAACACUAAAGAAUGCAGGCCUUUGGUGAAAAUGUCAGCGUCCUGAGAGCUCGUCGGAACAUGAAACACCCAGACAUAGUAGCAACACACUCACGAACAAAGUGUAGAUCAAUCUCCACAUGUUUUAUGCGCUGAUGCUGAACGAGGUUCGAAGACAUGUAGACAGUGUUGAUGUUAUCGCAAUAAACCAAGGUGGUGCAACGCAGAGGAACAUGCAGCUCAACUAGAAGUUGGCGCAACCAGGAGACCUCGGCAACGGGAUUGGCAACCGCCCGAUACUCAGCCUCGGCACUCGAGCAAAAGACUAUAGUCUGUCGCUUUGAAGACCAAGAGACCAAAUUGUCACCCAAAAAGAUGUCAUACCCGGAAGUGGACUUCCGGGUGUCUGGGCAACCAGCCCAAUCAGUGUCGGAGUAAACCAGCAAAUCCGACUGAGUAGAGGGCCGGAGAUGCAAACCCAAGUGAAGAGUGCCACGAAUAUACCGCAAAAUGUGCUUCAAGGCGGCAAGAUGUGGCUCACGAGGAUCAUGCAUGUGUAGACAAACCUGCUUCGGCAUAAGCAAUAUCGGGAUGAGUGAAGGUGAGAUACUGUAGAGCACCAGCAAGGCUCCAAAAAUCAGUCCCAUUGACAAGUGGGGGACUGUCAGUAGCAGACAGCUUCAGAUUUGUAUCAACCGGUGUGGAACAAGGUUUGCAAUCAGUCAUACCAGCACGCUCCAGAAUCUUCAACAUAAACUGGCACUGAGAUAGAAGAAGACCAUCACCACACCACUGAACAUGCAUACCUAGAAAAUGAUGAAGUUCACCAAGAUCCUUCAUCGAAAACUCCCGUUGUAAGGCAUCAAUAGUGCAACAUAGAAGAGGUGUUGAGAAUGCCAUGAGAACAAUAUCAUCCACAUAAAGAAGAAGAUAGACCAUAUUGUCGCCGCGGUGGUACACAAACAGGGAAGUGUCGGUCUUGGCUUCCACAAAGCCAAGCUGUAGCAGCUGUACCAAGCACGAGGAGCCUGCUUAAGUCCAUAUAGAGAGCGAUUCAACCGACAAACAUGAUCAGGAUGGGCGGUAUCAUCAAAAUCAGCAGGCUGAGCACAGUAGACUGUCUCUAAAAGCAUCCCGUGCAGAAAAGCAUUCUUCACAUCCAACUGAUGAAUCGGCCAAUGAUGAGAAAGAGCUAGGGACAGCACUAUACGGACGGUGGCUAGCUUGAUGAUAGGACUGAAAGUCUCAGAAAAAUCAAUCCCAGGGCACUAAGUAAACCCGUGAAGUACCCAUCACGCUUUGUAGCACUCCAGAGAACCAUUGGCAUGAAACUUGUGCUUGAAAACCCAUUAUCCAGUAAUAACAUUGGCCCGAGUAGGACAUGGUACAAGAUUCCACGUGUGAUUGGCCAGCAGUGCGUCGAACUCCUCUUGCAUGGCUCGACGCCAAUUAGGAUCAGCAAGAGCACCUCGGUAAGUGUGAGGCACUGGGGACAGCUGGGAGGAAUGAAAAAGUGUUAGCAAACCGAAUCCCAGCUUCCCACACGUCGUCAUGGGGUGCUGAUUGGCAACGGGACGCACGGGAACCGCACCACGAGGAAGAACGGCCGGACCAGGAGGCUGCAUGGGGAGAGAACCGAGGGCAUUCGCCGGUGCGGUCGGGGCGCUCGCCCGACCGAGCAGAGUGGUCGCCGGUGCGGUUAGGGCAUUCACCUGACCGAGCGAAGCGGGCGCCGGUGCCGUCGGGGCGCGCAGCCGACUGAUCGGAGAGCUCGCCGACGCGGUCAGUGCGGUCGCCCAACCGUGUGUAGCGCUCGCCGGUGCGGUCGGGGCGCUCAGAUGACCGAGCGGAGCGAUCGCCGAUGCCGUCGGGGUGCUGAGCCGACUGAUCGGAGAGCUCGCCAGUGUGGUCGGGGCGCUCGCCCGACUGAGCGGAGUGGUCACCGGUGUGGUCGAGGCACGCAACUGACCGAUCGGAGAGCUUGCCGGUGCGGUCGGGACGUUCGCCGGAUUGAUCAGAGUGCUCGCUGGUACGGUUGGGGUGCUCGCCCGACCGAUUGGACCGGUCAGGGACGUACUUGCGCAUGGCACGGUCGCAGUCGGGAGGGUUGUGGUCGUGGUCGGUGAUGGCAUGGCCCCAGCAGGGUCCGGCGAUGCAGCAGGCUUCCACAACGGAGAAGUCGAAGGUGCGCUGGGUGAAAGUCCUUCAAGCAACAUAGAUGGUGCCAAGCCAAUAGGAGGCAGCACCAAAUAAGAAGGCUCCAAUAAAAAAUCAAAGUCCUUGUUAGCUGGGGGUGGUUGUUGCUAACAAAAGGAAAAGGUAGUCUCAUCAAACACGACAUGGUGAGAGAUGAUGACCCGGUUGGAUGAGAGAUCAAGGCAGCGGUAUCGCAUAUGAUGAGCAGAAUAGCCAAGAAAAACGCACAAGGUGGAGCAAGGAGCAAGUUUGUGUGGCGUAGUAGCGGAAAGAUUCGGAUAGCAAGUGCAACUAAAAACCCGGAGAUGAACAUAAGGCGGCGAGAUGCAAAACAGACCCAUGUGCGGCAUGGAGGAGCUAAGAGUUUUAGUAGGUAGAAUGUUCAGUUAGUGUGUGGCAGUGUGUUGAGGCUCAACCCAAUAGGAGGGAGGCAUACUAGCCUGAAAGAGAAAGGAGUGGACAACAUUGUUGACGCUCCAAAUCAUACGCUCGACUCGGCCAUUCUGGAGCAAUGUAUAGGGGCAGGACAUGCGAAGAUGGAUCCCAUGCGUGAGGAAGAAGGUGUGUGUGCUGGAGUUAUUGAACUCACGGCCGUUGUCACACUGAACGGCCUUCACAGUGGCGAACUGAGUACACACAGAGGAGAAGAAGUUAGCCAGAAUCGCAAAACUGUCAGAUUUGAGACGUAAAGGGAACAUCCACAAAUAAUGAGAAUAAUCAUCAAGAAUAAGCAAGUAGCAUUUAUAACCAGACACACUGGGAACAGGAGACGUCCACAAAUCACAAUGAAUAAGGCCAAAAUUACUAAACGCUCUAGAAGCAGAUAAUUGAAAAGGGAGGCGAGUGUGCCGCCCUAACUGACACGCAUGACAGAUGGUAUGAAUGUCCUUAUUACAAAAAGGAAUGACCGAAGCGACUUUGGACAAAACUUCAUGGCUGGGAUGUCAGAGAUGGCAAUGCACACAGAGGAGGUGGAGACAACAACGACAACGUGGGCAGCAGGAAACGACAGGGGAUAGAGUGGCCCGGAGCUAUUGCACUUGACGAUCAGCCUCCAAGACGCUAGAUCCUUCACAGAGCAGCCAGCGGAAUCAAAUUUAAUAGAACAAUUGUUAUCAGAAGCAAACUGGCGAACUGAAAUAAGGUUCUUAAUAAGUUUAGGUAAAACUAGAACAUUGUUAAGGGACAAGGAACCCGGAAAGUGAGCGGCGCCAGUAGCCGUGAUAGGAAGCAAGGAACCGUCACCGACAACAAUUGAUGAAGGAAAGGGAUACCGCGGAUGAGAACAAUGUGAAAGAGUACCACCGUCUGAAGUCAUGUGUGAGGUGGCACCUGAAUCAAGAUACUAGUCAUUCGUCUGCGGUUGGUUGAGAGUCAUGGUGCUGAACGUCGAGGCGAGGGACUGGCUGAUCCUAGGAGGAGGGCAGGCCCGUCAUGGGAUUGUAGAACCCCGGGGGCACCUGUGGCGCCCGCUGCCCUAGGUAGGGUGCGUGCUGCCCUAGGGGGUCUGAAGGCUCUGGAGCUGCGCCUGCUGCUAGGCAAGGAGGGCCUGCUGCGCCUACUACUGAAACACUGGUGUGGGCGCGGCUGGACGGGGAGGAACGGUGGCCUGCUGCCAAGGGCCCGGGUACAUCUAAAUUGUACUGGACCAGGGGUUCCAGAAGGAGGGCCAAGGACCACCGGACACCUGGGUGGUGCCGGGGGCAGGGGUCUGGGCACCGGCGGCACAGGCCUUGCUGUCGUUGCCAUGGCCCUACCGCUGCUGACCACCACGUUGGCCCCUGUCCCGCUUCUGCUUGGAGGAGGGCCCCCCUUGCCGCCCCCGGAGCAGGAAUGCCAAGCAGACUGGUGGGGAGGCGCAGAGGGGCGAGAGGAGGAGCCAGUGUUGACGCCGGUGAGCAGCGCUGUGGAUGGAGUCGAGGAAGGAGGCGCCAUCGUGAGCUUCUCGAGAAGCAGAUCGUCGCGGGCCUCCAGGAAGGAGCGAAGACGACAAGAGCGCCGGAUGUCGUGGCUGACGGCGGCGAACUUGUCAUUGAGUCCGCGAAUGAUGUUGAGGACGAGGGUGCGGUCGGAGACUUGCUCACCGAGAUCACCGAGGGCGUCCUCCAUGCUCUUGAAGCGGCGGCAGUAGUCCGUAAUGGACAAGUCGCCCUGGACAAAGGUCUGGAACUUGGCGUCGAGGUAGAGGGCCCGCGUCUCCCAGGUUGCCAAGAAACUGCGUCUCAAUGGCGAGCCAGGCGGCACGGGCGGUGGCGCCGCGCUCCCCACGAUCCAUGAUGAUGUCGGUGGCGAUGGUGCCGUAGAGCCAAGACCGGACGACGCAGUCCAUCUGGCCCCAAUCAAGAGAGGCCAAGGCGGGAACGUCACGGAGAACGUGAUCCUGCAGCGAGUACUUGCUGACGGUGAGGAGAAACUGCUCAUGCCACCAUGAGUAGUUGUCGAUAGCGGUGUCGAGGAUGACGGGGAUGAGGCUCCGAAUGUUCUGCACGACGACGGCUUGGGUGUGCAGGUUGAGGACGGCGGCGGCCUCGUGGAGCAUCAUGUCCUGGUGAGCGUCAGGCCCCUAGUCGGAGAGGUUGUGGCUGGGGUCCUCCUCGUCGGAGUCAGAUGAGGUGCCCUUGCGCUCCUGGACAGAACGCGCCAGGGCCUCGCAAAGGUGGGCAUUGGCGGCGUCGCGCUCCUGCGCGGCAGUGGCGGCCUCGACCUCAACCGUGACGGCACGAGCGAGGGCGGCGGCGCUACCAUCAACCGCGCGCUUGGCGGCGGAGGACUCGGGCGGCAGAGUGCCGGCCAUGGAGGCAGCGGCGGUGGAGAGCCGAGGUAAGAGCAGCGCCGCGGGCGGGCAUGCUGAGAGCUGCGCCGACGGAGGCGUGCUGGGAGCUGCGCCGGCUGCGUGCUAGGAUGCGGAAGGUAAGGAAUCGGGGAUAACCCGAACUCGUGGACUCGUGAUACCAUGAAAACACUAGAGAUUGCAUGGGAUAAUUGAUUAAUUAGGGUAUACAACAUGUACAAAUAUAUAGGCAGCUCUUGGUGAGGUUUAUAGAUACACAACUGACCAAGGGAUAAAACUGCCCAUCCUAAUCCAUCUAGGCACGUCAAAGCAGCCAAAGUCUAUGUACACGUACNNNNNNNNNNNNNNNNNNNNNNNNNNNNNNNNNNNNNNNNNNNNNNNNNNNNNNNNNNNNNNNNNNNNNNNNNNNNNNNNNNNNNNNNNNNNNNNNNNNNNNNNNNNNNNNNNNNNNNNNNNNNNNNNNNNNNNNNNNNNNNNNNNNNNNNNNNNNNNNNNNNNNNNNNNNNNNNNNNNNNNNNNNNNNNNNNNNNNNNNNNNNNNNNNNNNNNNNNNNNNNNNNNNNNNNNNNNNNNNNNNNNNNNNNNNNNNNNNNNNNNNNNNNNNNNNNNNNNNNNNNNNNNNNNNNNNNNNNNNNNNNNNNNNNNNNNNNNNNNNNNNNNNNNNNNNNNNNNNNNNNNNNNNNNNNNNNNNNNNNGGGCCCCGAACUAGAGUCUAGGACGUAAGGCUUAAACUUUGUACGAUCUCCCCAUUUCGCAAGCUCCCAGCUAAUAAUCUGUAGUGUAUGUUGACCUACGUCAAAAACCGACAGCAGUGAGUUUUCAGCUUAUUUUAACUUGACUAUGGAUUACCUAGGUCUAUACGUUGAUAUCUAUGACUUAUUUUCAUGUCGAGAUGUUGUCUUGAUUAUAUCAGCACGACAUCGACCAUGCCUACUGGCAAGUAUCCACGUCAUCGCCGUGCGUCCACUCUCUGUUUCUAUCGUCGGAAAUACUGGGUACAGAAGAUAAACUGUUAGUUACGUCCAUGAUGCUUGGUGGAUAUCCUCUGCUGUCUAUACAUUACAGGCCACUUUAUCGUCAUGUGCUUCUACCUAAUCUGUCUUCCUCUAUACCACUUACUUACUCUGACCUUCCCGAGCAGGGGCACACAAGACGGAAUCUAUUAAGCCUAAUUAGUCCAUGAUUUGACAAUGUGUUGCUAUAGUAAAUAUUUGCUAAUGAUGGAUUAAUUAGGUUUAAUACAUUCGUCUCGCCGUUUAGCCUCCACUUAUGUAAUGGGUUUUGUAAAUAGUCUACGUUUAAUACUCCUAAUUAGUAUCUAAACAUUCGAUGUGACACGUGCUUAUUUAUAAGCAAAGGAACCGAACGCCCCCUCAAUUGACUUGACGUUCGAAAAAAAAACUUCAACUGACAUGGGAAGUACUAUUACAGUAAUAAACGAAGGAUAGGCCGGCAGGCUAUCAGAAGCUGCUGCUGCUACUAGUGGUAGAGAGAUUGGCGCGAGACGGCGAGAGUAGGUCCGGAGGCAUUGACGCCGCCUGGCACACGUCCUCCGCCGACGGAGCGACGCAGCGGGGGGAGCCACAGGCGCUGUAAAUGGCGGUCGAGGGGAGUGGCUCUCACAUGGCUCCGUAAAUUGCUGGCCCGUCCGUCCUGCAAUCCUGCAAGCCCUGGCGCGGAUCAUGUGCAUGGGGUCGUAGAUCUGAGUCAAGUCAAUAAACUUCCCCGUUGUUUCAGCUGUGGGGGUGUUUGGUUCCCACGCUAGACUUCAGCACAUGUGGCAUCGAAUGUUUAAAUACUAAUUAGAAGUAUUAAAUAUAGAGUAUUUACAAAACCCAUUGCAUAGAUGGAGGCUAAACAGCGAGACGAAUUAAGCCUAAUUAGUCUAUGAUUUGACUGCUACAGUAACCAUUUGCUAAUGAUGGAUUAAUUAGGCUUAACAGAUUCGUCUCGCCAUUUAGCUUUCAUCUGUGCAAUUAAUUUUAUAAUUAAAUUAUAUUUAAUUCUUCUAAUUAGCCUCCGAAGAUUUGAUGUGACACGGACUAAACUUUAGCUCAAGAAACCAAACACUAGAUGUGCCUCUUUGGUGGAGCUUCGGGUGAUUCCGACUGUACCUUGCACAUGCCUUAACUGUACGAUUUUACUACUAUGGCAAGGAGUAAAAUGAAAAUCGAGGUAACUAGAUGAGCUCCAAAUUCUAGCUUCACCAGCUCCGACUCCUCUAGUGCUACAGUAUCCAUUUCAGGUGGAGUCGGACUGUGAUGAAUUGAAGCUCCACCAAAGGAGCUCGUAUAUCCCUUGUUUCAUCUCUCUCUAUAUAUAAGAAACGCAGCGGGUAUAGAUGGAGCAGAUCUCAUUCCUGCCCGGGCCUUAUAGACGAUAAAGUUAGCAUCAACUAGCCCCAUCCCAGCAAGUGUGUUCCAGGAAUCCAGGUCAGUGCUGUGUUAGAACCAUCAGCCAGCCCUUUGUCAUGUAUAUACUUUUGAUUCAUUUGUUAACCGUCGUUCUAUAUCUGUAUACAGUAAUAAUUUCUUUGAUGCGUGUGUCUAUCGAACAGAAAUUUGUUUUUAAACCGAAUCUAGACACUUGAUUUGCUGAUCCUUGUUCUGUGAGUUCAAAUUAUCCUAGUGCAUCCCAGAGGCAAAGGCCCCGAAGACAGGUUUUUGUUUUUCAGAGAAACAUACAAAUUACCUUAAGUAUAAGCAUGUUUCAGAUAUUAGAUGGUCUAGAUUCAUCCAUUCAUGGGUCAAAUCCCGAUCUUGAGAAGAUCUCGUGCCGGCUUGUUGCAUACAUAGUAUGCAUUUGGAUUAACACGGUGGUUGAGCUAUUGGGACAGAAAAGGUAGGAGGGAAAGGGGACAGAGCAACAGCAGCACCAAUGCAUCGUGGUUCAUGGACCAAGAGCCGUGCCGUGCUCUGGCUGUGCGGCUGCAGGCGACCGCGCGCGAGCAGGGGAGGGGAGGUCAUGCCUGCAAACCGCACGACGCGGCGCUGCUACUGCUAGAGCGAACAUAGUAAUUACAAGAGGAGCCAUCUGCUCGUUGCUCGCUCCUAGGAGAAUCUGUUUUCCCAGGAGUAUACCACUAACGCUGUAAUAAACUGAUCCUCCUUGCAAUGUAUUUCGUUUGUUAAAAAUGUGGUUUAUUUCGUAUGCCCCAUAUGUCAAACAGUCUCCAUUGAAAGUAAAAAAUUGUAGCUGUCUCAUCCCUCAGAAUUUUUGGAUUGUAGAAAUGGAAGAUCUUGUCCAAAAAGAAGUUGACGCCCUGCGGAAGAUAUUGACUGAUACAAGUGGGGAGCCAAUCAAACUAUCAUAUGCAACUAUAGAUAACCUUGUAGGAGAUUUCUCUGAUGAAGACUGUGUGAUUGGUCGUGGUGGAUUUGGGGUGGUCUACAUGGUACGAUUUGUUCUUAAGUAACCCAUUUAUAUAUACUAUCAGUUUUUCAUAUAGUUGCCCGUGGAGAGACACGCUCAAGCCAAUGAUAAACAGAGUAAUAUGGUAUGCUGAACUGCAGGGAACUCUUUGGGAUGCUGGUUCUCCAAUGAAGGUUGCUAUCAAGAAGCUUAAUUCGACAUCGCCUAGUUUUGACGACGAACAAUUUGUUAAGGAGGUUCGAUGCUUGAAAAUGGCAAAGCACAAAAAUAUAGUUCAAUUUCUAGGAUAUUGCGCAGAUACAGCUAACGAAGUAAUGGAGCUCCCCGAUGGAAAACAUGUUUUGGUAGAAGCACUACGGCAACGGUUGCUCUGCUUCAAGUAUGCACCUAAUGGAAGCCUUGACCAUUUUAUUAACAAAGGUAUAAAGCUUGCAAACUUUUGUUUUGUUUUUCUUUUUGGUUUGCGCUUGGAUCAUUGAACAAGUUCUUUUUUUUAGAUUGAACAAGAAGUGCUGGUUCAUCUUACAUAGAAAAUGUACGCGUCAGUUACUAAGGCGAAUUAACUGGUCAUUAAAUUAGUCACAAAUGCAUAUGCCGGCGCCUUUGCACUUGUUUUACCAGUCCUGCUCCUGCCUAUGAACAACUGUUAUCAAUGGUAAAGACUAAAAGACCAAAUGUCAACAUAUAAUGCACCAAUUCCAUCUCCGCGUCCUCCAAACCGCUCCAUUUCCCCUGCCGCAUCUCCACUGAUACAGUGCUUGGUCAUCCUUGCUACUUGGCUCCUCUCCUCCCUCUUCAUCGCCGGUACCCAUGUUUUUUUCCCUAGUCAUCUGUGCACUGUUAUGCGUUCUUUUAUAAGACAAUUCCCUUAGUGCCAUCAAAAUUUACAUGACCUUACUUCAGUGCCAUAUAAUUUUAUGAAUUCCUUUAGUGCUAUUGAAUCUAAGAUUUAUCCCCUCACUACUGUUCCGUCCAUAUUUCUAUCCAUAUGCUGUUAGGUGUGGGCUGAAAAGAAACUUCCGAGUGAGGUCCCACCUGUCAGUGCUCCUUUCAAUCCACAUAACUUAAGAGGAGUAAAACUAUUUUUUUUCCAACCACACUUAACGACACAUGGAUGGAAAUAUUGACCGAAUGGCACUAAGGGGUUCAAGCUUAGAUUUAAUGGCAUUGAAGGGAUUUCGUGAAAUUUUUAUGGCACUAAGGGAAGCUAUGUGAAUUUUAUAGCACUAAGGGAAUUGGCUUUUCUUUUAUUUGUCUAGCCCAUCACAGCCGCCAGUGUCACCUUUAGUUUCAUUUUGCCCACGCUUAGCGGUUCCUAGACUAAUUACAGGUACAUCUGUUAAACGAUAUUUUAAAGCGAAGUGGUCCAGGCUGAUUCUAUAAAGUGAACUAUAAAUGGAUCGGAUGAGAGCUGAAAAAAAAACUAGUUUCUCUUACGGUAUCUUUAGGGAAUCAAUUUUAGUCACACAAUUACGUUUGUUAGAGAAAAACUUCCGACGGAGGCAAAAGCAAGAGGAGCUCUAUCAAACUAGCUUUUUCCCCAUGUAUUUUGUUUCGUUCUUCCCGGUCACUCCUACUCCAGCUGCAGUAAACUUUUUUUUAGCAUCACUCUCUUGUGUUAUAUUGUGCUAUUGAGUCUCGCUUUGUGAAUACUUAGAACUGCUUUGUGAUGGUCCCAUUCUUCGCACGCCCAAUACUGACAAAAACCCUUUUAAUUCUUUUUACGAUUUCAAAUUUCUUUUUACGAUUUCAAAUCUCCUCUUCCAUCGUUCAGUUGUCCAUUUGAAUUCAAAUGUUCACUAAUUAGCACUGCUAUUUUGUAUGUUUUGCCAGUAAAACAUUUGAGUUCUCGAAUUAUCUAGUAUUGUGUAUGUUUGGUAUAGGUAAAUUUAAGUAGAAAUGUACUUAAAAUUACCUUUUAUGUCAAGGCUCAUCUUCACUAUGGAUGUCAUUUGAAUUCUCUUCUGUUCACUUUUAUAGGGAAUUUUCAUGCGAUGGAUUGGACUACACGCUAUCGAAUAAUUAAAGGCAUCUGUCAGGGUUUGCAAUAUCUUCACGAAAACCGUAUUAAUCAUUUAGAUCUUAAACCUGAAAAUGUGCUGCUGGACAUUGACAUGGAGCCUAAAAUUACAGACUUUGGUCUGUCAAGGUGCUUUGAUGAAAAACAGAGUAGAAUUCAAACUAAUAACAUUUGUGGAACACCGUAAGCACUGCCUCUUCAGAACUCAAUGCAUUAGUCCUGAAAACAAAUCUUAAAAACAUGCAUAUUGUGCCAAGAUGCUUCAACCUACCAUAUUGCCUGCAGGGGAUAUAUUGCACCAGAAAUUAUAGAUUGUGGAGACGUAUCGUACAAGUCAGAUAUAUACAGUCUGGGUGUCAUAAUAUCAAAACUAUCAACUGGAUGUAGCAUGCCUGGCGCUAACUAUGUAAGGAUAAUAGACAUAAUCAUGUUUUCCCAUUUUAUGUGCCAAAUAUUACAAUUCUUAUGCUUCCUUUACGUAGAUGAAUAUUCUGAAAAUUGUCUUUCUUUUACUGAUAUUGUUAGUAAAAUAUGUUAAACUUGCAUCAUUCCUAUUGUUUUGCAAUAUACUGUGUCUCCAUCCCAAAAAAGAUUGCACUUCUCGUUUUGUUCUAAGUCAAUUUAACCAAGUUUAUAAAAACAUCAACACUUAUGAUACCAAAUUUUGAUUCAUCAUGAAAUAUAUUUCAUAAUAUUCGGUAUUAUAAAUGUUGAUAUUCUUCUCCAUAGACUUGGUCGACCUAAAGGUGCAAUUUUUUUCGAACAGAGGUAGUAUAGUACUACUAUAUUCAUUAUUAUGAUCUUUAUCUUCACAGUGGAAUAAAUCACUAGAUGUAGACUACCUGUAAAUAUGCUUGCUGUCAUCUUUAUUACUGUGCGUUUUGUCUUUGCAGUCGAAUAUAUCACAUGAACACUUGCAACAUAUGAUGAAACGUGUUGACGAAUUAGCUAAAAGUUGUGGGGAUGAUGACCAACAUAAAAGACCUAAUAUUAACGAGUUACUUUGUAAGCUGGAUGAGAUAGAAUCUGAGAUUGAAAUGGUGAUUCGAGUGAAUGGAACUUCAAUAGACCAGGUACGACCAUUUUUCUUCCCUCACGAACCUUGCAUAGGGACCUCGCUACGUGGUGCAUAUUUCAGGCAAUGAGAUUAUUGAUUGUUUUAAUGACUGCUUUAAUCUUGAUAGUUUUACUGAUUGUUGUGCAAUGAGAUUCGGGUUGCUAGAUGUAUCUGGAUAUUCAUAUAUACUCCAUCCAUUUCAAAUUGUAGAUCAUUUUGGAUCAUUUUGGUAUUCCUAGGUUCAUAGAUAUUAUUAUGCAUCUAAAUAUAGUGUAUGUCUAGAUGUAUAAUAAUAUCUAUGAACCUUAAAAAGUUAAAACGACCUACAAUUUGGAACGGAGGAGUAUGUAAUACCCUUGCCAAAUAUACGAUUGGCCAGUGGAAGAAUUAGGAAAGAUUCUGCCCGCGUGUGAUGGGCAACUCGUCUGGACAUGACGACCUCAGCACCCUCGCCUUGUGCGCUAAUCCGUUGGGGGAAGGAACGAUCAGAGUGCUUGAGUUUAUUUUUUUAUUCCCUUGCCUCGAAGUGUUUGGAGGUCAAUUUAUCCUAUGACAACUAGCAGUUGACAUCCACAAUGUGUAAAGUUCGGCCAUGGUUCGAUAUUGAAUUGUACUGGAGCUGCUAUUACUGGCUGGCUCAAAACAGUGACCAAAAAAACGCCAUGCGCGGACCCAAGCAGUAUAUUGGCCGGGUCGGAUGUGAGGUUGUAAAUGGCUUUUUUAUUUGGAACUUUAUACAUUUUUCUCUCAAACCUGAACUCUUUUUGAAUCCAUUUUAACCACAUUGUUGUUGAGAAUUAGUCCAACAUAAUAAGAUCAUGAGUAUAUAUAUAUUGUGAUUUCAAAAGUAUACAUUUUUAGUCUACUAUAAUUCAACAUUUCCAAAGUAAAAUGUUAAAUUUGCUUAGUCGAAAUGUUAAGUUAGCCUUUUUUUUAUAUUGUUGAAUCAAGGUUUAUAGAAAAUGCUGAAUGUAUAUGGCCAUAUGGGAGAUGUUACUAUUUCCAAACAAAUGUUAAACAUGCCAUUUCAAGUUAUCGUAAAAAGCUUGAAAUUAAAAUUUGUUGAAUAAAGCUAAUCUGCUAAAUUGUUUAUCGCACAUAGAAAUAAUAAAUUUCAUAGUUUUAUAAAAACAUAUUAAUUAAUUGGAAAAAGUCCAUUUUCACCAUCCAAGUAUUGCCUUCAUUUGAGUUUGGCCAUCCAAUUCCAAAACCAGGCAGAGGGGAUGACCAGAUUCGUGUGGAUUCGUGAUCAGUUUGCGGCUUAACGAGCAAGAGGCUCGCGCCGACCAUGAUCGAACAGCCAAGAUCAUGACUUUGCUGGAUCUAAUGGCUAGCAUAGCGGGUUAAUGGGUGACGUGAACCCACUACCUGCCCGCAGAAUAACCUGCAUUUCGUCUUUUAGAGAUACUCACGCAUCCACGUAAUUAGCGUGCAUACAACUAUACAUAUUGUUAUUUUUUAUGUUAUAGACUUUUUAACUAACGCGUCGACUGUAAAACCACACCAUAAUUUUCUUGUUAGGGUUUAUUUUCCCGAUCAUAUUUUUGUGACUCUAGAAACAAUAUAUUUUACGGUUGUGAAGAUAUUAAUUUUUACCAUAAAAAUUGUUUCCUCAGCAAAGCAUUUUUGUUUUUUUAGUUCAGUCAAGGCUGAUAAUUCACAUUUUUUGCAGGAGCCUCUUCAUGUCCACCCCCGCAAACUCGUCUGGCCCUUGGCGGCAAACAAUAGCAUGCCUUUCCCACUGCAUCUGACCAACAAGAGCACAGAUGAUCAUUUUGCUUUUAUGUUUCUGGAUUUCGGCGGGGUUGCGUCCUCCUGCUCCAUACUAGGUAACAAAGGAGUCAUUCCACCCCAAUCAACGUGGGGAAUCGUCCUACACUUGCAACUACAAGCAGGGGAGCCGGCAGUAUCGGAGAAGCAGGGCAAGGAAAUGGUCAUCGUGCGGAGCACCGUUGUGGAAAAGGGCUUCCGUAGUAACGAUAUCACUGUGGACAUGUUCAAGAGACACCUUAGUGUGCAGGAUAGAGUUGGAAGUUAUUUUUGUGGAACCACCCCAAUCACAACCCCUCCAACUAUAUGAAUUUGAUCAUAAGCUGCAGUUGGAUGCAAACGAGGGAACAAGCCAUGGAACCACACAGGUGAGUCUCUCUUUUUAAUGCCUUUUGAGAACAGCGCUCCUAUGUAUUAAGGUUCAUCAGGCAUCAGCAUCUAGUGCCGCCACCAUAGCUUGCCUGACUAGCAAACUAGGUAUGUAUGUGUUGAAGGUGGUGCCGGCUGCCCUAUGGAAUGGCGGGGGGCGAGUGCACGAGGCAAAAACGCCAAAAAUAUAAUUGAUGGCAUACUCGGAAAAUUUGUCAAAUAACAUUUUAGUUCCUCAAAUAACAUUUUAAUUGGAUCUAUGGUUCCAAUUAAUUUAUACUAGUGACCACUAUCAAAGUUUGAAAGAAGGCUAACAACGCUUGCCGCGCGUUGUACUAAGUGCCCACUACGGUACUAAAAAAAAGGCUCUAUCUUGGAUGAUGUUGCAAUUUCUUCAAAAAAAAAGCAACUUUAUUUAAGCUGCAAAAUACGAAAAAUCAUGUCGGAUUCUCAUAAAAUAUUUUAGGAAAAAAUUACUCAUAAAUUUCCUGGAUUCGUGUUUUGUACAUUAAAAUGUUGGCAGGUUUGAAAUUGAUUUUUCUUUUUCUUUUCAGAUCGGCACUUUUUGCAUAUGAAAACCUUUGAGCUUCUCAUAUGCACCCUAUAUUCUUAUACCAUCUCUAUUCUUACGUAUAUGACGUUUAGGGCAAGUAAAUUAGAACUCCAAAACGUCGUAUAUUUAAGAACGGAACAAGCACAAAGUUUGUCUCACUAACCCAUUCAACAAAAAGGAACAAGUUUAUAUAUCCAAAACAAGUGGCAUCUAUCAAUGAGUUUAUUCAAUCAAAGGUUGCGCAGCGUUUUUGUAAUGUUUCACUGGUUCUUUUAAAGAAACUAUAUAUCCAGGCGGGUCGAGUGGCCAGAAUUAAACCAUAUUAUUGCAUUAUUAUUCUCUCACAGAUAUAUGUUAAAUAACAAUAUUGCGUGCUCCUAUUUCAGACAUGCCCUGAUGAGUCCAUUAUGACUGAGCUGUUAGACAUCUACCCCUUCGUGGUCGGAUACCCGCCCAAACCAGAGAAGUUCUGUACGCGCACAAUACACCUAACCAAUACGACGGAGGAUACAGUUCAGUUUUGGAUGGUGCCUUCUGCCAAUGCCAGGUACUACAAAAAUGAGGGUGGCACGGGGUCGCAACGAUCCAAAAAGGUACCUGACCGUCAGCUUGGCUUUGUGCCGCCACAAUCUACAUAUGCUGUCUCUUGGCUCUUGUUGGACGAAAAAUGUAAGCCGACAAAUACGGAGUCAUUUGAAAUCCUGAUGGUGACUAGAACCGACGUGGGCCAUCUCUCAGGAAUUAAAGGCUAUCCAGGGGACUUUGAUGAACAAGUGUUCAACGCAGCCAGAGACAAGGGAGGCAAGUCGCACCGAGCCUGCUUAUUUGUUGACAACAAUAGUGGCCCGGACAAGAAUUAUCAUAGAUAUGAACGUGUGAGCACCACAUAUAAAAAUAUAUUUAAUUCUGCUUGUGAUUUUUUUUUGCUAUUACAUCAUUUUACAUAUCCAUGUGUAAUUGUUAAAUCUUCAGGCCUUAUUCACGAAAUAUUUCGGGAAAAUUAUAUCCAUGGACGUGCAUCCUACAAUGCCACUGUGAGUGAAUAUUUUGACUUUCUUCAAUUAGUGCAGAAUGGUUGCUGAGUUAUAUUAUCCCUCAAUAUAAACGCUCUUCUUUACCUGCAAAAAAAAUAUAAACUCUCUUCUUCUUCUUUUUUUGUUACAUAACCUAGGGUUUUGACGGGCCAUCAGAAGUUUGUUUGCAUUUGGAGAACUGAGAAGGUAGCAAAACCUUUCUAAAUCUAAGUCCACCCACUGCUGGAGAAAGCACCUUCAGUACCAGGUCCAAACCCCCCUUUAGUACCAGUUGUGCAAUCGGUAUUGCUAAUUCGAUACUAAAGGGGAUCCUUUAUACCGGUUGGGGAGACCAAUCGGUACUAAAUUGGCUGCCACGUCGUGCGUGGCCAAGGCCAAUUUAGUACCAUUGGUCUCUCCAACCGGUACUAAAUUUUUUUCUUUUUUGUUUCUUUUCUCAUUUUCUUUUAUGUUUCUUUAUUCUAUAUUAGUAUUUCAUAUUUGUUUCCUUUACGUAUACUAGUAUACUAUUAUUCUAAUACAUGCAUAUAAAUGAAAAUUUUCUCCAUUGUAGCUUAUUCUAAAAAUCAUAAAUUACUCUAGUUCUAAAACAUAAAACUUAGUAUACUAACCAUGUAUCAAGGGAGGAUGAAGUUUCUAACGUUUAGAACACUUGAAUGAGUGAAAAUCCUCACAAAAUGGUAAAAAAUCCGACAGCGCCUCCCCUUUUUGUCAUGAAUGGAUGAAGCUCAAGCUGGAGGAAAUAGCUCGGGCAGCUUUAAUAAGAAUGAAAAGCCCCACCUUUCGUACCCGUUGAAGCCUCCACCCGAUACUAAAGGUGGUCAAUAGGGCUUCUGGGGAACAAGCCGUUAGACCCGGUACUAAUGCUCACAUUUGUAUUGGGUCAAAAACCAACCGGUACUGAACCUCGAGAUAAAUGCCGAUUUUUUCGGUAGUGACCCUAUACCUCCGGCAGUCUUUUGUUGGGGAGUAUUGGUCGGUGAAUUAAUACCACCAAAUCGUUUGCACCCUAUGUUUAAAUUAUAUUAUAGAACCCUCAGGUACUUGAAGAUCAUGUAGUGGGAUUUAAUAAAUUUAUCAAUGUUUUUAUUGCACCUUCUUUGUUCAUUCUUUUAAAGGACCAAUCGUUAUACUACUACUAUUUUUAAAGAAUAAAACGAAUACACUUUUGCGCACAUUUAACCCGUUAAGCUUGCUUUGCUUUAGCAGCAGGAUCAUGUUACGGAGCACGCUCGCGGUUUGAAGGAUGCUAUGGAUUUUGUGGUUAAGUUCAUCGCAAGAAUGCAAUGGGUUCUAUCAGGGGAUAAAACUGGGAAAGUUAACGUGUACACAACAGAGUUGAAAUUACUCCAUACAUUCACUGCUCACAGUGAUCAAGUGAUAUCAAUUGCGGUUCACCCAAGUCAUCCUUAUGUGUUGACUUCAUCUGAUGACCUCCUGAUCAAGCUAUGGAACUGGGAUAAUGCCUGGACGUGCACUCGAGAAUUCCAAGGGCACUUGAAUCCUGCUACGCAAGUGGUCUUUAACCCGAAUGAUAAUGCCGACAGUUUUGCUAGUUGUUCUCGUCCUUCGUCCCGCAAUGGCCCUGGAAACGUUAAGGUUGGGCUCUCUUUUACCGCUUUAUAUUAUCAUCGCUAAUAGCAAUUCCAAGCUGGAUAACUCGUGCCUGAAAUUUAUAGAUCUGGAGGAUUGAUUCCACCAAUCCUGAAACUGACUUGUAUGGCGGAUUCAGAGCUAUUGAUUGGAGUGCACCAGUCAAAAAUGGCCAGUAUUUGGUUGCCGUUGUGGACCAUGGAUAUACAGAGGUAUAUAUGGAUUCACCAUUUUUUUUCUCCAUUGUUGAUAUGGUUACUACUACUCUCUGCACGGAGUAUUACUAUCCCAAUCUGUUUUAUUUUUCAUUUAGGAACGUGGAAAAUACUUGAACGGCUUAUAACCACUAACAUCUCACUUGAGCUUUCAUUAUAUAGUCCAGGUUUAUAUCAGUCCUAGAUAAUUUUUACAAAGUCGAGUCUGAAUUACAUAAGCUAAGGUACCUAUACUCGGACUACACAAUAUUCUAUUUCUAGUUUAUUACGACCCAUACUCUAGCAUCCCCUAUCAGUCGUAGCUGGAGCGAGGCUGACGAUUGUGAUUGGUUUUGAAAUCUCAUGCCCAUCAUUUUCUCCGCUGCAUAUCUGAUGAAUUGUCCGGCACCAUACCUGGAGGUGCAUGAGUCCUCUUCUAUUGCCGUCCCUUAUCUCUUCUACAUUCCCUCCCACAAUCAUAACAGGUGUCUUCAAUGAAAGUGAUGACAGGGACGUUGUGACUAUAGAUAUUUCUGUUGCUGAUGAGUUGCUGUAGACGUAGCCGAUCAUGAUGUGUGGCUUGUGUACUGUACAUGCAUGUGUAACCUCUGCAACCCAUGCGAUACGCCCACAAGCAAGAAGCACGUCAUGGCUAUAGCGCCGCAUAAACCGGGACAAGGAGAGGCCGUCGUCGGUCUUUUAUAGUAGGUCUAGAUCCAUGGUCCGGGUGGCCCUAGGUCUAGGUCCACCCAGCGAGGGAGAGUCCCCUCCAUGUCUACUUUCCUAAUCCUCAACUAGUUACUGCCUUUCCAUGUAAACUAUGCCGUCAUGCGUCAUGAUCUCCAUGUCAGAUACGUCUCGGUAUCCAGCCCUAUAUUUGGGACUGUCUAAACUUUUCGGUAGGUCCGAAGAUGUAUGUACGACAUCACCUACCGAUAUGUUAGUGACUUUGCCGUAUACAGUUCAUCAAGGCUCUUUUAUAAUUCUUCGGUGAAUUCUCUUUAAUUACGUAGUACUUUACAUGAUCGGAUAUGUAUAGUCAAAUUGUAUUGGCAACCUUUUGGUCCAUCACCUUCUAUUCUUUGUUAGUUAUCUUGUCUGAUUUGUUCCCCUCAAGAGUAUCAAUCUCAACCCUUGUUGGACAUCACAAUGUACUGCCACACACUGAAAAUCCCUUUGCCAUCAAAUUUCUCUACUUGAUCCCACAUCCCUAACAUUAUCUUGAUUUCGUGCUCCCUAGCAUUGUUGACCUUCUUAUAAAAUCAAAUCAAUCCAACUUGGCUCUGUCACCACUUGUUACAAUUUAAUACCCUAAUUAUGCGCAGGAGCCUUUGAAUCUUGAAAGGUCUUGUAAGUACGACAUGAGCUCGCACCAUAUCAAGAACAAUGUAGAUAAAUCUUGUAAAAAACCCUAAAUGAUAGCGUUGGAGCAACAACGACAAGAGAAUAUAGGAUUUUAGUAAAACCGAUCGCAAAUUCUUUAAGCACAACUCCACGAGUGUACAAGUGAUUGUCGUUCUCCAACAACCCUAUGCUUAACCCUCAAGGACCCUAUGAUUCUUAUCAUGUACAAGAAUCUAGUGAUGUAUAAGUAUCUAGCCUAUCUCUCUUGAGCAUUUCUAAUUAUCUUUUACAACUCUUGGAUGAGAACUUUGUGUUGGUCUUGUUUGCCCUUGGAUUGAUUGAUUUCCUAGAGCCCCCACCUUCUUGUUUACAUAGUCCCCUCCAAAACCAGCAAACAUAAAAUUAUGAGUAAUGCUUCCUAGUAGAGCUAUAAGUUGUAAUAGCACACCCUUUUGAGUCCUUGCCCCCAAGUAGGAUUUGAUGAGUCACCAUAUAACAUACGGGAACACCUUAACCUGUAGGGUUUCCUGGACUUUUAUUAUAUAGUUCAGGGUCAUAUGAGUCAUAUAUAAUUACAAAGAACAUUCUGAACUACAUAUGUUAAUUAAGAUGACAUACUCAGACUAAAUAUCCUAAUUCUAGUUUGUUAUAACUCAUCCUCUAACAAGGGCAUAGACAUGGUCUCCUAUUCAGAUAUUUUAAUGUCAGUACCUUUUAUGAGGGUUGUUGUUCAUAAUAAAUCUGCUUCUAUAUCAUUGGCAUUUGUCGAAUCUUAAUAAAUUUGUGUAUACAAAUGACCAAAAUUUUGGAAGUUGGAGUUCACGCAAUCUUAAAGGAAAACCUUAUUUUGAAAUGGAGAUAUAUAGUAUUAUUCUUCUGUUUGGUUUGCGUCAGAUUUGGGAUAUGGAGAAACAGAGAUGCGUUCACAAUAUUAUAUGUGGCAUAAACACGCAAGUGGCUUGUCACCCGACGCUUCCAAUCGUAGUUACGGGCGAGGAAAAGGGGAUUACUCGUAUCAUUAACCUCAAUACGUUCAGGUAAUGCUUCAUACUAUUUGUUUAUUUAUUAUUCCCCGCAUCUUGCUACCAGUCCUGUUUUUGACACAUAAGUUUGUGUCUUUUGUACAUUUGCUUUCACCUUUUGGAUCAAGGGAUCCUUUGAGGUCAAUUUUUUAGGUCAAAUUUCAAAUCUAUGGCAUCCUUUGAAUUUAUCCUAGCAAAAAACCUAUAGGAUACCUAAAUACAUAGGAAUUUUAUCAGAAAUUUAAAAUGACGUCCAAUCUCUAUUAAAUCUUUCUCUUCUUCCCAAUUCUUAUUUUCCAAUGUUCCAUCUAAACAACCAAAUUCUCCUAUUUUCUUCACAGUAGAAUACAACUUCUUGCGCUUUCUGAUCCUACCGAAUCUCUAUUUUCUUAUGCAUUCCAAAUGGUCCCUGUAACUAUUGGCCUGUGAAACUCUUUAAUCAUUUUUGAAUUAAACAUAACAAUGCUGGAUCAAUGGUAUUUGACUUAAUUUUGCUCUUCACAAAAUUCCUGUUUAAUGGAUCUUUUCCUUAGUACAUUGUGUUUAAUGGAGUCGGUUUCCUUCUUUUAUAGGGUGGAGUACAUUAUUCCAGCAGUUGGCAAUGACCCAUUGAUUGCUUUGGGAUUCAGCGACAUAGCAGGCUACAAAAGGUAAACAAUAUAUAAUCAUGUUACUUUUAAAGUCCUACGAGCAUGUUUACCUACGGCUGGACUGCGUGCUAGCUUUGGAAUGGUUUGCGCAACUCCCAUGCAUGUCAUGAGUACAAAAUAUUAUUUCUAUAAAAGAUCAAGGGCUAUAUAUACCGCGCUCCAACAGAAGUGGACAAAAUGCAGAAAGAAACGUCCCUUACGUUUAUAAACUAUACUCCCUUCGAUUUUAAGUAUAGAUUGUUCUAAGGUUGUCUUAAGUCAUAACUUUUUAGUUUGACCACGAAAGUUAAAAAGUCUAUAGAUGUUAUUUACAGUAUAAGGUUGAUACUAGUAGAUGUAUCAUGAAAAGUAGCAGUCUUAUACUCCCUCCGAUCCGUAUAAAAGUAAGUCCAUCUAGUCAGAAAUACACUUAUUUUUUAUGGAUAUUUGAGACAACAUAUAUAUAGAUAUAUUGUUGAUCCAAAUUUUCCUUUAUAGACCAUGUUGAUGUCCUAAACCGCUUCUAUUUUGAACCAUAGCAAGUACUCCCUACGUCUAUAAAUAAUAUAAAUACAGGACGUUUAGGACAAUCUAGUUAGUCCUAACUCCAUUUAUGACUACAGACAUCUAGUCAGAAAUACACUUAUUUUUUAUGGAGGGAGCGAUACUGAUACAUAACUUAUGCAUAUUUGAGACAACAUACAUAUAGAUAUAUUAUUGGUCCAAAUUUUCCUUUAUAGACCGUGUUGAUGUCCUUAACCACUUCUAUUUUGAACUAUAGCAAGUACUCCCUCCGUCUAUAAAUACAGGACGUUUAGCUUGUCCUAAACGUCAUAUAUUUAUGGACGGAGGGGCCGGGUAACAUUUUUGACAUGCAAAUAGAGAUAUACCACGCAACACUAACUCCGAGGCAAAUAGAAAUUUGCAUUUUUAUUCUCAUUUUCUAGUAUAAAGGUAAUAAAAAUGUACUAUUCGGAUAGAUUACACUUGUUUAUUUUUUUUCCGAAGAAUAACAUAUGGUGAACUACUAAGGAAAUAUAUUGUUAAUUGCAUCUUGUCAUUUCUGGGGUUGUUUGGCAAUACUGGUCAUCCCUAACUAUAGAAAUUCUUAGAGGGCUAAAGUUGUAGUUAGAUUAAGAAUCUUUUGUUGACACAUACAGUUCUUAUUUUUGAACAAAUACUCCCACCAUUCCAAAACGUAGAUGGUUUAAGUUUGCCUUUUUUGUGAUCUUGCCCUACUUUAAAGUGCAAUUGUGUUUUUAUCCUUGUUUUCACUACAACACAUGUGGCCUUCAGUGACAUUUCAUUUAUGUCAUAAAAACUGGUUUUUCAUCAUGCUUCAUAAUCUAUGACGCUCGCAUGACGAAAAUUCGUCCAUUGCCUAUACCCUGUAAUAAAAGGCAUUCUACAACGAAAACAAGUUAUUCGUCAAUAAUUUUGUGAUGAUUUUUCUAUUUUCACUAAUUUAUGAUGCUCUUUUUUGUCAUUAUCAAACAAAAAAGUCAUAAACUAUUCACAAGUCAAUGCAAUUUUACCCUUGGUCUUUGCGUAUUUACCCAUGUUUUGAUCAUUGACUAGGGGCGAAAUUGCAUUGACUUGUAAAUAGUUGAAGGUAAAAUCACAAAGUUGAGAAAAUGAGGGAAAAAUCACAAUUACAAAUCAAAGUAGGGGCCAGAACACAAAUACCCCUUUAAGUUUUGUCCUAUGUCAAACUCCUCUAACUUCAACCCAUGUCAUAUAUUUAAUGGUGUAUUCAAUGUAACUAACUAGAUUUCGUAAAUGUUGUGUAUUUUUCUAUAAACUAAACAUGAUUAAAGUUAGAGAAGUUCGACUUAGGAAAAAAGUAAAAUUAGUUUCAUUUUAAAAUAGUGGGAAUAUAAUUUAAACCAUUUAAUAUAGGUACAUAUAAUAUAUAUGUACCUAGAUUCGUGUAUCCUGAACCAAGAUGCUUGGCUCAUUAAUAAAGUAAGAUGCCUUGAUAUUCCUGGAUCGAUCCGAGCCAGGACUCUCCAUACUUGCGGGAUAUGAAGGGGUGUGUUUGUGUGUGCGCAUGCGCAUGGAGCUACUUCCACGAUCAUUAUACCAUCAUGUAUAUGUUUAUACACUAGUUCUAAGAUACUCCAACGUGAACUAUACCAAGAAUUCAAAAAAUACUCCUAUUUUUGAAUAUAUUGUAAUUAUACCUUGAUAAUAGUAUAUAAAAAUUAGUAUGUUCACAUAGAGUACUCUAUGUAUGCUCACAUAUACUCAACGUAGAAUUAAAGAAGGAGAUCCUCAACUAUAAAGGCAUAAGGAAAAUACACAAUGCCCUUUGGUUGCAAUCUCCCCAAGAAGCUCACCCCCAUUUUAAUAGGCUAGAUUCUCAUACGGAUCAAUACAACCCGUUGCAAACAGGACAUAGAGUAUUAAUCUAAACUCAGGAGGCUUGUAUUGUACAUGCAUGGUUCAAUCGUACCGAGGUAUUGCCGUUUGGGCAUUCGUCGGUCGGCUUGCAUCCGCCCUCGCCAGCGUUGCUCGCCAGUGCUCCUCGCUCCACACACUUCGCCUCUGCUGCUUGUCCGCUCUCUUCCCGCUGAUUAUUAUUCAAAGUUAUACUUAGUACCGUCUCUUUUUUCUUUUUGGAAACCAAAUGCAUAGUAGACUCUUCUUUUGCCGAACUUUAGUCUUCUAACAGUAACUAUCUUAAUUAAUUUUGUAGCGUGAUGAUCGGACGUAAGAAUAUGGUGUCACACGUGGUAAUUGAUUUGGAAACAUUAGCAAGUCCACAUAGGCCACGCUUCUGGCACGAUAACAAUGCCAAACAGAGCGAGAAGAUAUGCAAGAUUGACCCUUCCAAACUAUCUGAAGACUCCCUCCUCACCGAGAACAAGGAAAGCAAUAAAGCUGUAGGUGACAGAUCAGCGUCCACAAAGGCAAUCUUCUUUUCAAAAUGUAGAUCGUUUUGUCUUUUCUAAUGGAUAUAUAGAUUUUACUAUACACCAAAAUAUAGGAUUAUGUCUAGAUACAUAGUAAAAUCUAUGUACCUAGAAAAGGUAAAACGACCUACAUUUUGAAAAUGUAACGGAAGGAGUAGUUUAGCUAUUGUUGAAACUUCAGAAAUAACACCAACUCCAUAAUAAACCUAGCUAUACGGAAUCGAUACAUAGGUCAGUUCUGCAGGAAGUGAUUGUACUGUCUCGUAUAUAGUCGUCAGCAUCUUACUUCUAACUAGGUAGUCAUGUCCUGUAGUUUGAAGCUCAUUUGAAGCACUGGAAGAAAUAUUAGAAAAAUAUCAAUUAUAUGUAUUCAUUUCCAUUUUUUUUAUUCAAACGCAUGUGUGUGUGUAUGUGUGUGUGUAACAGUCUUGCUUUAUUAUUAAAAAUUUAAAGUCGGUGGUUGUGCUGCACAAAUACGUGUUCACCACUCAGUCCUUGAUAUGCAUUCUCACUCAUUAUCAUUUUUAUUUUAUUGCUUUAGACUCUGCCCAUAUAUGCCUCUUUUGUGUUAGUAGCCACUGACCAAAUUUGCAAGCAAACUUUUUCAAGUCAAAUAUUUUUGGUAUUAUUUGGUUCAGGUAAAAGAAACCUUCAGGUAUCAGGGUGUGGGCAUCGCAGUCUGCACAGAGUAUACAAAAAUAAACUGCUGAUGCCUGCACAAAACAAUCUGAAAUAAACUGUCUGAAGAACUGAAGUCCGGUCAUCUAUUUCAUAUAUUUUUUCCCCAAAAAAAACUACUACUCUAUGUUUGUUUAUAUGUUGUUUCAGAAAACUAUUAGUGUUAAAUAUUCCAGAAACCACCGGCGUCAAAUAACAAAAAAUGGAGGUAGUACGUUGUACAUUUCACCAUUGAUUGGUGGUUUCCCUUAAUCUAACUGUGCCAGAAUAUCACCAUGAACCAUGAAGUUCACUAAGGUUAAUGCAAAGGUUUGCCUAAAUCGUGUGCAGAUGCGCUGAUGUAUGUGUUCCUUAUCAGCAGAUAGAACAGUUAUCUUAUUCUGACGCAUUAAAAACUUUUAGCUUUUUUCGUUCUAAAAAAUACUUUGUGGGGACUGAAUAAAAAGCUGAUCAUUUAUACAAGAUUAUUGAAAAGGUCACAUUGUUUUGCAUUGUAUCACACAGCUUCCACAUAAUAAAAAAGUUAAACAGCCAGGAAAACAAUCAGAAAAUCGUAAUUGAUAUCAUUGCAGUCAUGUAGAACUUAAUUAUUUGACAGAUUCAGCAAAAGAAAACCUAGGAAGGUACCUUCCACCAACAUUAACUAAUUAUUUGACAGAUAGUUGUAAUGUUUCGCACAAACUAAUAAGGUAACAGUUCUUGACAUAAAGGCAGCAGUUUGGAAAUUAUGCAGCAGGUUGUGGCCGGUAUAGCUCCCUUCUCAAUACAGUCAUGGUCUUUCACCACGGAUCCUUGUAGCCAGAUGGACAUCUUUCGGCAUGAUCGUCACGCGCUUGGCAUGGAUGGCACAUAGGUUGGUGUCCUCAAAGAGACCCACAAGAUAUGCUUCUGCCGCCUCUUGCAAAGCAAGCACUGCAUGACUCUGGAAACGCAAAUCACUCUGCAAGAAUAGUCAUGAAGUGAUAGAAUAUAAGAACAAUGCGAAAAAAAAGUAGUUAUUAGUAUUUACAUCCUACAAAUGUUUCAGAUAACAAGAAAAACAUGUAGUGAUUAAAGCAACGGUAUAUACUUUGUGAAGCUGGGCAAUCUCCCUCACCAGCCUCUGGAAGGGCAUCUUCCUAAUGAGCAGCUCAGUGCCCUUUUGGUACUUGCGAAUUUCACUGGAACAUUAGAGAGGAAAAUGGAUCAUUUGAAAAUAACAGGAAAUUAAAUAUAAAGAUGAGAUGAAAUUCAUACACAGUUAUUUGCAUGAAAUACAAUCAUAGAAAGCUGCACAUACCGAAGAGCUACGGUACCAGGGCGGUAACGGCGAGGCUUCUUGACCCCUCCGGUUACCGGUGCUGUCUUACGGGCAGCAGCCUAUCGUCGCAAAACCAUAAUAGAAAACAACUGUUAACAUGCAAAUGCAUUAUUAAAGGAUAAGUAACAUGCAAAAUUUACAUGCACAUACAAACAUCCUUGCAACUAGUUGCUUCCUAGGGGCUUUUCCUCCAGUUGAAUUCCGAGCUGUCGUCUUAGUGCGAGCCAUCUUACAAACAAAAUGGUAAAUCAUGAUCAUCAGUAUAGAAAUACUCUUUUAGAAACAGAAAAUAAAUACUUGUGUAAACCAGUAAUCUGCAUCUAAUUGAUAUGUGCACAUGUUGUCUAACUAAAUCGCGUAAUAGGAAAAUUUGAGAACAUGUAAGAAAAAUAUGAAUUGAAAUGUGGGCAUGUGGCUUACUCAUUUGCAGAUAAUGACUACAGCGCAAAUAAAAGACAAACAAAAGUGCUUAAUGAGGACUAGGGCAUUGCCACAUCGGAUGGGUACAAAGGAUUUCAGAGGGGAGAAUAAGCUACAAUUUCAUCACAGGGAUGCAAAGAAAAAGGGCUUGCUUUAACACGGAGAAGGAUAGAGUUGCUUCAUAUGAAAAGAAGUACAGUGAGUUCAGUGCAUAAUGGCGCCCUUAUGAGACAACAGAACCCCAAACAAAGUCAUGUAAAGAAAGUUAUCAACUUGUACGAAAUAAUCAUGAAUAAAGCCAGUCGAGAGUGGGGAUUACUGUCUACCUUAACCAUAUUAAGAUUUGCAAUAUAAUCACACCCAUAAUUUCACAACAUCAAAACCCUAACCAUGUACACUUAUAAUUAAAACCUGCCAAAAUGGCCAGCAUGUACAGAAUAUAGUCACCUGAUCUGUUGGUACUGCACAAAUUGAAGCACUCAGAAGAAAAGGUAAACAUGAAGGAGAUGGAUCUAUUUACCUCGCUUUCACAGAUCGUGUGUGUAACCUUCACUUUGAUGCCUCGUUGGUCUGCCGUGGUGCAAUUUGGCCGUAGGGAGGGGCGCUAUUUAUAGGCGCCUACGCGAGAGGGCACAGCGGAUUUAGGUCGGUUCCUGCAUGAUCGGACGGCUUUGAUUGCGUUGCGCUGCGGAUCAUUGUAGGCGAAUGCUGGAUUCUUAUUGGCUGGGGCCCCUGUGACGGGGAUCGUUAAGGAAUUAACCAGAGUAUCAUUUACAACGUAUAGCCUUCCUUCCUUGAAGUUGGAUCAAAAGUCUUUCCAUCGCCACUGGAGCCAUCGCCUGGUGCUAACGACUACAACGACAACCCUGCUGUCCCUCCAAAGCCGGAGAAAAGUGACUAUAUUCAAGGUGAAGCUUGGCAUCUUGAAACGGUGGCCCGAGGGUUGAAUUGGAACUUUUUCAAAUUUAUAGAAUAGUAAAAGCGAACCUUAACCUAGAUUUCUAGUGUUGCCCAAUCUACAAGGUUCAAACCUAGAAAAUGAACACACUAGCAAACAAGGAACCUAGCAAGGAGAGCACACUAUCAUGCUGAUCAUCAUUUCCUAAGGCAAGAUAUAAGCAAAACAAGCACAACUUGAACAAGAGCAAAAUAACAAAUAAAUUGCAGGAAGUAAAUGCUUAAAGGAAGUGCUGAAAUGUAAAAAGAUAGGACACGAGACAACCGAAUUUUUUCCCGUGGUAUCGAGGAGUUGAUGCUCCCUCUAAUCCACAUUGGAGCACCCACUAAGGGUUUUGCUCCCCCUCAAACCACCAAGAUUUGAGUGCUCACUAAGAAUGUCCCUUCUCCAUCUUUGGAACAGCGAACUUCAAACCGUGUACAAGAUCAACCUCUUAGGGCUCCCACAAUCUCCAAGAGCUCACCAAGAACCUCUGGAUCACGAAGACCGUCCAGGUGACGUCAAACACCAAGAGUAAUAAGCCUCAAUGAUUCAGUUGACCAGCACUAAGCUCCGUCACGAACUAGAUGCUCACUUAUCACUCUCAAACACUAAGAGAAGUCCUUAAUCUUGCAAAUCACAAAUCACUUUUUUUGGCUCUAACAUACUCUCAUUUUCUCAUGGGCUUCUUGAAAUCUUCAGGGUGUCAAGAGCAACUCAAAUGAUCUAGGGAGGGGUAUAAAUAGGCUAGGGAACACCAGCUAGCCGUUAGAUAAGUGCUGCAGAAAAAGCACACCAUCGGAUGUUCUGAUGGUCUCCAUCCCCGAGGUGUCGGAACAUCCGGCCACUCGCAUGACAAAAUUCUAGCCGUUAGAAAAGUAACAAUGAAAAGUUUAUCCAGUGUUUGCUCCGACGGUCUUGAGCUAAGCAUCGGAUCAUCCGGUGCUGAAGGGAGUUUGGUCCAAAACCUUCUGUCAGCUUCAAUUGAAAAUAUGGUUCCUCCAACGCAUUCAUUCGACGGCCAUCCACAAAGACGUCGGAUCAUCCGGUGCUGAAGGUCCAAAACUCAAAAACCUUCUGUCAGCUGGAAUUGAAGAUAUGCUUUGUCCGAUGCUCUGUACCAAUUCAUCCGAUGGUAGUAUCGGAACAAAGGAUGCCUUCCUUAAGAAAUUCCAGUCCCAGAAAAUUUAUCCGAUGCAACUAAAAAAUAGCGCGUCGACGGCGGUCCCUUUAUCUGUAUAACUCAUCCAAUUCAAUCUCCUUUGAGUUUUUCAUCGAUUUCUUCACUUCUUGAGUUCUUCCAUGAGUUGUUUAAGCUAACAAGUGCCAAAGAGUACUGAGUGUGCAUCAUUUUCAUGGCUAGCUUCACAUGAUCAAGCUACUAUCAUCGAAAUUUCUCUUAAUAGUACGGUCCAUGAGCUACAAACUAACAAAACCUAUAUUACACUAAGUGCCCUUCAUCUCCUUGUGACACUUAGUUCUAAAAAGGUCCUUAGCCUUGUCGCAUUAGCUCCAUGUCCGUUAUUGCAAUUCAAAUUAGGGGUCCACAUUCUAAUAUACUCGUGACGAGAUAACCAAUGAUAUAUCCGCUUCAAAACACAUGGGUUAGUCACAAGUAUAAGGUUGUCAUUUAUCAUCAAAACACACCUUACCAAACAUCUGUGUGAUGGGACACACGGCCACAAAUAAACGUCGCUUGCCACAUUGAGCACGUGGAUUAGGACAGAUCGCUUGUCACAGUGUACACGCACACACAACAACUCAUCAAGGACCGGUCAUGUAUGUAGGUAACACUUAUCACUACAAGAGUGUACAUCUUUCCCGACAGUUUUUUUCUAGUGGCCAACAGUGUUAGCAUCACUAGUGUAUUUUCUAAGUUCCCAACAGUAUUAGUUGUAUAAUUUUCUAUCUUUCCCAACAGUUUUGGUAAUUACCAACAAUGUAAUCCCCCACAAACUCAUUACCUACAGUUUUUGCAGCUAUUGAACCAAAGCGCUAUCACUGUUGGUCACUUUAUAAUAGAAACUGUUGGGAAAAAUGGCAAGUCUUGUAGUGUAUACCAUCACUCCUAUUAUCUAAAUACAUUAUUUCGAAAUAAAAAAACGAUCCCAAAUACAUGAUAUUGAUAGUCCCGGAACGUGCACAUUGUUUAUAAUUCAAUAUUGAAUCUGAAAACAUUGCAAAUAAUUAAACAAAUAAAUAAACGUGACUCAGAAUGAAGUUGAAUGCCUGUCGACACUAGUAGGGCACGUACUACCCGAAUGAAGUAGUUGAUGCCGACCUCCUGCUCGUUUGAUGGUCUAUAUAAAGACGUCCGAGUCCCAGCAGGGCCAUCAUCUCCAGCCAACCAGCCAGACCUUAAUCUCUAGCCAUCACACAGAGAUCCGACGACGCUCGGAGGCAACACCAGCCGUCGACAUGGCGACCACCUAUCACCCAAUAGCUAGCCCUCGCUUCGCAGUCGCAGCGCAAACUCCGGCAUUACAGCCCCAGCCCCUGGGGUGACUUCUUCCUCAACCAUGUUACAUGUACUCCAUCACAGGUAAAGAGAAUUAUAAUGUCGGUGAACAAUGUUCUAACAAAUUUUUUUAAAAAAAACAAAAGCUUAUAACAUAAUAAAGAUAGCUGCCGUUUUAUUUGGCAGCAAAACUUAUGUUUUAGUUUCUUCUAGAUACUUUACAAUAGACUUCAAUUUGUGAGAGGGAUGGUAUAUAUGCAAGGUGAAUUGCAUUUUGCCCAUAUAAAGGUGCAAUACUUUAAGAUCACACUAAGGAACCAUGGCAUUUUUUAAUAAUUUAAUUUUAAUGACUUGCAUAUCUAUCUAUAUAGGCAAUACUUUAAGAGAACCUCAUAUAAAGCAUUUUGUGUCACUUAGACCCAUAUAAACAAAUCGAAUUAUUUCAUUUUGCCCCCAUACUUUCAAAACAACAUGUUUCAUAUGAGAUUUCUCAUUUCUGACAUCAUGGAACCUAUUGUGAGGGGCAAAGUGCAACUCAUUCGACCUUUGUUGAACUUCCAUAUUCAAUCAUUCAAUGAGGUUUAAAUGUCCAUAUGUGCACCGAAUAGUUCUUUUGCCCACUACUGGGGAAGUGAACGAUCAGUAACCCCCGGUCCCUUUAGUACCCUACGCCUGACUAGUACUGCUUGUUCGAUACUAAAUGUCAUGCCAUUUAGUAGCGGCCAAAAUGGCCGGUACCAUUGUCGCAAGCCACAAGUCACGUGAAUUUCACACGUAAUAUGCGCGUGCACGGUCCGUGGGAUUCGAACCCAUGACCUUAAGCCUCGCACGAACCUUCCUUACCGUCUCACCUACGCAGCACAUGUGAUUGAGUUAGAUAUGCUUUCCUUUUGAAGUAACCCGUGGAUAGCCCUGUUAAUUGGUUUGGGUUUAUUGGUUUUAUUGAUUUGGUUUCUAUAAUGAGUUCAUUUGGAUUGAUUUGUAAUUGGUUCGCCUAAUAGAUGGUUUGGUUUUUGGGUUGGGUUUUACAAACAGAUAGUUUGGAGGGUGUUUGGGGGUCUGGUAUUGUUUUGGGGUCCAAAAGGCUCUCAACCCGACCCGUUAAGAAUUCAAAAGCCUGGAGCCUCGAGUCGGACCCUAAAACUAAAAUCUCGUGUUUACAUCUUAAAAUUUUAGAGAAAUUGACCGAAAUUUGUUGCAGUUGAAUUAGCUUGACAGUCCGCUACUUUAUGCAAAGUAGUGCGGUUGGACUUAUAUGUGGGUCCCGCGUCAAGAGUCGGACCCUAAAACUAAAACCUCGCGUUCACACCUUAAAAUUUUGGAGAAAUUGACCGAAACUUGUUGCAGAUGAAUUAGCUUGAUAGUCCGCUACUUUGUGUAAAGUAGUGCGGCUGGACUUAUAUGUGGGUCCCGCAUUAAAGAGUCGGACCCUAAAACUAAAACCUCGCGUUCACACCUUCAAAUUUUAGAGAAAUUGACAGAAACUUGUUGCAGAUGAAUUAGUUUGACAGUCCGCUACUUUGUGCAAAAAUAGUGUGGCUAGAUUUACAUGUGGACCCUGCAUCAAGAGUUGCAUACAAACUCAAACGAAAAAACUACCUAAUGAGUUUUUAUUGGGUACCUAAUGGUUUCUUAUUGGGUUGUAACCAUAUUUAGCAAGCAGUUUGUAUAACUUAUGCAAUGAAAAGUUUGGGGUGGUGUGGUGUGUGAUGAUGGAGGUUUGGUUUGGGGUGGGUUAUAUUUAUUUUCUUGUGAGAAUGGAUUGGUGGGGUUAUAACCUGGGUUACAACCCAAUUAGCAGGACUACCCGUGGAGAGGCCUUUAGUACCAAUCAAUAACACCGACCGGUACUAAAUGGUACUCCACGGAGUACUGGUGUUAUUGCCUGGUACUAAAAGAACUCCGAGGACUGAAAAUUUUUACCCGGUAUUAAUUUCACAUAUUAGUACCGGACGAAAAGCUGUCCGGUAGUAACGUCAAGGACGAAUGCUCAUAUUUCUAGUAGUGCCCAUAUGUCAAUGAGAUAUUUUGUUAUUUUUCUACUGCAGCUAUUGUCAAUGAAGGAGACGGCACGCAUAAAGGAGGAGGAGGUGAGAAAGAUCAUAAUGGAAAUCAUUGCCUCCUCCAAUCUGGCUCAGAAACUGGAGCUAGUUGACACGCUGCAACGGAUAGGGGUGGACUACCACUACAAGGAGAUCGCUGACUUACUUUGUUCUAUCUACAAUGACAAGGAUAGGGGCUCUAAUGACCUCUAUAUCACCUCAUUGCGGUUCUAUUUACUUAGGAAGCAUGGAUACACUGUCUCUGCAGGUAAGACGACAAAUUCAAUUCUAGUACUUUUAGUAUCAAAGUAUUUUUUUUAAACUUUUGUUGAUGCUGAUGCUAAAUAUGCCUUUGCUGUGUGGUAUGCAAUUUUGAGUUUUCUUAGGAUGAAUAAAUGCUUAAACAUGUAUGCAGACGUGUUUGAGAAGUUUAGGGACAAGCAAGGGAACAUUUCAAGUGAUGAUGUCAGUUGCUUGCUAAUGCUAUAUGAUGCUGCAUAUAUGAGAACUCAUGGGGAGGAGAUACUUGACGACAUUAUCACUUUCAAUAAGAGCCGUCUCCAAUUUUUGAUGAUGACAAAUUUGGAGCCAGAUCUGGCAGAGGAAGUGCGAUGCACUUUGGAGACACCUCGGUUCAGGCGGGUUGAGAGAGUGGAGGCAAGGCGCUACAUCUCAGUAUACGAGAAGAAGGCUGUGCAACAUAAGACACUACUAGAUUUUGCAAAGCUGGACUACAACAUCUUGCAAGCUAUCUACUGUGAUGAGUUGAAAGAACUUACAAUGUAAGGAGACACAGACACAAUAAGUUGGCAGCAACUUAAUGGAAUUGCUUAUAAUUAGUCUGGUGCACUGUGUUAAACUACUAAUAAUAAACAUUUAACCAUUAAUAAUUUAUAGAUGGUGGAAAGAUUUCCAAUCACGUACAGACCUCAGCUUCGCACGAGACAGCAUGGUGGAGAUGCAUUUUUGGAUUCUCGGAGCGCUUUAUGAACCCUACUACUCAUAUUCACGGACAAUGCUGACAAAAUUCACCCUAUUAGCGUCAUUGCUUGAUGACCUUUAUGACAACUACAGCACCACAGAGGAGAGUAAUGUCUUCACCACAGCCAUGGAAAGGUUCACAUAGCUCACUUUUUGGAAUAAUAUCACAGGAGGAUAAACAGAAUUUACUAAAGAAAACAUUUACCGUACCUGUGCUUGUACAACUGAUGGCAGGUGGGAUGGACAGACCACAGAGAAGUUCCCAGCACACAUGAAGGCACUCCUCAUCAACAUACUUAACACUACAAAUAAGAUCGAGGAUGAGUUAAAACUUCAGAAAAACAGGCACGCUGAAUUGGUCAAGAAACUAGUAAGUUGCUUCAAAAGAUCACACUAAGGAACCAUGGCAUUUUUUAAUAAAUUUAAUUUUAAUGACUUGCAUAUCUAUCUGUAUAGGUGAUCUGCACCGCUAAAUUCUACCACGCUGAGGUGAACUGGCGUGAUCAACGCUAUGUACCAACUAGUGUCGACGAGCAUCUCCAAAUAUCCAUGCGCAGCAGUGUUUGUAUGCAAAUAAUAAACCUUGUGCUCAUUUCACUAAGAGAAGAGACUACUACUAGGGAGGAGGAUGUUGAUUGGGUUUUCACCUUUCCGAAAAUUGUCAGAGGUGUUUCUAUUGUGGGGCGCAUUGGCAAUGACAUCGUGUCACAUGAGGUAUACCAAAUUUAUCCACAUAUAAGAUGUCGUAAAAUCUUCUCAUCAGUAGUGAAAGCCUUGAUUAGGAUAGAGUUACUGCACUCGCCAAAUGUUUGUUUUCUAAGUAUCUUGACUCUUUGGUCCUUUCAAGCGGCGGGAACAAGCGUCGAUACAUGUGGUAUCCACAGUGCAAACUUGCAUGAAGCAAUAUGGGGUAACAGCAGAGCAAACCAAAGAAAAGCUUAGAGUUAUAAUUGAAGAAGCAUGGAUGGACAUCGUCCAGGAAUAUCUUGACCAGAAGCGUCCCAUGGAGCUUGAUCAGCUUUUGUAUGAUUGAAACGUGUGGACAAAUUCAAAAUACACUAAUUGGACACACAUCCAAAAUAAUCCCGGGCAUCUAUAAACGUUUAUUUACCAGAUAUAUGGAACCUAGGGGAAAAAAUCCAGGUCUCCUUAUUUCCUCAUCAUUAAACAUCUUCUCUCUAAAAUGUUGUGUUCACGCUUCUUGCAUACUCAAAUAUGAUUUGUAAAGCUUUUUUUUUUACUUUGCUAGGACCUUGGAUGACUUCGCCGGUGAAGUAACACUACCGUCAUUGUCAUCUUUUUGAUGCGUGAAAUGAAAAUGUUGGGUUGUAUUUCCCUAAAAAAAAUGUAGGGCUGUAAUCGGGAUGUAGGCCAAAUUCUUGGAGAUUUUUUAUUGACCCUACUUGGCCCGCUUGUCUGAUCGAUAAUUCGGUACUUCACGCCGUCAAACAUUAUUCUGAGAGAGGACUCAAAAAACACUUGCAAGUUAAAAUAUGAGCGCUGAAUUAUUUGUUGACAGAUUGUUGGGGUGAAAUUAAAAUAUGUCGAAUUUUGUAUCUCGAGUACCUUCUUCUGUGAAGUGCUUUCAUCUUCUCCAUGCCUAGCAACCUCUUAAACUCUAGAAGGUUAGGGUUUCAGGUUGAGAUUUAGGUUUGAAGAUUUUGGUGGCCUCCUGCUCAGCCCGGGAGGUUAGUUGCCAGUCCGUCAGUACUGGUGGUGGAUGGAUCAAGAAUGACAGUACGUCAGAGUUGUUAGCACUGCCCAACGAGAAGGGCGACGGCUGCAGCGAGGCAGUUGGGCUGGUGGAUCUGAGGUAUUAGGUAGGCAAGGUUGUGGCCCUGGAACCUGGUUCUCCUUCAGUGAAACUCCGAGUCCGUUUCUGUUCCUUUGCUCUGCCGAGGGAAACUUUGAGUCCGAUUUUGUGCUGGACUGCUGGAGUGCUGAAGCCGAUUCGGAGAUGAGACCUGAAGAACCCACCCAAUAAAACGGGAGGCGCGGUACGCCCUGUCCAUCAAGCCAGCAACAGCAACAGCAACAGCAAGCCAGAACCACCGCGUACUCAUCGUAGUCUCGCUCGUAGUACUCGACGUAACAGCACCGUACCCAUGGCGCGGAGGACGUCGACGCUGCCCCUUCUGGCGACUUUGCUCUCCGUCCUGCUGCUCCUGCCCUCCGCCGCCGUAGCCAAGGCCAUCGACGCCACCAACACCCAGCGACUGGAGCUGCCCGACGGGCUGAUCGGCCCCGAGAGCGUCGCGUUCGACCGUCGCGGCGACGGGCCCUACGUCAGCGUCUCCGACGGCCGCAUCCUCAAGUACGCAGGCAAGAGCGUUGGGUUUGCCACUUUCGCGUACAGCCCUAGCUACAUCAAGAACGGCUGCGAUGCACCCUCGUCUGAGCUCCCGGCGGUUGCCACAGAGAGCUCCUGCGGCCGGCCGCUGGGCCUUCGUUUCCACAACAACUCCGGCAACCUGUACAUCGCGGACGCAUACAUGGGGCUGAUGCGCGUCGGGCCGAACGGUGGGGAAGCGACGGUGGAUGCAACUGAGGCCGGCGGUGCACCGCUACGCUUCACGAAUGGAGUGGAUGUUGACCAGGUCACCGGUGACGUCUACUUCACCGACAGUAGCACAACGUACACGCGGGCACAGCAUCAGAUGGUCACCGCAUCGGGAGACUCGACGGGGCGCAUCAUGAGAUACAACAGACGUACAAAUAAGGUCACCGUGCUCCAAUCCGGCGUGACAUAUCCCAAUGGCAUUGCCAUCAGCGCUGACAGGAGCCAUCUUAUCGUCGCUCUCACGGGACCAUGCAAGCUAAUGAGGUACUGGAUCCGAGGGCCUAAGGCCGGUACAUCUGAGCUAUUUACCGACCUACCGGGAUACCCGGACAAUGUGAGGCCCGACGGGAAGGGUGGGUACUGGGUUGCGCUGCAUAGGGAGAAGUAUGAGCUCCCGUUUGGAAAGGACAGCCACUUGGUCGCUAUUAGGAUCGGCUCUGAAGGUGAGAAGUUGCAAGAAAUGAGGGGUCCCAAGGAUGUCCGUCCAACAGAGGUGGUCGAACGAGAGGACGGCAAAAUAUAUCUUGGGUCUGUAGAGUUGUCUUAUGUAAGCAUGGUCAAGAGUAGCUAGAUCUAGGAUAGAGUUUAGGUAUAUCAUAUAAUUUUGUUCAACUUCAAAUUUUGCAUGAACAUGGAUCAUUGCAUCGUGCAUCUACUCAUAUUUUAUAUUGAAUCUAUCAUGCAUGUUUUGGUGGAUCAUUUUGAUGUGGAGUAUGAGAGUACCUCAAGGUGGUGGAGCACCUGAAUUGUUCUCUUUCCUCCGCAGAUGGAGCAUGGAGCGUUGGUGAAAUGGUCAGAGAUGAGGGACUUAUUAAUGGAUCGUACGCCACGAUAAAUGGUCUCAUUUUCCUUUUGACACGGAAAUGGUCUCAUUUGAUCUUGUCAGCAAAGUAUGGAGAUGUUUAACCCACUCUCAAUGGAAGUUGCGCCCGCUUUGAAGGCAAACGCAAGCUUGAUGAUGGUUGGUGCCAUCGAUCUCGCGCGGAGAAAUUCGGUGACUUCCCUACCUGGUGCACCAUGGCGCGCCAGUUGUUGGUGUUUUAUACCGGCAACCCGCUUAGGGAGUACCCGAGGUGGUGUUUUGUGUGGGUGUCGCUGAGAAUCAAAGAGUCGAUGGUGACGCAGGAAACACGAUUUAGACAGGUUCGGACCGCUAGAUCGUGUAAUACCCUACGUCAUGUGUCCUGUGUGUGGAUUUUAUUGAUGAGUUGUGUUACAUUGUGCUUAGCCUGCUCGCCCUUAUAUAGUCGGGGGAGCUGGGUUAUAGGGUAGGAGUUCUAGUCGAACACGAUUACAGAGUCCUACUCUAAUUUGACAAAGUAGUUUCCUUGAGUAAUCCGACUAGUCUUUAGGAGUUCGUGGAGACUACGUUACCCUGCGGCGUAGCCUCCAAGUCCUGAUCACGUCCGAGUACGCCCCUAGGUGGGCCGUACAAGGCCUACUCGUGGGUCCGAGGAUGUAUGCCCGACAGUCGAUGGGUUCAUUGCUUACCACUGAAAAAUAGUACCGCUUAAAUCUUAGAAUAAAUUUAGAAAAAUACGAGUACCCAUACAAAAUUUGGACUCGAAACGAGUAGAGACAAAGUUCGUUGUAUGCUGAUAAAUUACUGCCCCAUUUCAAGUAAUUGCAUGGGUGCAUACAGGUAUGCCGUCUUCCAUUUGCAUGACUCUUUGAACCGAUUCUUUGGAUUGUUUGGAUCACUUGUUUUGUGGAAACACGUUUCCAUGAACCUGCAGUUUUCACAUAAAGAACUUUAAAUCUUUGUUUGGAUAACCUAACAGAAUCUGGUACUUGGAGUUUCCCAAAAAUUUGUAGUUGUAGCUGUUUGCUGGAAUAAGCGGGGUUUUUUCUUGAUAAAGCAAUAAGCCGGUAGUUUAUUAGCUGCAAGCAAUGGUGCCGGGCUGCCGGUUACGACUGAUGAGGGAGGUUUUGCCCGGCCCCAACGUUGCAAGUGGGAUCCUACACUGAUCCUAGAGCUAGGAGUAACAAAAUGUACUAGGCAUGUGACAAGACAAGCCAGAGCCUGCACCAACUUCAACUGAGAUGCCGUUCAAAAAAAAUAAAACUUCAACUGACAUGGGAAGUUACUUUAAUAUGGUUGCGUUUGUGCCGAUUAUCUUGCUUUGAAUGGUCUAGAUCUGAGUCAAGUCAACAAACUUCCCCAUUGUUUCAUCGGUAUAUGCGCCUCUUGCACAUGCCUGUUACUGUACUAUUUUACUACUAUGGCAAGGAGUAAAAUGAAAAUCGAGGUAACUAGAUGAGCCCCAAAUUCUAGCUUUACCAGCUCCGACUCCUCUCACUGGUAGAAAACUGAGCAUUAGUCCCGGUUGGUAAGGGUCAUAUCUCUCGGAUAUCCAUCGGGUCUUUAGUCCCGGGUAUUUUAACCGGGAGUAAAGGACCCCCUUUAGUUCCGGCUCAAUUCCAACCGGGACUAAAUUGCGCUUGCAUGGCACUGGUGACGCCUGAAUUUUUCAUGCAUCCAUCACGUAUACGUAUAGUAGUACCACGGCCCUUUUAAUUUGUUAACCUUGUAGUUGAGAUUUUUUUAGAAUGAAUUAAAUCAACUAGUAUUUAAACGAAUUGGAUUUGUAAUUAUACAACUACUAUAUAUAUACACAAUCCUUAUACACAAUUCAUAUACACAAUUCAACUAGCUUAAUUAGUACAAAUCGAUCAUAUAUACAAAUAAAUCAAAGUAUCUUCCUACGAUCUUCCCGUCGUGGUGUUGCUGAGAGGAGUGUCUAAUUGUCGUCCAUCGUAAUAAAAUUCUCCUGUUGGAUUUACCACCUCGUCCAUUAUGAAUCCAAUGAGACCUUCACAUAUUGCCGCUACUCUUUCUUCCUUCAAGAGUCCUUGUUGAAUAUUUAACAUCUAUAAUUUGGAAAUUUGUGAAUGUUACAUGAACAAAUACAUAUAAGGAGCUAGAAAAUAAUUAACUAGUAAUAUAUUUAUUUUACGUACUUUAAAGUUGUGCGGCGUCAUCUUCGUGCCCUUGGGUCCCAAAAAACUGUGCAUGUGCUCACAGAUGUAGUAGCCACAUAGGUUAUUCCCGGGUUCCUGUCUUAAGCACUUCAGUGCGGAAAAAAAUAAGUUAUGAAAUAUUCGUGUUAUACAAUGUAAUAAAUGUGCAGACUUCAUACGUACCGGGAAGUCUGUGUUCCAUGUAAGAUCUUCUUUGAAUGGACCUUGGUGUGUCCUUAUGAAUUGUUUCCAUACGCUGCGGAUUAGAAUAAUGAAUGACAUAGUGUAACAGGGAUAAAAUUUAGGAAAUAAAUUUUUGCAUAGAGAUAAAGGUCCAGAAUUAUUACAAGCCUAGCAUGUCUUGCAAUUCUUGGUAGUCCACCGGAUCUUUCCGUAACGAAUCAAAGACAGUGACGUGGCUUCUUUCAGGCUCAAUUAUAAUAAGGAUCCAGUGGAAGCUGCGUGCGUAAAAUGUUCAUGCAUAUUAGAGCUAACUAACAUGUAGAGAUAAGGAAAAAGACAUCGAAAGUAGACGGUAUACACACACUUACUUGAAGUUGUAUGGAAGUAGUAUGAAAUCCUUGAAUGUUUGUUUGUGUAGGAAAUUGUAUAUUUCGGCAAAGGUUUUUUCCGGCGCUAAUUGUAUCUGUUGUUGGUUAACUACAGAUGGAUCCAUGAAGCCUACAUGUAGGUACGCCUCUCGGCGGCAUGUCUGAAUUAGCAUCCUACAUGAAAUGGAAGAUGAAGUUAGUACGGUGACGCACGCCAAAAUUUACAUGUAGAGAUAAUAAACGGACACUUACAGAAUCCAAGCGCUGAUCAGAGAGACGUCCAGGGCAUCAUGAUGGUACACUUCGUAUAUAUCCUUGAAGUCUAGCCACAGCACUUUCUCCCCUUCACCGUGAAAAUCUAUCGGUUUUACCUUCAUGCCGAUCAUCUCCCUCGAUUUGGCGGAUGCCGUCAUGUACCAUUGAUGGAAUUCGUACAUCUUUAUUGACAGCUUCCGUACCAUUGCCGGCUUCACUAGAGGCUUGCCUAGCUCAUAAGGCCAUCUCGGCUCAGGGGGCGGUGCAGUUGGCGUCUCGACUUGCCCUAUGCAUUCAUCAAGUCCCAGACCUGUUUCUUCCAUGAACUUCAAUAUAUUUUCUUGUUGAUCCAAGGGCAUUGCUUUUACCCGUUGAGCAUCUUUCUUUGAUAAAUGGCUGAGGUCGGGGACUGAACCUUUGGAGGAUGAUUUUCCUUUUCUUUUAUCCUUUUCAUCAGCCUUUACUAGAGCCCGUUCAUAGUUUGACAAGAGUGAUAUCCUUUUCUUGGCUCCUUCCUCCAUCCUGAUAAAAAAGUUUAAAUCCCGCCGACUUACUGGCGGUGGCUCCAUCUCCCUUGCCUUUUUUAAUUCGGCUUGUUUCUUGAACCACUCACUGGCCUCUCGUUGGAUUUCUGCCCACUGUUCCGCAUGAGACAUUGCCUCAAAGCGUUCCUUGCGAGCCACUUCAGGGUCGACCUUUGUUUUCUUCUUUCGAGGCUGUCUUUGCUUGGGAGGCGGUGCUCGUGACUUCUUGAGUGGUGCUGCAGGUUCCUUCGAGGGGGCCGCUCUUGGUGCCGGCGACGGUGAUCGGGGAGGGGUGUUGUUAUUGUCGUCGUCGCUCCCAGCACCAGGAUGUGGUGGAGAUGGAGACCUUGAUAUAGAUGGAAGCGACGGUCCUGGAGCAGGAGAUGCCGGUCUCGAGGUAUGAGGAGAAGAUCGCUGCUCGGGAUCUACGGGGAGCGGUCUUGAGGUCUGAGGAGAUGGCUCCGUGCGGGAAAUAAUGAUGUAGCGUUUCUUCCAUAGAAUGAUCCCAUGAAGCGCAUCUGCCAAUGUCUUUUCCCCGUCGCCUCCCGGGAAGUCGAGCUCUAGACCUUCAUACUGGGCAUCUACUAUUUGCUCGACGCAGACGCUGGCGUAGCCUGUUGGAAUGUCCAUGCCAUGACUGCUCUGCCCUGCCAGCGUUGGUAACGCACUCCCGUACGCUACCUGUACAUAUAGCAGAAGUAAACAAGUUGAACUCCGAUCUCGAGGCCUGGAUCAAUUGACAAGAUUGCAUAAAUAUUAUGUAUAAGUAUACCUUAAUAGUGAGGUUGCCGACCGGUGCAUGCAGCUCACAUGAGGUCCAUUGCGUGAUGGCAUCCACGGGGAACCGUUGCUCCUCCACGGGUAACCUGGGCGUCUGCGCAUCGGGGACCCCUGUAGAAGCACAACUGCUCCCGAGGCGUUGAGAAGGGCUGGCGGUGUGAGGAUUCGGCAGUGCUCCAGAUUGCGCCAACUCCGCAACUGCGUCGGCCACCCGCCGAUUGAUUUCAUCCAUCAUUCGUUGUUCUAGCAUCUGCCGCCAGCUCUCCUCCAUCUGUUCCUUUCUUCGCUUCCGACUUCUGUAAGAGGCGCUGUCGCCUCGGAAAGCGAACUUCCACGGAACCACCCCGAAGCCCCGGCAACGUCCUGGGUGCUCUGGAUUUCCGAGGGCCAAUGUGAGCUCAUCAUUUUCUCGGUCCACCCUCAACCUCCCAGCCUUGGAAUCUUCAAUGUUCUUCAUGAGAUGUUCGGCCUUCUCACGUAUUCUGUCAUUGAAAAUCAGCGUCCCAUCCUCUUGGCUUAGGGAGCCUCCAUGAGCGUAGUACCAGUUCUUUGAUCGUUCGGGCCAUUCAAUAGUUGCAGGUAUGAUUCCCCGUUCGAUCAGAUCUUGUUCCAUCUUUCUCCACUUGGGAAUUGCUGAGCCAUACCCACCUCACCCCAAAUGUUGGUGGUAGCCCUUCUGACUAGCAUUUGCAACGUUGGUCGUGAUCUUUUUCACACCUUCUUCACUCCUCUUGUAUUCAACAAAUGCAUCCCAGUGGUCCCUCAACUUGGGCCACGCGUUGAAGUCUGGAGUUUUGCCCUUCUUGAUGUAGUGGGUGUCCAGCAUCUUCUUGAAUGUCUGGAAUUGAGUAGCCAUCUUCUUAAGUGUCCAGGCUUUGACAUCCUUCUCGCUAUAAUCUUCGGGGAAUGUGAAAUGCCUCUUCACGUCUUCCCACAGCAUAUUCCUUUCUGUCUCUGGAAGGGCGUACGGAUUAUCGCUUCUGCCCUUCCAUUCUCUGAUGCUGAUAGGCACGUUGUCCCGGACGAUUGCCCCGAUUUGACUAACGUACUUCUUUGCGACUUUCUCGGGAGUAACCGGCCUGCCCUCAUCUGUAACUUCGGUGAUGACAAGCCUCCCUUCCAUCACCUUUGUACGACCUCGGGUCUUCUGCCCUUGUGUCGAUCCGGAGGGCUAACAGUUUAAGAUUCGUUAAUUAGUACGUACUAGUAGCGGUGGCGUGAAACAAUACAAGAAUGGUUGUAUAUACCUCGCCGGAACCUUCCGCCACGGCAAGUUGUUGCUGCGGCUGUUGCUCUUCAUUCACAUCGGCAGACAUGUUGAGGAACAUGUCCGCCUGGGUGCCCUCUUCAUCCGUGUAUGAUAGUGGAACGUUGUCGCCACUACCAUCACCAGCGAUUAUCUGCUCCAUGAUAUACCUUGCGGUCUCAUCGUCUGCCAUUUCAACUAUUGCUGCAAACAUACAUGGAAUCAUACAUGACAGUCAUAGAAAUCGUCUUAAUACAAAUUUGUAUAUAAUCACAGUUUGGAAUCAUACAUGUAUAUAAUGAAAUCAUAAAAUUACAUGAAUCGUACAAAGUCCGGAAUCUUUAUACAAAUUUCUAUGAAUUUAUACAAAUUUCUAUGAAUUUAUACAAAUUUCUAUGAAUUUCUAUGAAUUUCUAUGAAUUUCUAUGAAUUUCUAUGAAUUUAUACGAAUUUAUACAAAUUUCUAUGAAUUUAUACGAAUUUAUACAAAUUUAUAUGAAUUUCUAUGAAUUUAUACAAAUUUCUAUGAAUUUAUACAAAUUUCUAUGAAUUUCUAUGAAUUUCUAUGAAUUUCUAUGAAUUUCUAUGAAUUUCUAUGAAUUUCUAUGAAUUUCUAUGAAUUUCUAUGAAUUUAUACGAAUUUAUACAAAUUUCUACGAAUUUCUAUGAAUUUCUACAAAUUUCUACGAAUUUCUACGAAUUUUGACGAAUUUCUACGAAUUUCUACGAAUUUCUACGACAGCGAUAAGGGCGGCGGAGGCGGGACGGCGGCGGUCAGGGCGGCGGAGGCGGGACGGCGGCGAUCAGGGCGGCGGAGGCGGUUCACCGGAACCACGGGCGGUGCCUAAGCUACUACGUUGUGAUGGGCGGCAGGACGGCGGCGAUCACGGCGGCUACUCGGCGGCGAUCACGACGGCUACAAGGCGACUCUCACGGUAGCUACUCGGCGGGACGGCGGCGAUCACGACGGCGGGACGGUAGUUAACAACCUAACUACAAAUCUAACUUAACAAACUAACUAGAAAUCUAAAAAUCUAACUUAAAAAAUAUUAGAAAUCUAAAAAUCUAACUUAACAAAAUUACAAUUCCAUCUAAAAAAAACAAAAUUAAAAAUUAAAAGAAAACGGCCAGCUCUCCCGGCGCACCGGCCGGCGCGGCAGACCUCUCGCGCGCGGGGCGGCGGCCGGGGCGGCGGGACGGCGGCGGCCGGGGCGGCGGGACGGCGGCGGCCGGGGCGGCGUGACGGCGGGACGGCGGCGGCCGAGCGGCGUGCGGGACAGCGGCGGCCGGGGCGGCGACGAGGACGAAGACGACGACGGCGGGACGACGGCGGCCGAGGCGAAGACGACGACGGCGGCCGGCGAGGGGCGACGAGGGGCGACGAGGGGCGAUGCUUCCUUCUGGACGAGCACGAUUACGAACAUAGUUUUUUAGGACUGCCAUGAACCUCUCGAAAGGCCACAUAUUGUGCAGGUAUACAGGUCCGAGAAUACCAAUCUCUUUUACUAGGUGAACCAGUAAGUGCGUCAUAAUAUUGAAGAAGGAUGGUGGAAAUAACAACUCAAAACUGACAAGACAUUGCACCACAUCGUUCUGUAGCUUUGAUAGCUUGGAUGGAUCGAUUGCCUUCUGCGAAAUCGCAUUGAGAAACGCGCAUAGCUUUACGAGCGGCAACCGGACAUUUUCUGGUAGAACACCCCUCAGUGAAACCGGAAGCAACUAGGUCAUCAACAUGUGGCAGUCAUGAGCCUUGAGAUUUGUAAACUUCUUUUGUUUCAUAUUUAUUAUUCCCUUUAUAUUCGAGGAGUACCCAGACGGGACCUUCAUACUAUUCAAGCAUUCAAACAUGCUAUCCUUCUCCUCCUUGCUGAGAGUGUAACUGGCAGGACGUAAGUAGUGCUGUCCAUUAUCUCUCUUUUCCGGAUGUAGGUCAUCUCGUUGCCCCAUGGCUUUCAGGUCCUGUCGUGCUUCCAAUGUAUCUUUUGAGGUUCCAUAAACACCCAUGAAGCCUAGCACGUUCACGCAAAGAUUCUUCGUCAGGUGCAUCACGUCUAUUGCGUUGCGAACCUCUAGGAUUUCCCAAUAAGGUAGCUCCCAAAAUAUUGACUUUUUCUUCCACAUGGGUGCAUGUCCGUUAUCAUCGUUCGGAACAGGUUGGCUAUCAAGUCCCUUUCCAAAGACUACAUGUACAUCCUUCAUCAUCUCGAACACACGCUUUCCAUUACGGUGUGCAGGUUUUUUACGAUGGUCUGGCGUCCCUUUGAAAUGCAUCCCGCUCUUUCUCAGCUGGUGGUGAGCAGGGAGAAAUCGACGAUGACCCAUAUAGACGACCUUCUUACAGUGCUUCAAGUAUAUGCUAUCUGUGUCAUCUAAACAGUGGGUGCAUGCCCGAUAUCCCUUAUUUGUCUGUCCUGAAAGGUUACUCAAUGCAGGCCAAUCGUUGAUGGUUACGAACAACAGUGCUCGUAGAUUAAAGAUCUCUUGUCUAUCCUCAUCCCACACACGUACACCUUCUUCCUUCCAGAGCUGUAAAAGGUCAUCAACCAACGGCCUUAGGUACAUGUCAAUGUCGUUGCCGGGUUGUUUUGGGCCUUGGAUAAGCGCCGGCAUCAUAAUGAACUUCCGCUUCAUGCACAGCCAAGGAGGAAGGUUGAACAUACAAAGGGUCACAGGCCAAGUACUAUGACCACUACUCAACUCACCGAAUGGAUUGAAUCCAUCAGUGCUUAAACCAAACCUUAUGUUCCUUGCUUCACUUUCAAAGUCUGGGAAUGUUCUAUCAAUUGAUCUCCACUGUGCCCCAUCUGCGGGGUGUCUCAGCAUCUCAUCUUCCUUACGGUCUUCUUUGUGCCAUCGCAUCAACUUAGCAUUCGCCUUGUUCCUGAACAAGCGCUUCAAGCGUGGUAUUAUAGGGAAAUACCACAUCACCUUCGCGGGAACUCUCUUCUUGGGAGACUGCCCCUCGACAUCACCAGGAUCAUCUCGCCUGAUCUUAUACUGCAGGGCUUCGCAGACGGGACAAGCAUCCAAUUCCUCGUAUUCAUCACCACGAUAGAGGAUACAGUCAUUAGGGCAUGCGUGUAUCUUCUGAACAUCCAAUCCGAGAGGGCAAAUAAUCUGUUUAGCUUCAUAUGUUAUGGACGGUAAUUCAUUAUUCUCGGGGAGAAUCUUCUUGACAAUUCUCAACAUCCCCUGAAAUGCCUUAUCGGACACACCAUUUUUUGCCUUCCAUUGCACAAAUUCUAGUGUCGUACCUAGUUUUUUAUGGCCCUGCUGGCAACCUGGGUACAACAAUUUUUGGUGAUCAUCUAUCAUGCGCUGCAACUUUGCUGCUUCCUUCUCAGUUUCGCAAUCUCUGUAUGCAUCUCGUAUCACAUGACCAAGGUCAUCAGUAGGGUCAUUUUUUGCAAACUCAUCUUCAUCAGCCUCGCCCAUUGUAGUACCUGCAAAAGCUUGGCCUGCAACCCAGUCCGGAAUGGUGUCAUCUUCCUCCUCCUCCUCGCCAUCUUCCAUUACAACCCCUAGUUCACCGUGCUUGGUCCAAACCAAAUAGUUAGGCAUGAAACCGUAUUUAAACAAGUGGCUGUGAAUAGUCCCCCAGGAAUCCUUUGAAUACUCCUUCCUGUUAUUGCAUUGGAAGCAUGGACAACAUACGAACCCAUUCUCUGGCUUGUUCGCUUUUGCCACUUCGAGAAAAUAAUGCAAGCCAUCAAUAAACACCUUGCUCCGCCUGUCUGCAUUAUACAUCCAAUGCCGGUCCAUCUGCAUCGUAUUACGCACGAAAAUGGAUUACACUUGACAAUGGAUUACGCGUGAAAAUCGAUUAAAGAUCCAAACAACAUGGUACAAUACAACAACAUGAAGAUCCAAAUACACAUAUUUAAAUUAAAGUCCCAAACACUGCAUAAGUUGUUCAACUUGAAGACCGUGAUCAUCUCGCGAGGAUGUCCUCAACUGGGCGGCACCGCACUUCGUCAUUAAAGAGGUUAGAUGCUACGGAAAAGGGGACAUGGUCACGAUGUCCGUAUCUACUCUUUCUCGUAGAAUCGAACCUCCUUCUUGACAUACGUUGCUGCUCGGCGGAGAACAUCCUCGGCGAGAUGAACACGGUAUGCAAGUUCAACAAGUAGCAGAAGUCAUCUAUGUACUAAAAUUCUUUCCUUACCACUACAGAAGUUGUUGAACUUGAAGACCGUGUUCAUUUCGCGAGGAUGUCCUCAGCUAGGCGGCACCGCACUUCGUCAUGAAAGAGGUUAGAUGCUACGGAAAAGGGGACACGGUCACGAUGUCCGUAUCCACUCUUUCUCGUAGAAUCGAACCUCCUUCUUGACAUACGUUGCUACUCGGCGGAGAACAUUCUCGCCGAAAUGAACACGGUAUGCAAGUUUAACAAGUAUAUGGAUUUAAAAAACCAUAUUGAAUUUGAUAAGAUAAACCGUCUAGACAAGGUAGCAUCAUUUUUAAACCACUAAAAUAAUGCAUACUAUAUAUGACACAUCAAUCUCCCUCACAUUCUAGCUCAAAAUACCUCUCCAUUUUUCUACUUCAUCAUCACAUUGUAGCAAAUAAUCUUUCCAUCUCCAAAGCAUAAAUCAAAGCAUAACACGAGGAUGAAGUAGCAAACCUUCGCAGCACUUGUUGGCUGAGUCAAAUUCCCACAAAAAUGAGGGAAAAAACUUCGGGCAGCACCUCCCUUGCUUGGGCACCACCGGAGAGUAGGUGAAGCUCAGCUCUCUAUCAAUGUGCUGGACUGCUCGGGCUGGAGGAAGAAGAAAGUCUCUGUCUCGGGAUAUAGUGGGGGAUGAGUUUUAAUCCCGGUUAAAAACUCCAACCGAGACAAAAGGAAACACCUUUUGUCCCGGUUGGAAAGUUAGUCCCGGUUGGAUCCUCCAACCGGGAUAAAAGGGUCCCGCCACCGAUGCCCCCCCCCUAGCCGUUGCAACCGGGACUAAAGGGGGGCCUUUAGUCCCGGUUGCAAUUACCAACCGGGACUAAUGCUCCCCUCCAAAUUCCCGCCCCCCGGCGCACCCCCUUUUAUCCCGGGCCACUUUUAAACCGGGAUAAAAGGGGGUGGAUCGAAAGUCACUUCUCUACUAGUGUCUGUAUCCAUUUCAGGAGGAGUCGGAGCAUGAUGGCGUUCCACCGAAGGAGCUCAUAUAUACGAGUCAACAAAACUUUCCCCUUGUUUCAUCUCUCUCUAUAUAUAUUUGUAGUUGUAGCUGUUUGCUGUAAACAAGUCCAGUGGUGGGAAUAAGCGGGUGUUUUUUUUUGAUAAAGCAAUAAGCGGGUAGUUUAUUAGCUGCAAGCAAUGGUGCCGGGCUGCCGGUUAAAAGACUGUGGGGGGUUUUGCCCGGCCACCUAACAUUGCAAGCGGGGUCCUACAUUGAUGCACCCUCGUCUGAGCUCCCGGCGGUUGCCACAGAGAGCUCCUGCGGCUGGCCGCUGGGCCUUCGGUUCCACAACAACUCCGGCAACCUGUACAUCGCGGACGCAUACAUGGGGCUGAUGCGCGUCGGGCCGAACGGUGGGUCGACGGUGCUUGCAACUGAGGCCGGCGGUGCACCGCUACGCUUCACGAAUGGAGUGGAUGUUGACCAGGUCACCGGUGACGUCUACUUCACCGACAGUAGCACAACGUACACGCGGGCACAGCAUCAGAUGGUCACCGCAUCGGAAGACUCGACGGGGCGCAUCAUGAGAUACAACAGACGUACAAAUAAGGUCACCGUGCUCCAAUCCGGCGCACUACGGGAAACAGAAGCUUUGCCGAGUGCCCGAGGCACUCGGCAAAGGCCUAAAAACACUCGGCAAAGCUUUUGCCGAGUAUAACACUCGGCAAAGAGCACACGGCAAAUUUUGUGUCGGCAAAGACUAGUUUGCCGAGUGUCAAAACUCGAACACUCGGCAAACAUGUUGCCGACGGCCAAAAAACACUCGGCGAAAAGAUGUACUCGGCGAAAUGCGCACUGACGGCGUCGGGGUAACGACGGGUUUGCCGAGUGCCAGACGGGAGGCACUCAGCAAACACCGGGUCUUUGCCGAGUGCCAAGACUCGGCAAAGACCGGACCUUUGCCGAGUGUCAUCCACGGGGCACUCGGAAAAGCCGGCCCCCUUUGCCGUGUGCCGGGUCCCGGGCACUCGGCAAAGCCGGCGCCCUUUGCCGUGUGCCGGGUCCCGGGCACUCGGCAAAGCCGGCCCCCUUUGCCGAGUGCCUUGACCAUAGCACUCGGCAAACAAGCAUUCCUACACCUGGGAAAUGCCCCUUUGCCGAGUGUUAAGGCCAAAAUACUCGGCAAAGGCCCCUCUUUGCCGAGUGUUACACUCGGCAAAGUGACCAGAACCCCCCCUUUUCGACAUUUUGCCACGUAUAACGGACCCCUCUCAAUUCACAAUACACAUAUCACAGGCAUUUGUAAUAAACAACCACAUGGAUAAUUCACAACCACAGGCAUAAUUCAUAAACACCACAGGUAUAAUUCAACAUAAGCACGAAAUAAUCCAUAAAUCCAAGUUCUUGUCACAAUUUAGUUUCCACAUUGUUCACAACCAAGUCUACUUCCGUGGAGGCCAAGGAGACCACAAAGACAAAUCUUGAUCUUCAUUAUUCGAAGCCGCCGAUUGAUUCUGCACAUAGGAUAGGACAUUCUGAGGUAACAUCUAAAGUUGUCAAAUUUAAACUAUUGAAUCUUAAGCACAAUGUGUCAAGUGACUCACAGGAGUAGUCGUGGGUGGCUGAGGCGGAGGGAACAUCAUCGGCGGUGGCGGAGGCAAAGACUGUCCCAUGCUCGAAGCAAAGUUCUGCAUGUACUGGAACAUCUGCUCCAUCCUAAUCCGGUUUUCCUCCGUCAUCCUCCGCCGCAUUUCCUCCAUCUGCACCGCCAUCUCCUCUUGUUUCUUCCUUGAUUCUUCCACCUGGGCCUACAAUAUUUCAUUGCAAUGUUAUAAUGCAAAGCUAAAGUAUAACAACAAACGAACGAUGAAUGGAAAAGAAAGAACCUGUAGAGCCUCCAUCUGGAACUGUGCAGCGGUGGGUCGUGGGCGUACCGCCAGGCUCGAGUCCGUGCUCCAAGCUCGGAUCUGGGAGAGAGUGGGAGUAGAGGCCGUGUCGAUGACGCCGUCACCAAUCCAAUAUCGGCCAUGCUUCUUGCCUCCUCCCACCCUCAUCACGAUUUCUCCAUCAAUGUCCUCGGAGCUCGGGUCGAAGUCUGGCCCGUGAACCUCCCUAGCCAUUUUUGUAUACUCGCUGACGCGGCUGUGUAUGCUAGGGUGGCUGUACGCCUCGGACAGGUCGUCUGGGUUGAAAUCUAUAUCGGCCGUCGCCUUGCCCUUUUUGGAGAGGACCCAUGCAUUGAGCUGGGAGCAAAGUCGGCCAUCAUGUGACGCCGACUGCGGCAAAAUACAAAAUCAUUAAAAAUUACGUAGAUCAGAAGAUUACAAUAAAGAAUUGAAGUUGCGCACCCAUUUUUCUCUAUAUUCAUCAAGGCUUAGGCUGCCUUGAUGGUGUGGUGCAGUCGGCAUCUGCAAACGCCGCUGCCGGCAAGCAAGGUGGUUCUCCAACCACCCGGGCUCCAACCACACGUCGACCAUCCUCUCCCAGCACGGCAUAUGCGCACAACACCACCACGGAGGCACCUACAUCAUCAAGCGUGUGACAUAUGGAACAAGAAAAUAAACCUAAUUAAUCAGAAAUAGUAAGCAUCAACGUUCUUUACUUACCCUCAUGAAUUGGUCCUUAGUCAUGUUCAUUGUUCUUGCCUCCUCUUUUCUAACCUUCGUACGUUUGUAUUGAGCGUUGAAUUCUAUGAUGGCCUGGAUGCGCGCCUCAUAAUGCAUGUCCUUCACGAGCUUCUUGGCGGCUACAUCACAGACGGCCUUCGCCUUGGCCUCGAACCCCUCCUGGCAUCUAUAGAAGUCCUGCAUAUACACGCGUAUACAGUUAUUAUUUCAAGAAUGUCGAAAGUAGCUGAUGUAUUGAGCAAUUUAGUAUGAGGAGUACUUACCCACAGCUCGGCCUUGACCCGCUCCGCUAUGUUGGGGAAUCUUCUCUGUUGACGAUCAGGGACGUCGGGGGCGGCGACGUAGUGGUCCCACGUGUAGGCCGGCUGCAGCUAUCCGGCGUACACCACCAAGCCAGGGAAGUGAACCCUGCACAAAAGGCCAAGGAUCCCGUUGGCCUUACGGUUGUGGUCACCCCCGCUGAGCUUAAUCCAACUCCUGCACAAGUCAUUAAUAUGAAUUAUUAGUUUUUGUAACUUUCAACAUAAGAACAAUAUUAAGAAUAUUUAAAGUUACUUACUUGGUCCCAACCGGUUUAAUGAGCGGGCGUAAAUGCUCAGGUAUCAGCCACUUCGGGAGGGAUGAAGGACCUCGCAACCAUAUCUUGGACUGGGCAUCCCCUGCCUCCCCGUCCUCCUCCUACUCCUGCUCCUCCUCCUCCUCUGCCUCCUCGUCCCCAGAGGCGUGUGCGGAAGGUACCUCCUCCUCCUCCUCCUCCUCCACCUCAGGUUCAGGCGACGGGGGCCUCGCCGCUUUACCCUUCCCUCGAGGCCUCUGGACCACCUCCUCCUCCUCCUCCACCUCCUCCUCCUCCUCCUCCUCAACCCUACGUCGAGGCCUGCCUCGACGCCUCCCUCGACCGCUCCCUGAACGUGACCCUGACCCUGAACCAGUCCCUGCCGCGGCCAGUCUCUCGCAAAUCGACGUGAGCUUCCUCAUACCACCCACCAUUGCUUAAUGACCUGCAAUUAAAAAGAGUACACGAGUCAGCAUAGGCAAACAAAACAUAAUUGUCGAUGUUUGUCGAACGAAGAAUAUUUGCCACCUUUCGACAACCAAAUGAACUUCAAAGAUGCUUUACAUACUGGGCAUGGGAACUUCCCGUGAACACACCAUCCGGAGAAAAUCCCAUAUGCCGGCAAGUCAUGCAGUGAGUACUAGUACCAAACAUGCAUCUUGAAGUUUGUCUUUGUGGAUCGGUCAUAGGUCCAUACCCCUUCCUCCCAAGCACGGAGCAAAUCAUCAAUCAGAGGCUCCAUAUACACACUCAUAUUAUUCCCCGGAUGCUCUGGAAUUAUCAACGACAAGAACAUAUUAUGUCGUUGAAAUAGGACGCCGGGUGGGAGAUUCAGGGGGAUAACGAAAAUGGGCCAACAGGUGUACGGGGCGGCCGCCAUUCUAUAGGGAUUGAACCCAUCAGUUGCCAACGCAACGCAUACGUUACGGGCCUCUAGAGCUUUUGCAGGAUAAAUCGCAUCAAAGCUUCUCCAGGCUUCAGCAUCGAAUGGGUGUACCAGCUUCUCAGGAUUAUAGCGGCGGCCAUUUUUGUGCCAUGUCAUCUGUUUCGCGGAUUCUUCAGUCAUGAAAAGCCGUUGGAUCCUCGGUAUGAAAGGAAGAUACCGUAGAACCUUCACAGGAAUUGCGAGCUGCAUUUUCUGACCGUCACCAUAGUCAACCUCCAGAAAUCUAGACGAUUCACACUUCACACAGUAUUUUGCUUCCGCAUACUCUUCCUAAAUAAGAUGCAUCCCUUCGGGCAAGCAUGUAUAUGCUCGUAUGGCAUCUUAAGUGCACGAAGGAGUUUCUGUGCCUCAUACAUGCUCUUUGGCAAGAUGUGACCAACCGGGAGCAGGCUUCCAAAAACUGUCAUCAUAAUAUCAAACGCGUCUCGACUCAAACUAAACUGAGACUUCACAGCCAUUAGGCGUGCAAUGGCAUCUAGCUGAGAAACCUUGGUAUGGCCGUGAAGGGGUUGCUGUGCCGCAGACAACAUUUCGUAAUAAGCCUUAGCGGUAGCCUCUGGCUCCUCCUCCCUACGUGCCUCUUCGAAGUGUGCUUCAUGAUAGUCAUUUAACAUGUCUCCCACCCCGGCAUCAUCAUCAAAUUCCUCGAUGCGUUGUCUCAAGACCUCCUCUCUCCCACGGUCAGAUUCACCAUGGUAGAUCCACCUGGUGUAGUCUGACGUAAAUCCGUUCUUCACCAGAUAUUUGCCCAUGUCUAGCUUGGUUUGCCGACGCAUGUUUCCACAUUUGCUGCACGGACACCAAGUCGAUCGAGCUCCAUUGACACUUGCAAACGCCCGUUCCAAGAAAGCAUCCAUCUUGUCAAGCCAUUCAUUGGUCAACGUAUUCUGACUAGUGCGACCCGUGUACAUCCACUGACGAUCCUCCAUCCUCUACCAUUUAAAUAAGUAAUACAAAAUUCACAUUGCAUAUACACGUUCCUAUAUUGUCUACUAGGUAAAGAUAGGUCCUAAUCGCACCCGAGGAUGUAUAGGUGGGUUUAGUAUCCUUGAUCUACUCGGAGGGAUAUAAAAGGUGGGCAGGGCGGCCUGGGUGCUCGGGCCAGUCCGCUCCCUUUUACCAACCCAAUCGUUCUAGUAAAAGUUGAGGGGGGGAAAUCAAAGUGGUUUCCUACACNNNNNNNNNNNNNNNNNNNNNNNNNNNNNNNNNNNNNNNNNNNNNNNNNNNNNNNNNNNNNNNNNNNNNNNNNNNNNNNNNNNNNNNNNNNNNNNNNNNNAUGAAAAUGAAGGAGAUUGUGUAUCUAGAGAACAACAGGGAGGUGCUGCCGAAAUUUUAUCUCGGGUCGGAGUAGACCAUGGAUACUAAACUCACCUACACAUCCUCGGGCUGUCCAAAAAAUGUGGACAAUUCGAAACAGAUACGAUUAUAGAUAUGCAAAGAUCUGCAUAUUUCCAACCGUAUCUCUUUCGAACGGGAGACGCCUAACUAGGUUACGUGAUAUACGAACAUUAUAUGGAAAGAGAGGUGUAGCGUGCCUCACCUUGCUAUCCUGCAAAGUGACGAGUCGAGGACGGUCCUUGUAAGCCUCUCCUGCAACAAAAGAAACAAAGCAUUGUUUAAGUCAAAAUUUCGGCAGCAACUCCCCUGCACGGGGAGCUUUCCAAAACCUGCAACAUAAGAAAUGGCACGAUAGCUGACAACCACAAUCUCACCAAAGAGUUGGCACGAUGGCCACCAACCACAACCACAACCAACCACACCUCUAUUCUUUUCAACAUUUUCUAAUUUCUACUCUUCCUUCUUCUCGAAUUUUCUAAAUCCAUGCCAAUAAUUUCUAAAAUAAAUGCUACCACAUCCUACCACCUCUCUAAUAUUUUCAACAUUUAAUUUCUAAUUUCUAAUUUCAUGCAUUCUCUAAUAUUUUCAACAUUUUCAACUUACCGGAGGGGCGACGGCCACGAAUAGAGGAGUGGGGGCGGUCGGGGGACGGUGCGGCGGCCGGAUGGGGGCGGCCGGGGGCCGGUGCGGCGGCCGGACGAGGGCGGCCGCGGGGGGCCGGCGCGGGAGGCUGGCCGGGGCGCAGGGGAGGCCGGCCGGGGGCGCAGGGGAGGCCGAGGCCUUAUCCCGGCGCGGGCGGGCGGCGCGGGGCGGUCGGGCGGCGACGGCGCGGGGCGGCGGUGCAAUCGGGCGGGCGGGCGGUGGCGGCGGCGGCGCGGGCGCGGGGGGCCGGGCGGCUGCGGGCGCGGGCGUGUGCGUGCGUGGCUGUUGGCGUGCGUGUGGCCGGGCGUCAGGUGCGCGGUGCGCUAAGUGUGGAUAUGGCCACUUUGCCGAGUGCUUAUGAUCUAGCACUCGGCACUCGGCAAAGCCUUUGCCGAGUGCUAGAUCAUAAGCACUCGGCAAACAUUUUUUUUUUAUUUUUUUAUUCGGAUUUCACAGUGCGUCUGGCAGGUGGACCGCGGCGAUGUUUGCCGAGUGCUUGUCAUCUAGCACUCGGCAAAGGCUUUGCCGAGUGCUAGAUCAGGAGCACUCGGCAAACAUUUUUUUUUAAAUUUUUUUUUUGGAUUUCAAAGUGCGUCUGGCAGGUGGACCGCGGCGAUGUUUGCUGAGUGUCCCAAGUUUGACACUCGGCAAAUCGGCUCUUUGCUGAGUGCCAUCCCUUGACACUCGGCAAAUGAGUACUAUUAUUUCAUGUCAAACUAGUUUUAUUAAUUAAAAGAUUGUAAAGUUUGCAAAAACCUAGUCAAAUUCACUAAACAUUGCGUAUUUCAUUUUUUAAGUAAUAUUGUUCCAUCAUUUCAUGGAUUUAUAGCUCAUAUUAAAAUUAUAUCUAUUAAAUUCAUAUACGUGCAAUUAAUGAAUAAAAAUUACCAAACGGAUCUGAAAAAUUCCCAAAAUUUGACAUGAACCAAUCUAUGUUCUCUAUAGCCUAUAAAAAAAAUUGGACUCAAUGAGAAACACAUGUAUCGAUUCGUCUCAAAAUCUUACCGGAUCCUUUCAACUUCUACGAAUCCUCUCGGGAGAUGCUUCGAAUUCUAAACAUCAUAUGUCAAAACUUGUGCGAAACCUUGUCAAUUUUUUACCACAGCCUCUUCAUAUGAAAUCAUAGCAUCUUGCAAAAUCUCAUGAUUUUCAAACUUCGUUUGUAUUUUUGAGAAUUAAAUAAUCAUUUGGCCACACGUUCGUAGUCGUGUUUCCUUAGCAAAAUGUUCGAAAUUUCUUUUCAUUUUCUGGGUGAAACCUCAAUUUGGACUCACUAACAUGAAUAUGAUUUUUACACUCAUAUUAUUCCAUUAUUCCAACCACCUGUAGUUCAAAUUUGACUUGAAUCAAAAAAUUACUCUAAAUGAAAUUAAUUGAUUAAAUAUAGCAAACAGGUCAAAAAAUAGUCCACCUUCUACCAUGCAGUGCCAAAUGCCAUACAUGUGGAGUGUAAAAAGUUUGGAGGGUGGAGGAGGGAAAAAAAUUAUUUUUGCCGAGUGUGUCAAAAGACACUCGGCAAACCCUAUAGUAUGCCGAGUGUUCCCCCUAGCACUCGGCAUACUCACCACUUUGCCGAGUGUCCCAUCACGACACUCGGCAAACUAGUGGCUUUGCCGAGUGCCCCCCGUAGAGACUCGGCAAAGCCUAACGUCCGUCACGGAGCCGCGCCGGCGGCGGCACGGGGGGCACUCGUGGUCGUCAGUUUGCCGAGUGUUUUUCUUUGCCGAGUGCCUCGUGGGUGUUUGCCGAGUGUUUUUUUGGCGGCACUCGGCAAACCGGUCCUUCGCCGAGUGUAUUCUCUUUGCCGAGUGUUUUGGAUAUUGCACUCGGCAAAACGGUCCUUCGCCGAGUGCCCGAAAAAAUACACUCGGCGAAAUAAUUGCACUCGACGACUUUGAGGUUUCCCGUAGUGGCGUGACAUAUCCCAAUGGCAUUGCCAUCAGCGCUGACAGGAGCCAUCUUAUCGUCGCUCUCACGGGACCAUGCAAGCUAAUGAGGUACUGGAUCCGAGGGCCUAAGGCCGGUACAUCUGGGCUAUUUACCGACCUACCGGGAUACCCGGACAAUGUGAGGCCCGACGGGAAGGGUGGGUACUGGGUUGCGCUGCAUAGGGAGAAGUAUGAGCUCCCGUUUGGAAAGGACAGCCACUUGGUCGCUAUUAGGAUCGGCUCUGAAGGUGAGAAGUUGCAAGAAAUGAGGGGUCCCAAGGAUGUCCGUCCAACAGAGGUGGUCGAACGAGAGGACGGCAAAAUAUAUCUUGGGUCUGUAGAGUUGUCUUAUGUAAGCAUGGUCAAGAGUAGCUAGAUCUAGGAUAGAGUUUAGGUAUAUCAUAUAAUUUUGUUCAACUUCAAAUUUUGCAUGAACAUGGAUCAUUGCAUCGUGCAUCUACUCAUAUUUUAUAUUGAAUCUAUCAUGCAUGUUUUGGUGGAUCAUUUUGAUGUGGAGUAUGAGAGUACCUCAAGGUGGUGGAGCACCUGAAUUGUUCUCUUUCCUCCGCAGAUGGAGCAUGGAGCGUUGGUGAAAUGGUCAGAGAUGAGGGACUUAUUAAUGGAUCGUACGCCACGAUAAAUGGUCUCAUUUUCCUUUUGACACGGAAAUGGUCUCAUUUGAUCUUGUCAGCAAAGUAUGGAGAUGUUUAACCCACUCUCAAUGGAAGUUGCGCCCGCUUUGAAGGCAAACGCAAGCUUGAUGAUGGUUGGUGCCAUCGAUCUCGCGCGGAGAAAUUCGGUGACUUCCCUACCUGGUGCACCAUGGCGCGCCAGUUGUUGGUGUUUUAUACCGGCAACCCGCUUAGGGAGUACCCGAGGUGGUGUUUUGUGUGGGUGUCGCUGAGAAUCAAAGAGUCGAUGGUGACGCAGGAAACACGAUUUAGACAGGUUCGGACUGCUAGAUCGCGUAAUACCCUACGUCAUGUGUCCUGUGUGUGGAUUUUAUUGAUGAGUUGUGUUACAUUGUGCUUAGCCUGCUCGCCCUUAUAUAGUCGGGGGAGCUGGGUUAUAGGGUAGGAGUUCUAGUCGAACACGAUUACAGAGUCCUACUCUAAUUUGACAAAGUAGUUUCCUUGAGUAAUCCGACUAGUCUUUAGGAGUUCGUGGAGACUACGUUACCCUGCGACGUAGCCUCCAAGUCCUGAUCACGUCCGAGUACGCCCCUAUUUGGGCCGUACAAGGCCUACUCGUGGGUCCGAGGAUGUAUGCCCGACAGUCGAUGGGUUCAUUGCUUACCACUGAAAAAUAGUACCACUUAAAUCUUAGAAUAAAUUUAGAAAAAUACGAGUACCCAUACAAAAUUUGGACUCGAAACGAGUAGAGACAAAGUUCGUUGUAUGCUGAUAAAUUACGGCCCCAUUUCAAGUAAUUGCAUGGGUGCAUACAGGUAUGCCGUCUUCCAUUUGCACAUUUCCAUGAACCUGCAGUUUUCACAUAAAGAACUUUAAAUCUUUGUUUGGAUAACCUAACACUAGUAGAGAAGUGACUUUCGAUCCACCCCCUUUUAUCCCGGUUUAAAAGUGGCCCGGGACAAAAGGGGGUGCGGGGGGGUGCGGAAAUUUGGAGGGGAGCAUUAGUCCCGGUUGGUAAUUGCAACCGGGACUAAAGGCCCCCCUUUAGUCCCGGUUGCAACGGCUAGCUGGGGGGCGUCGGUGGCCGGACCCUUUUAUCCCGGUUGGAGGAUCCAACCGGGACUAACUUUCCAACCGGGACAAAAGGUGUUUCCUUUUGUCUCGGUUGGAGUUUUUAACCGGGAUAAAAACUCAUCCCCCACUAUAUCCCGAGACAGAGACUUUCUUCUUCCUCCAGCCCGAGCAGUCCAGCACAUUGAUAGAGAGCUGAGCUUCACCUACUCUCCGGUGGUGCCCAAGCAAGGGAGGUGCUGCCCGAAGUUUUUUCCCUCAUUUUCGUGGGAAUUUGACUCAGCCAACAAGUGCUGCGAAGGUUUGCUACUUCAUCCUCGUGUUAUGCUUUGAUUUAUGCUUUGGAGAUGGAAAGAUUAUUUGCUACAAUGUGAUGAUGAAGUAGAAAAAUGGAGAGGUAUUUUGAGCUAGAAUGUGAGGGAGAUUGAUGUGUCAUAUAUAGUAUGCAUUAUUUCAGUGGUUUAAAAAUGAUGCUACCUUGUCUAGAUGGUUUAUCUUAUCAAAUUCAAUAUGGUUUUUUAAAUCCAUAUACUUGUUAAACUUGCAUACCGUGUUCAUUUCUGAGAUGAUGUUCUCCGCCGAGUAGCAACGUAUGUCAAGAAGGAGGUUCGAUUCUACGAGAAAGAGUGGAUAUUCGACUAUAGCUUGCCGUGGCUGCCGCAGNNNNNNNNNNNNNNNNNNNNNNNNNNNNNNNNNNNNNNNNNNNNNNNNNNNNNNNNNNNNNNNNNNNNNNNNNNNNNNNNNNNNNNNNNNNNNNNNNNNNNNNNNNNNNNNNNNNNNNNNNNNNNNNNNNNNNNNNNNNNNNNNNNNNNNNNNNNNNNNNNNNNNNNNNNNNNNNNNNNNNNNNNNNNNNNNNNNNNNNNNNNNNNNNNNNNNNNNNNNNNNNNNNNNNNNNNNNNNNNNNNNNNNNNNNNNNNNNNNNNNNNNNNNNNNNNNNNNNNNNNNNNNNNNNNNNNNNNNNNNNNNNNNNNNNNNNNNNNNNNNNNNNNNNNNNNNNNNNNNNNNNNNNNNNNNNNNNNNNNNNNNNNNNNNNNNNNNNNNNNNNNNNNNNNNNNNNNNNNNNNNNNNNNNNNNNNNNNNNNNNNNNNNNNNNNNNNNNNNNNNNNNNNNNNNNNNNNNNNNNNNNNNNNNNNNNNNNNNNNNNNNNNNNNNNNNNNNNNNNNNNNNNNNNNNNNNNNNNNNNNNNNNNNNNNNNNNNNNNNNNNNNNNNNNNNNNNNNNNNNNNNNNNNNNNNNNNNNNNNNNNNNNNNNNNNNNNNNNNNNNNNNNNNNNNNNNNNNNNNNNNNNNNNNNNNNNNNNNNNNNNNNNNNNNNNNNNNNNNNNNNNNNNNNNNNNNNNNNNNNNNNNNNNNNNNNNNNNNNNNNNNNNNNNNNNNNNNNNNNNNNNNNNNNNNNNNNNNNNNNNNNNNNNNNNNNNNNNNNNNNNNNNNNNNNNNNNNNNNNNNNNNNNNNNNNNNNNNNNNNNNNNNNNNNNNNNNNNNNNNNNNNNNNNNNNNNNNNNNNNNNNNNNNNNNNNNNNNNNNNNNNNNNNNNNNNNNNNNNNNNNNNNNNNNNNNNNNNNNNNNNNNNNNNNNNNNNNNNNNNNNNNNNNNNNNNNNNNNNNNNNNNNNNNNNNNNNNNNNNNNNNNNNNNNNNNNNNNNNNNNNNNNNNNNNNNNNNNNNNNNNNNNNNNNNNNNNNNNNNNNNNNNNNNNNNNNNNNNNNNNNNNNNNNNNNNNNNNNNNNNNNNNNNNNNNNNNNNNNNNNNNNNNNNNNNNNNNNNNNNNNNNNNNNNNNNNNNNNNNNNNNNNNNNNNNNNNNNNNNNNNNNNNNNNNNNNNNNNNNNNNNNNNNNNNNNNNNNNNNNNNNNNNNNNNNNNNNNNNNNNNNNNNNNNNNNNNNNNNNNNNNNNNNNNNNNNNNNNNNNNNNNNNNNNNNNNNNNNNNNNNNNNNNNNNNNNNNNNNNNNNNNNNNNNNNNNNNNNNNNNNNNNNNNNNNNNNNNNNNNNNNNNNNNNNNNNNNNNNNNNNNNNNNNNNNNNNNNNNNNNNNNNNNNNNNNNNNNNNNNNNNNNNNNNNNNNNNNNNNNNNNNNNNNNNNNNNNNNNNNNNNNNNNNNNNNNNNNNNNNNNNNNNNNNNNNNNNNNNNNNNNNNNNNNNNNNNNNNNNNNNNNNNNNNNNNNNNNNNNNNNNNNNNNNNNNNNNNNNNNNNNNNNNNNNNNNNNNNNNNNNNNNNNNNNNNNNNNNNNNNNNNNNNNNNNNNNNNNNNNNNNNNNNNNNNNNNNNNNNNNNNNNNNNNNNNNNNNNNNNNNNNNNNNNNNNNNNNNNNNNNNNNNNNNNNNNNNNNNNNNNNNNNNNNNNNNNNNNNNNNNNNNNNNNNNNNNNNNNNNNNNNNNNNNNNNNNNNNNNNNNNNNNNNNNNNNNNNNNNNNNNNNNNNNNNNNNNNNNNNNNNNNNNNNNNNNNNNNNNNNNNNNNNNNNNNNNNNNNNNNNNNNNNNNNNNNNNNNNNNNNNNNNNNNNNNNNNNNNNNNNNNNNNNNNNNNNNNNNNNNNNNNNNNNNNNNNNNNNNNNNNNNNNNNNNNNNNNNNNNNNNNNNNNNNNNNNNNNNNNNNNNNNNNNNNNNNNNNNNNNNNNNNNNNNNNNNNNNNNNNNNNNNNNNNNNNNNNNNNNNNNNNNNNNNNNNNNNNNNNNNNNNNNNNNNNNNNNNNNNNNNNNNNNNNNNNNNNNNNNNNNNNNNNNNNNNNNNNNNNNNNNNNNNNNNNNNNNNNNNNNNNNNNNNNNNNNNNNNNNNNNNNNNNNNNNNNNNNNNNNNNNNNNNNNNNNNNNNNNNNNNNNNNNNNNNNNNNNNNNNNNNNNNNNNNNNNNNNNNNNNNNNNNNNNNNNNNNNNNNNNNNNNNNNNNNNNNNNNNNNNNNNNNNNNNNNNNNNNNNNNNNNNNNNNNNNNNNNNNNNNNNNNNNNNNNNNNNNNNNNNNNNNNNNNNNNNNNNNNNNNNNNNNNNNNNNNNNNNNNNNNNNNNNNNNNNNNNNNNNNNNNNNNNNNNNNNNNNNNNNNNNNNNNNNNNNNNNNNNNNNNNNNNNNNNNNNNNNNNNNNNNNNNNNNNNNNNNNNNNNNNNNNNNNNNNNNNNNNNNNNNNNNNNNNNNNNNNNNNNNNNNNNNNNNNNNNNNNNNNNNNNNNNNNNNNNNNNNNNNNNNNNNNNNNNNNNNNNNNNNNNNNNNNNNNNNNNNNNNNNNNNNNNNNNNNNNNNNNNNNNNNNNNNNNNNNNNNNNNNNNNNNNNNNNNNNNNNNNNNNNNNNNNNNNNNNNNNNNNNNNNNNNNNNNNNNNNNNNNNNNNNNNNNNNNNNNNNNNNNNNNNNNNNNNNNNNNNNNNNNNNNNNNNNNNNNNNNNNNNNNNNNNNNNNNNNNNNNNNNNNNNNNNNNNNNNNNNNNNNNNNNNNNNNNNNNNNNNNNNNNNNNNNNNNNNNNNNNNNNNNNNNNNNNNNNNNNNNNNNNNNNNNNNNNNNNNNNNNNNNNNNNNNNNNNNNNNNNNNNNNNNNNNNNNNNNNNNNNNNNNNNNNNNNNNNNNNNNNNNNNNNNNNNNNNNNNNNNNNNNNNNNNNNNNNUAGUCAAUCGGGGCAUCGUCCGGGACACGUGCCUAUCAGCAUCAGAGAAUGGAAGGGCAGAAGCGAUAAUCCGUACGCCCUUCCAGAGACAGAAAAGAAUAUGCUGUGGGAAGACGUGAAGAGGCAUUUCACAUUCCCCGAAGAUUAUAGCGAGAAGGAUGUCAAAGCCUGGACACUUAAGAAGAUGGCUACUCAAUUCCAGACAUUCAAGAAGAUGCUGGACACCCACUACAUCAAGAAGGGCAAAACUCCAGACUUCAAUGCGUGGCCCAAGUUGAGGGACCACUGGGAUGCAUUUGUUGAAUACAAGAGGAGUGAAGAAGGUGUGAAAAAGAUCACGACCAACGUUGCAAAUGCUAGUCAGAAGGGCUACCACCAUCAUUUGGGGCGAGGUGGGUAUGGCUCAGCAAUUCCCAAGUGGAGAAAGAUGGAACAAGAUCUGAUCGAACGGGGAAUCAUACCUGCAACUAUUGAAUGGCCCGAACGAUCAAAGAACUGGUACUACGCUCAUGGAGGAUCCCUAAGCCAAGAGGAUGGGACCCUGAUUUUCAAUGACAGAAUACGUGAGAAGGCCGAACAUCUCAUGAAGAACAUUGAAGAUUCCAAGGCUGGGAGGUUGAGGGUGGACCGAGAAAAUGAUGAGCUCACAUUGGCCCUCGGAAAUCCAGAGCACCCAGGACGUUGCCGGGGCUUCGGGGUGGUUCCGUGGAAGUUCGCUUUCCGAGGCGACAGCGCCUCUUACAGAAGCCGGAAGCGAAGAAAGGAACAGAUGGAGGAGAACUGGCGGCAGAUGCUAGAACAACGAAUGGUGGAUGAAAUCAAUCGGCGGGUGGCCGACGCAGUUGCGGAGUUGGCGCAAUCUGGAGCACUGCCGAAUCCUCACACCGCCAGCCCUUCUCAACGCCUCGGGAGCAGUUGUGCUUCUACAGGGGUCCCCGAUGCGCAGACGCCCAGGUUACCCGUGGAGGAGCAACGGUUCCCCGUGGAUGCCAUCACGCAACGGACCUCAUGUGAGCUGCAUGCACCGGUCGGCAACCUCACUAUUAAGGUAUACUUAUACAAAAUAUUUAUGCAAUCUUGUCAAUUGAUCCAGGCCUCGAGAUCGGAGUUCAACUUGUUUACUUCUGCUAUAUGUACAGGUAGCGUACGGGAGUGCGUUACCAACGCUGGCAGGGCAGAGCAGUCAUGGCAUGGACAUUCCAACUGGCUACGCCAGCGUCUGUGUCGAGCAAAUAGUAGAUGCCCAGUAUGAAGGUCUAGAGCUCGACUUCCCGGGAGGCGACGGGGAAAAGACAUUGGCAGAUGCGCUUCAUGGGAUCAUUCUAUGGAAGAAACGCUACAUCAUUAUUUCCCGCACGGAGCCAUCUCCUCAGACCUCAAGACCGCUCCCCGUAGAUCCCGAGCAGCGAUCUUCUCCUCAUACCUCGAGACCGGCAUCUCCUGCUCCAGGACCGUCGCUUCCAUCUAUAUCAAGGUCUCCAUCUCCACCACAUCCUGGUGCUGGGAGCGACGACGACAAUAACAACACCCCUCCCCGAUCACCGUCGCCGGCACCAAGAGCGGCCCCCUCGAAGGAACCUGCAGCACCACUCAAGAAGUCACGAGCACCGCCUCCCAAGCAAAGACAGCCUCGAAAGAAGAAAACAAAGGUCGACCCUGAAGUGGCUCGCAAGGAACGCUUUGAGGCAAUGUCUCAUGCGGAACAGUGGGCAGAAAUCCAACGAGAGGCCAGUGAGUGGUUUAAGAAACAAGCCGAAUUAAAAAAGGCAAGGGAGAUGGAGCCACCGCCAGUAAGUCGGCGGGAUUUAAACUUCUUUAUCAGGAUGGAGGAAGGAGCCAAGAAAAGGAUACCACUCUUGACAAACUAUGAACGGGCUCUAGUAAAGGCUGAUGAAAAGGAUAAAAGAAAAGGAAAAUCAUCCUCCAGCAGUUCAGUCCCCGACCUCAGCCAUUUGUCAAAGAAAGAUGCUCAACGGGUAAAAGCAAUGCCCUUGGAUCAACAAGCAAAUAUAUUGAAGUUCAUGGAAGAAACAGGUCUGGGACUUGAUGAAUGCAUAGGGCAAGUCGAGACGCCAACUGCACCGCCCCCUGAGCCGAGAUGGCCUUUUAAGCUAGGCAAGCCUCUAGUGAAGCCGGCAAUGGUACGGAAGCUGUCAACAAAGAUGUACGAAUUCCAUCAAUGGUACAUGACGGCAUCCGCCAAAUCGAGGGAGAUGAUCGGCAUGAAGGUAAAACCGAUAGAUUUUCACGGUGAAGGGGAGAAAGUGCUGUGGCUAAACUUCGAGGAUAUAUACGAAGUGUACCAUCAUGAUGCCCUGGACGUCUCUCUGAUCAGCGCUUGGAUUCUGUAAGUGUCCGUUUAUUAUCUCUACAUGUAAAUUUUGGCGUGCGUCACCGUACUAACUUCAUCUUCCAUUUCAUGUAGGAUGCUAAUUCAGACAUGCCGCCGAGAGGCGUACCUACAUGUAGGCUUCAUGGAUCCAUCUGUAGUUAACCAACGACAGAUACAAUUAGCGCCGGAAAAAACCUUUGCCGAACUAUACAAUUUCCUACACAAACAAACAUUCAAGGAUUUCAUACUACUUCCAUACAACUUCAAGUAAGUGUGUGUAUACCGUCUACUUUCGAUGUCUUUUUCCUUAUCUCUACAUGUUAGUUAGCUCUAAUAUGCAUGAACAUUUUACGCACGCAGCUUCCACUGGAUCCUUAUUAUAAUUGAGCCUGAAAGAAGCCACGUCACUGUCUUUGAUUCGUUACGGAAAGAUCCGGUGGACUACCAAGAAUUGCAAGACAUGCUGGGAUUGUAAUAAUUCUGGACCUUUAUCUCUAUGCAAAAAUUUAUUUCCUAAAUUUUAUCCCUGUUACACUAUGUCAUUCAUUAUUCUAAUCCGCAGCGUAUGGAAACAAUUCAUAAGGACACACAAAGGUCCAUUCAAAGAAGAUCUUACAUGGAACACAGACUUCCCGGUACGUAUGAAGUCUGCACAUUUAUUACAUUGUAUAACACGAAUAUUUCAUAACUUAUUUUUUUUCCGCACUGAAGUGCUUAAGACAGGAACCCGGGAAUAACCUAUGUGGCUACUACAUCUGUGAGCACAUGCACGGUUUUUUGGGACCCAAGGGACCGAAUAUGACGCCGCACAGCUUAAAAGUACGUAAAAUAAAUAUAUUACUAGUUAAUUAUUUUCUAGCUCCUUAUAUGUAUUUGUUCAUGUAACAUUCACAAAUUUCCAAAUUAUAGAUGUUAAAUAUUCAACAAGGACUCUUGAAGGAAGAAAGAGUAGCGGCAAUAUGUGAAGGUCUCAUUGGAUUCAUAAUGGACGAGGUGGUAAAUCCAAGAGGAGAAUUUUAUUACGAUGGACGACAAUUAGACACUCCUCUCAGCAACACCACGACGGGCGGAAGAUCGUAGAUAGGAAGAUACUUUGAUUUAUUUGUAUAUAUGAUCGAUUUGUACUAAUUAAGCUAGUUGAAUUGUGUAUAUGAAUUGUGUAUAAGGAUUGUGUAUAUAUAUAGUAGUUGUAUAAUUACAAAUCCCAUUCGUUUAAAUACUAGUUGAUUUAAUUCAUUCUAAAAAAAUCUCAACUACAAGGUUAACAAAUUAAAAGGGCCGCGGUACUACUAUACGUAUACGUGAUGCAUGCAUGAAAAAUUCAGACGUCACCAGUGCCAUGCAAGCGCAAUUUAGUCCCGGUUGGAAUUGAGCCGGGACUAAAGGGGACCCCUUUAGUCCCGGUUGGGAAAUCCAACCGGGACUAAAGGGGGUCCUUUACUCCCGGUUAAAAUACCCGGGACUAAAGACCCCCCCCUUUUGUCCCGGUUGGUUUAUCCCGGAUGGAUAUCCGAGAGAUAUGACCCUUACCAACCGGGACUAAUGCUCAGUUUUCUACCAGUGUAACAGAAUCUGGUACUUGGAGUUUCCCAAAAAUUUGUAGUUGUAGCUGUUUGCUGGAAUAAGCGGGGUUUUUUCUUGAUAAAGCAAUAAGCCGGUAGUUUAUUAGCUGCAAGCAAUGGUGCCGGGCUGCCGGUUACGACUGAUGAGGGAGGUUUUGCCCGGCCCCAACGUUGCAAGUGGGAUCCUACACUGAUCCUAGAGCUAGGAGUAACAAAAUGUACUAGGCAUGUGACAAGACAAGCCAGAGCCUGCACCAACUUCAACUGAUCGAGAUGCCGUUCAAAAAAAAUAAAACUUCAACUGACAUGGGAAGUUACUUUAAUAUGGUUGCGUUUGUGCCGAUUAUCUUGCUUUGAAUGGUCUAGAUCUGCGUCGAGUCAACAAAACUUACCCCUUGUUUCAUCUCUCUCUCUAUGCAACGCAGCGGGUAUAGAUAGCAGGUCUCAUUCCUGCCCGGGCCUUAUAGACGAUAAAGUUAGCAUCAACUAGCUCCAUCCCAGCAAGUGUGUUCCAGGAAUCCAGGUCAGUGCUGUGUUAGAACCAUCAGCCAGCCCUUUGUCAUGUAUAUACUUUUGAUUCAUUUGUUAACCGUCGUUCUAUAUCUGUAUACAGUAAUCAUUUCUUUGAUGCGUGUGUCUAUCGAACAGAAAUUUGUUUUAAACCGAAUCUAGACACUUGAUUUGCUAAUCCUUGUUCUGUGAGUUCAAAUUAUCCUAGUGCAUCCCAGAGGCAAAGGCCCCGAAGACAGGUUUUUGUUUUUCAGAGAAACAUACAAAUUACCUUAAGUAUAAGCAUGUUUCAGAUAUUAGAUGGUCUAGAUUCAUCCAUUCAUGGGUCAAAUCCCGAUCUUGAGAAGAUCUCGUGCCGGCUUGUUGCAUACAUAGUAUGCAUUUGGAUUAACACGGUGGUUGAGCUAUUGGGACAUAAAAGGUAGGAGGGAAAGGGGACAGAGCAGCAGCACCACCAACGCAUCAUGGUUCAUGGACCAAGAGCCGUGCCGUGCUCUGGCUGUGCGGCUGCAGGCGACCGCGCGCAAGCAGGGGAGGGGAGGUCAUGCCUGCAAAUCGCACGACGCGGCGCUGCUACUGCUAGAGCGAACAUAGUAAAUACAAGAGGAGCCAUCUUCUCGUUGCUCGCUCCUAGGAGAAUCUGUUUUCCCAGGAGUAUACCACUAACGCUGUAAUAAACUGAUCCUCCUUGCAAUGUAUUUCGUUUGUUAAAAAUGUAUAUGUCAAACAGUCUCCAUUGAAUUGUAGCUGUCUCAUCCCUCAGAAUUUUUGGAUUGUAGAAAUGGAAGUCCAAAAAGAAGUUGACGCCCUGCGGAAGAUAUUGACUGAUACAAGUGGGGAGCCAAUCAAACUAUCAUAUGCAACUAUAGAUUACCUUGUAGGAGGUUUCUCUGAUGAAGACUGUGUGAUUGGUCGUGGUGGAUUUGGGGUGGUCUACAUGGUACGAUUUGCUCUUAAGUAACCCAUUUAUAUAUACUAUCAGUUUUUCAUAUAGUUGCCCAUGGAGAGACACGCUCAAGCCAAUGAUAAACAGAGUAAUAUGGUAAGCUGAACUGCAGGGAACUCUUUGGUAUGCUGAUUCUCCAAUGAAGGUUGCUAUCAAGAAGCUUAAUUCGACAUCGCCUAGUUUUGACGAUGAACAAUUUGUUAAGGAGGUUCGAUGCUUGAAAAUGGCAAAGCACAAAAAUAUAGUUCAAUUUCUAGGUUAUUGCGCAGAUACAGCUAACGAAAUAAUGGAGCUCCCUGAAGGAAAACAUGUUUUGGUAGAAUCACUACGGCAACGGUUUCUCUGCUUCAAGUAUGCACCUAAUGGAAGCCUUGAUGACCAUUUUAUUAACGAAGGUAUAAAGGUUGCAAACUUUUGUUUUGUUUUGCUUUUUGGUUUGCGCUUGGAUCAUUGAACAAGAAGUGCUUUUUUUUAGAUUGAACAAAAAGUGCUGGUUCAUCUCGGUCAUCAUACAUAGAAAAUGUACGCGUCAGUUGGGGUGUUUGUUUCCUAGGUGUUUGAUUCCUAAGGGCUAAACUUUAGCCCUUGUCGCAUGGAUACUAAUUAGAAGUAUUAAAUAUAGGCUAAUUAUAAAAGUAAUUGCACAUAUGGAUGCUAAUUCGCGAGAUGAAUUUAUUAAGCCUAAUUAAUUUAUGAUUUGACAAUGUGGUGAUACAGUAACCAUUUGCUAAUGAUGGAUUGAUUAGGCUUAAUAGAUUCAUCUCACGAAUUAGUCCAGGACUUCUGCAAUUAGUUUUAUAAUUAGCUCAUAUUUAGUCCUCCUAAUUAGCAUCCGAACAUUCGAUGUGACAAGGACUAAACUUUAGCUUAAGGAUCUAAACACGCCCUAAGGCGAAUUAACUUGUCAUUAAAUUAGUCACAAAUGCAUAUGUCGGCGCCUUUGCACUUGUUUUACCAGUCCUGCUCCUGCUUGUGAACAACUUUCAUCAAUGGUAAAAACUAAAAGAUCAAAUAUCAACAUAUAUAAUGCACCAAUUCCAUCUCCUCGCCCUCGAAAUCACUCCAUUUCCCCUGCCGCAUCUCCACUGAUACAGUACUUGGUCAUCCUUGCCACUUGGUUCCUCUCCUCCCUCUUCAUCGCCGGUGCCCAUGUUUUUUUUUCCUAAUCAUCUGUGCACUGUUAUGUGUUCUUUUAUAAGUCAAUUCCCUUAGUGCCAUCAAAAUUUAUAUGACCCUUACUGCAGUGCCAUAUAAUUUUAUGAAUUCCUUCAGUGCUAUUGAUUUUAAGAUUAUCCUCUCACUGCUGUUCUGUCCAUAUUUCUAUCCAUACGGUGUUAGGUGUGGGCUGAAAAGAAAAUUUUUACCUCGCCCGAGUGAGGUCCCACCUGUCGGUGCUCCUUUAAAUCCACAUAGAGAUCGAGCGGUUGGCCCUGCUUGCUCCAGCCGCCAUCGGAUUGGUCUGAGGUGGCUGGACGAGUGGAGGAGAGGAGAAGAGAGGUUACCGGUAGGAGAGAUUGAGAGGAUCGGAGCACUGACAGGUGGGAUCAUAACUUAAGAGGGGUAAAACUAUUUUUUUCCAACCACAUGGAUAGUAUAUAUAAUUAUAGCGACCAUUUAUAUACACAAUUACUUUUGUUAGAGAAUAACUUCCCACAGAGGCAAAAGCAAGAGGAGCUCUAUCAAACUAGCAUUUUCCCCAUGUAUUUUGUUUUGUUCUUCCAAGUCACGCCCACUCCAGCUACAGUAACUUUUUUUUGCAUCACUCUCUUGUGUUAUAUUCUGCUAUUGAGUCUCGCUUUGUGAAUACUUAGAACUGCUUUGUGAUGGUCCCAUUCUUCGCACGCCCAAUACUGACAAAACCGUUUUAAUUCUUUUUUUGAUUUCAAAUCUCCUCUUCCGUCGUUCAGUUGUACAUUUGAAUUCAAAUUAAUGUUCACUUAGGACUGCUAUUGUGUAUGGUUUGCUAGUAAAACAUUUAAGUUAUCAAAUUAUCUAGUAUUGUUUAUGUUUGAUAUGGGUAAAUUUAAGUAGAAAUGUAUUUAAAAUUACCUUUUAUGUCAAGGCUCAUCUUCACUAUCGAUGUCAUUUUAAUUCUCUUCUGUUCACUUUUAUAGAGAAUUUUCAUGCGAUGGAUUGGACUACACGCUAUCGAAUAAUUAAAGGCAUCUGUCAGGGUUUGCAAUAUCUUCACGAAAACCGUAUUAAUCAUUUGGAUCUUAAACCUGAAAAUGUGCUGCUGGACAUUGACAUGGAGCCUAAAAUUACAGACUUUGGUCUGUCAAGGUGCUUUGAUGAAAAACAGAGUAGAAUUCAAACUAAGAACAUUUGUGGAACAUUGUAAGCACUACCUGUUCAGAAUUCAAUGCAUUUGUCUUGAAAACAAAUCUUAAAAACAUGCAAUGUGCCAAGAUGCUUCAACCUACCAUAUUGCCUGCAGGGGAUAUAUUGCACCAGAAAUUAUAAAUUGUGGAGACGUAUCGUACAAGUCAGAUAUAUACAGUCUGGGUGUCAUAAUAUCAAAACUAUCAACUGGAUGUAGCAUGCCUGGCGCUAACUAUGUAAGGAUAAUAGACAUAAUCAUGUCUUCCCAUUUUAUGUGCCAAAUAUUACAAUUCUCAUGCUUCCUUUACGCAGAUGAAUAUUCUUAAAAUUGUCUUUCUAUUACUAAUAUUGUUAGCAAAAUAUGUUAAACUUGCAUCCUUCCUGUUGUUUUGCAAUAUACUGUGUCUCCAUCCCAAAAAGGAUUGCACUUCUGGUUUUGUUCUAAGUCCAUUUAACCAAGUUUAUAAAAAACAAUCAACACUUAUGAUACCAAAUUUUCAUUCAUCAUGAAAUAUAUUUCAUAAUAUUUGGUGUUACAAAUGUUGAUAUUCUUCUCCAUAGACUUGGUCCACCUAAAGGUGCAAUCUUUUUCGAACAGAGGUAGUAUAAUACUACUAUAUUCAUUAUUAUGAUCUUUAUCUUCACAGUGGAAUAAAUCACUAGAUGUAGACUACCUGUAAAUAUGCUUGCGGUCAUCUUUAUUACUGUGUGCUUUGUCUUUGCAGUCAAGUAUAUCACAUGAACACUGGCAACAUAUGAUAAAACGUGUUGACGAAUUAGCUAAAAGUUGUGGGGAUGAUGACCAACAUAAAAGACCUAAUAUUAACGAGUUACUUUGUAAGCUGGAUGAGAUAGAAUCCGAGAUUGAAAUGGUGAUUCGAGUGAAUGGAACUUCAAUAGACCAGGUACGACCAUUUUUCUUCCCUCAUGGACCUUGCAUAGGGACCUCCCUAGGUGGUGCAUAUUUCAGGCAAUGAGAUUAUUGAUUGUUUUAAUGAUUGCUUUAAUCUUGAUAGUUUUACUGAUUGCUGUGCAAUGAGAUUCGGGUUGCCAGACGUAUCUGGAUAUUCAUAUAUACUCCAUCCGUUCUAAAUUGUAGGUUAUUUUUGUUUUUCUAGGUUCAUAGAUAUUAUUAUGCAUCUAGAUAUAGUGUAUGUCUAGAUGUAUAAUAAUAUCUAUGAAACUUAAAAAGCCAAAACGACCUAUAAUUUGGAACGGAGGGAGUACGUAAUACCCCCGCCAAAUAUACAAUUGGCCCGUGGUAGAAUUAGGAAAGAUUCUACCCGCGUGUGAUGGGCAACUCGUCUCGACAUAACGACCUCAGCACCCUCGCCAUGUGUAACGAUCAGAGUGGUUGAGUUUAUUUUUUUAUUCCCUUGCCUCGAAGUGUUUGGAGGUCAAUUGAUGCCUAUGACAACUAGCAGUUGACAUCCACAAUGUGUAAAGUUCGGCCAUGGUUCGAUAUUGAAUUGCAUUGGAGCUGCUAUUACUGGCUGUGGUUCAAAACAGUGACAAAAACAAAAUGCCAUGCGCGGACCCAAGCAGUAUAUUGGCCGGGUCAGAUGUGAGGUUAUAAAUGGCUUUUUGAUUUGGAACUUUAUACAUUUUUCUGUCAAACCUGAACUCUUUUUUAAUCCAUUUUAACCACAUUAUUGUUGAGAAUUAGUCCAACAUAAUAAGAUCAUGAGUACAUAUUGUGAUUUUUCAAAAAUAAACAUUUUUAGUCUACUAUAAUUCAACAUUUCCAAGUGACGUGAACCCACUACCUGCCCAAGGAAUAACCCGCAUUUCAUCUUUUAGAGAUACUCAUGCAUCCACGUAACUACGUGCAUACAACGAUAAAUAUUGUUAUUUUUUAUGUUAUAGACUUUUUAACUAACGCAUGGCCUGUAGAAUUACCACACCAUAAUUUUAGUGUUAAGGUUUAUUUUCCCGAUCAUAUUUUUGUGACUCUAGGAACAAUAUAUUUUACGGUUGUGGAGAUAUUAAAUUUUACCAUAAAAAUUGUUUCCUCAGCAAAGCAUUUUGUUUUUGUAGUUCAGUCAAGGCUGAUAAUUCAGGAUGUACACAUUUUUUGCAGGACCCCCAGAUAAUAAACCCAAUAAGGGAGCCUCUUCAUGUCCACCCCCGCAAACUCGUCUGGCCCUUGGCGGCAAACAAUACCAUGCCUUUCUCACUACAUCUGACCAACAAGAGCACAGAUGAUCAUUUUGCUUUUAUGUUUCUGGAUUUCGGCGGGGUUGCAUCCUCCUGCUCCAUCCUAGGUAACAAAGGAGUCAUUCCACCCCAAUCAACGUGGGGAAUCGUCCUACACUUGCAACUACAAGCGGGGGAGCCGGCAGUAUCGGAGAAGCAGGGUAAGGAAAUGGUCAUCGUGCGGAGCACCGUUGUGGAAAAGGGCUUCCAUAGUAACGAUAUCACUGUGGACAUGUUCAAGAGGCACCUUAGUGUGCACGAUAUCGAGUUGGAAGUUAUUUUUGUGGAACCACCCCAAUCACAACCCCUCCAACUAUAUGAGUUUGAUCAUAAGCUGCAGUUGGAUGCAAACGAGGGAACAAGCCAUGGAACCACACAGGUGAGUCUCUCUUUUUAAUGCCUUUUGAGAACAGCGCUCUUGGAGUCGUGCUCCUAUGUAUUAAGGUUCAUCAGGCAUCAGCAUCUAGUGCCGCCACCAUAGCUUGCCUGACUAGCAAACUAGGUAUGUAUGUGUUGAAGGUGGUGCCGGCUGCCCUAUGGAACGGCGGGGGGCGAGUGCAUGAGGCAAAAAGGCCAAAAAUAUAAUUGAUGGCAUACUCAGAAAAUUUGUCAAAUAACAUUUUAGUUCCUCAAAUAUCCCUUCGGAUCUAUGGUUCCAAUUAAUUUAUACUAGUGACCACUAUCAAAGUUUGAAAGAAGCCUAACAACGCUUGCCGCGCGUUGUACUAAGUGCCCACUAAGGUACUAAAAAAAGCUCUAUCUUGGAUGAUGUUGCAAUUUCUUCAAAAAAAAGCAACUUUAUUUAAGCUGCAAAAUAUGAAAAAUCAUGUCGGAUUCUCAUAAAAUAUUUUAGGAAAAAAUUACGCAUAAAUUUCCUGGAUUCGUGUUUUGUACAUUAAAAUGUUGGCAGCUUUGAAAUUGAUUUUUCUUUUUGUUUUCAGAUCGGCACUUUUUGCAUAUGAAAACCUUUGAGCUUCUAAUAUGCACCCUAUAUUCUUAUACCAUCUCUAUUCUUACGUAUAUGACAUUUAGGACAAGUAAAUUAGAACUCCAAAACGUCGUAUAUUUAAGAACGGAACAAGCACAAAGUUUGUCUCACUAACCCAUUCAACAAAAAGGAACAAGUUUAUAUAUCCAAAUAAAACAAGUGGCAUCUAUCAAUGAGUUUAUUCAAUCAAAGGUUGCGCAGCGUUUUUGUAAUUUUUCACUGGUUCUUUUAAAGAAACUAUAUAUCCAGGCGGGUCGAGUGGCCAGAAUUAAACCAUAUUAUUGCAUUAUUCUCUCACAGAUAUAUGUUAAAUAACAAUAUUGCGUGCUCCUAUUUCAGACAUGCCCUGAUGAGUCCAUUAUGACUGAGCUGUUAGACAUCUACCCGUUCGAGGUCGGAUACCCGCCCAAACCAGAGAAGUACUGUACGCGCACAAUACACCUAACCAAUACGACGGAGGAUACAGUUGAGUUUUGGAUGGUGCCUUCUGCCAAUGCCAGGUACUACGGAUAUGAGGGUGGCUAUCAGGCUGGCUUUGUGCCGCCACAAUCCACAUAUGCUGUCCGUUGGGUCUUGUGGAACGAAGUAUCUGAGCCGACAAUUACGGAGUCAUUUCAAAUCCUGAUGGUAACUAGAGCCGACAUGAGCCAUCUCUCAUCAGGAGUUAUUCGCUAUCCAGGGGACUUUCAUGAACAAGUGUUCAACGCAGCCAGAGACAAGGGAGGCAAGGCGCACCGAGCCUGCUUAUUUGUUGACAACAAUAGUGCCCCGGACAAGAAUUAUCAUAGAUAUGAAC
Molecule: long non-coding RNA, 107141 nt
Filed under: Setaria italica (foxtail millet)
Lineage: Eukaryota; Viridiplantae; Streptophyta; Magnoliopsida; Poales; Poaceae
Description: long non-coding RNA (SITA_LNC004345)
Source: RNAcentral